RNAcentral lists this long non-coding RNA (122215 nucleotides) under Vitis vinifera (wine grape). RNAcentral's name for it is "long non-coding RNA (VVIN_LNC006928)". Lineage: Eukaryota; Viridiplantae; Streptophyta; Magnoliopsida; Vitales; Vitaceae. The record is from RNAcentral.
CUUAUCAAAAAACAUAGUUUUCCAUUCAAUGCCCAUUUCUUCAGGCUUCUUAAAGUGCUUAUGAUUGGUGGAGGUUCUUCCAAAAUCACACAACUUCCAUAAUCCAUUAGGGCCCAAUAGAAGAUUCUCAGCAUUUAUAUAAGAACUUCAGGGUUUAUACAUAUGAUCAUGUUACAGUAUAAAUCAUAGUGAACUGGUGGAAUUUGAUCAUUAGCCAACCUCAUCAAAAACUGUUUCACAGUUGAGGGGAUUGUUAACCUUGCCAUGGGCCAAGCAGCAAUUUCUGAAGAAGCUGGGUGACAAAGAGUACCAUCAUUUGGACUAGUUUCAAUGGAAAUUCCUCUGUUUCUAUACAUGAUAUCUUCAGCUUCAGCUUUUCCUUUUGCUUUGACAUGGCUGAAACUGAUCCUGAAAUCAAAAAUCCCAUGCAAGUAGAUAUUUAACAGAAGAGGAUCCGAAUCUCUUCAAUUGAUUAAUGUAUAAAUGAAAUAAUCAAAAUUUUUAGAGAUAAUUAUAGGGAGAUGAACCUUGUACCUCUGAGUUUCUUAGUCUUCUUGAACAGAGCAAUGAGCAUCAAGUGUUGAGCACCCAGGAAUCUCCCUUCCUCACAGGGAAAAUCUGAACAAUCUAUCUUUCUUCAUAUUCCACUUCCUUGCAAAAGUCAUAACAUGAAGAAAAUGUCAUCAAAAUUGAGACAAAAAUAAGUGCAUCAACUGUCUCAAGAAGAGAUUUAUGCCUAUUGCUUACCUUUUGCAGAAGUCCACUUGGUUAGAGCACAUUUUACAUGGACGCCCAAUCACUGCAAGCUGCUGAACCAAAGGAGAGUUCAAACAUCUAAAAAAUUUGACUAACUCAAGUAUCAUAAAAUACUUCACAUGAAUUCCAAAUGAUCUCAUAUCUAAAAAACAUUGACAUAAAAUUAUUGUUGUUUACCUUACAUGUUUCUUCCAUGGUCAUAAUCGAAACUUUGUUUAUCAUAAGAAAUCUUCUAUGCUCAUCCUGAUUACUUACAAUGAACAUUGAAAUGAAAAGACAAAAAACACAAAAAAUGACGAUUAGUUUGGUUUGAUAAUUUUUUAAAAUUAGAAAUUAUAAAACUAUUUUGGUUCUCAGAUUUAUCGGAAAAUUGAGGGAAAAACAAAAAUCUAAGAGAAAUUUAUUUAACACUUAUGAGGAACCAAAAAUGUUUUAGAUGUUGUCCAAUCGAUAAUUUAAACGUGUUUAAUUUCAAUUAAAUGAGUUUAAUCAAACACAUGAAAUUGUGAAUAAAAUUAUUUAAAAGCAUUGAAAUUCAAGUCAAUAAAGUUGUACAUAAAAUUUGAUAUAUUGAAGCAAGAAAAAAACAAAGCAAUUUGAAUGACUUGCUAAUAAAGCAACUAACUAGAAUAUGCCCUACAGUUGUUCUGUGCCCUGUAUAUAAGAAAUUUAAAAAAAACAUUCCUAGAAAAAAAACAAACAAAAUAUCCAUGGUUCUUACGUUAUUUUUUUCUUAAUUUUUCAAUAGUUAUAAAUGGUUCAUUUAAUUCUUGCAAACCACCAAAUCAAAACAGAGCAUGAAAAUGUGUUCAAUAUUUGUUUCAGGCUUGAAGCUUCAAGAAAAAGAAAACCUUAAAUCAAAUAAACAGGACUAGCGAAUGAAUUGGAACUUGAAAGAAAAGUUCAAGCGCAAAAGAAUUACUUGACUCUAUAUUGGCGGAGUGGCACUUUGAUUAAUAUAGCACAUUAUUGAUCAAUAUUCUUGGAAUGUGAGCUAUAUAACGCCAUUCUUCCCCUUUCUCAAAUCCACCGUUUUUCCCCUUUCUCAAAUCGAUGAAAAGGUAGCAUAUAUUUUUCAUUUCCUAAUUAUAUCAACUACUUCAUGGUGCCUUUGUCUGAUAAGCUUAAUAGUUCUUCUACAUUUCCACCAUCUAAUUCUCUAACGUUCAUCAUGAUAGGGUUGUAAAUUUCAUCAUCAAAUCAAAACAUAUCCUCCUAUAAGAGGCCUUUGAAUUAUGAAAUAAUCAAUUCACUUGAUUCUCAUAUUGGCAAAGACAAGCUUACACUAUUGGAAAGACUACCCCUCACCUUUGCCUUCCCAAAUAGCAAAGAUGAGAGAGAACCUUUCACAAAAUCACAAGAAUUAUUCAAGUUUGGAAUUCAUAGGCAUUGUUAUUGAAUUUCAGUUGUAUAAAAUUGGUGUGUUGUGUUUAUUUUGUUGGUAUUAAAAUUGAAUUUUUUUAAUUGCAAAUUGAUGAUUUUUUCUCUCUCUCACAUUUAUACCCAUUAGAGUUUCUUAUUAGGGUUUGUGUUUGAAAUUUGGAGAAAGUAUGGUGCAAUUGUUCACCGGUGUGGUGUACCAUCUUGUUUGUUGUAUUUGAUCUUUGGGUAUUUGAUUUAAUUUUGUUGUUGUGAAAUUGAAAGUUGAAAUCCAAGUUAAUUGUUUAACUAGCUAUUUGUAGUUGACUUGUUUGCACCGAUCUUGAUUAUCCAUUUCAUGGGAAUAAUUGAUUCCAAUUUUCCUUCAUGGUUACUGAAAAUAUAUUGUGGGUGAAGGACUAUUAUGGAGUAUAUUUAAUUUACAAGAUUGAAUAUUGAACAAAGAUAUGCCCUAGGUCUAGCUUAUAUGGAAUAGCAUAUCUUACAUUUAUUUAAUUAAAUAUACUAUACAAAUUUUGGUUAUAUAUAAUAUCUAUGUUACAAAUUUGGAUAAUUCGAAGUCUAAGUGACUUCAUAUAAUUAUUGUUACAUCUUAAAAAUGAUUUCACAAAUUAGAAUUACAAUGACUCCUACACACCUUAGAUUCUAACUCAAAUUCUCACUUGAUUUUAUUUUAUUUUUAUUUUUAUUUUUUUGUUUUCAAUCAAUUAAUAAUAUGUUAUGGGCUAGUUUAGCUUAUAGUUGAGAAGAAUUUUAUCUAAGAGCACCUCAAUUUGAAGCAAAUUGAAGAAAAAAAAUGACUUAUUAUACCUUAUGAAAGAUAAUAUUAUUAAUUUCCAUGUUUUUUUUUCAAAUAACCUUUUCAUGACAUGAACUUAUAUGGAACAUUGUUGUAUUAAUUGAUUAGGAAAUCACUAAGCCUAAGGAAGUGAGAAAAUUUAAAAGGGAAGGAAUGUCACCAUUGCAUUUUAGCACAAAGAAAGAUGAUCUCUAGCUAUGACGAAAAUUCAAGAAAUGAACAACUUCCAUUAAAGAUGAAGGCACAAUUGGGUGACAUUUAAAAAAAAAUAACAAAGGAAGUUAUUGUUUUAGCUAGGGAUAUGUUUUUUUUUUUUUCAGACUUCUUGUGUUACUCAUAUAUACAAUAUGCAAUGUGAUUUCUCUUUUAUAUUAUAAAUUUAUUACUCUUAGCACUUCAUUUAUGGGAUAGAUAAAUAAAAAUUACUUUAAUUUUAUUUAAUUAUUGGAUAGUUGUUGGAUGGAUAAAUGAUUGUUAUUUUCUUUAUAUUUGAGUUAUUUCAAUAUCAAAUGCCAAUUAAAAUAAAAGAGCAAUAGGUGAAGCUAAUUUUAGAUUGUCACAAUCCUUGGCACUUCCACUAAGUGUCAAGGUUUAGAGCAAUCAACAAUGGAAAAGGUGAACAAUGAUACUUCCAAAAGACGUCAAGGUUAUUUCAUCUUGAACAAUAACAGUUUUUGUAAGUGUCAUUAUUUACAAAAUCAACAAUAACAUUGGCAAAUUGGUACACCUCAAUGCUUCUAAAAAACAUCAUUAUUUGUUCCAUAUUUACAAUGACGCUAUUAAAAGUGUCAACAUCGCUAAACACUCUUUACAAUGACACUCGAUUUCAUGGCGCUUUUAAGAAGUGUAAUGUUUGUAGAAACUUAUUAUUGAUCACCGACUUUUUGCAACCAUACAACACUACAUAACCUUAAUACCUAUUGUUCAUUAUGAUGUUGUAAGAACAUAUGCCUCUAUGUGACCUAUUAAAUAAACUGGUCUUAUCAACUGAAAAAUGUUCCUCUAGUUAGUAAAAACUUCAUUCAUGUGGUCAUUUAUGAGCAUCAUAAUAAUCCAUAUUAAAAAUAUUUAAAAACAUUAAUGCACUAAAACAUUGAUUUCAUCAACAAAAUUACACUCAUUCUUUUGACUUAUAGCAUUCAAAGAUGUUUAAAAAUAUAUAUGUACAAUAAAACAUCAUCAAAUUUAUUAACAAUUAAACUUUUAACCCCAAAACAAUCCGCUACUUUAGUAGAUAAGACACUAUUUGGAAUAACAUUAUUUUUAGCUCAAGUUAGAAGUUAAAAUGAUAAGGUUAAAAGAAUAAAACCAACAAAAAAAGAAGAAGUUAUUUUUUGUCAAACUUGACACUAGUUCAAGUUAGAUAAUGUAGCUCAACGCCCUAUUGAAUUGAGUCAUAUAACUAGACUCCCUAAUUAUAUAUUAUGAUACACACACAACCUUUGGUCUAGUAUACAUGAUUAAAUUAAAUGCCCAACCUAGUUUGCAAAGCUAAACUAGAAUCCCAAAUCUAGUUCAUUAUAAAUGCUCUUCAACCAACUUGCUAUAGCAUUCAAAUAAGACAAUGACAAUGAUAAAAAACCAAAAAAAAUACCUAAUAUAUCAUUGAAAACUCCUUCCUAAAGGAGGUAAAAAAAAAAUCAUGAAGUAACUUUCUUCUAUUAAUAAAAAAAUGGGAAUACAGUGAUCUAUAUAGUGUUUUAACUCGAAACUUAUGGUAUUACAAAUAUUAAAGAAGCGAUUUAAAACACACACACACACAACAAGCAUGUUGUCAAGCUUAUAAAAGUUGGAGAAAUCUCUACAUAUAAGUCUUCAAAACAUGAUGGAGAGUAACCUUGACAUUUAAGUCAACAAUAUACAAGGAAAGGCAACCCAAAAAGAUACAACUUUGAGAACAAACCCUUCUUUUUGCUUUUUUACAUAACCCCUUUUUUUUUUUUCUUUUUGAAAACUUCUCUCAUUUCCUCUAAUUGUUACACUACACAACAAUCCUAAAAAAACAGAGUUUAAAGGUCUGUUUGAUAAUUGUUUUUAAAAAUAAUUUUGAAAAAUAGUUUUUGAAAAUUAUUCUUUAAUGUUUAAUUUGUAGAACAAAAGUUUGUUUGGAAACCCUAAAUAUUUUUAACAUGUUUUUAAUGUUGUUAAAUAUGUUUUAAAUUUUUUUUUUUUAAUGUCUAGUAUUUUAUUUUUAAUCAUUCUACAUGUUUAUAUAAUUAUUUUUUAAGACAACCCUUAAAAAAUAAGUAAAAAUAACAUAAAACAGUUAAAAGAUGUUAUCUAAAAACACCUUAUUUUAUUAUAGCAGAAAAUAAAAAAUGGUUUUUGGUUGUCAAACAUGUUUUCUUAGUUUUUUUAUUCUGAAGAAUAAAAAAUUGUUCUUGAAAACAGUUGUCAAACAAGAAUCUUUUCAUGUUAGUCUAAGUAUCACAUUAGUUAUUGCUUAAAAACUAGUCUUUCAACUAAAAAAGAAGGUCCACUACUUAUGGGUCAAACCUUCAACUUUCAAACCUCAACACAGUUAUAGUCAAGACUAAUAUUCACAUAUUAGUAUUAAUAUAGUUCAUUAAAUAUGAAAUUUCUAUAGAAGCCAAAAUCAAGUUUUUAGGGGAAGUAACAUUCACUUUCAUAAUAAGCACUUUUUAACUCAUAAGUUAGUACUUGCAACAAGAUUUCUUAAUAGAGACUUUAAUUGAGUUUUAAGAAGAAUUUUUUGUUUGUCAAAAACCAAUUCAAACAAAAUCUAAAACUAAUAUUAUUAUCUAAAAGACAUAAUGAACAACAUAAACCAUAAACUAAAGUGGUAGUGACAACCAAUACGUAGCGUUAAUGAAUAAUUGAAAAUAGCCUCAUUUUCUAAUGACCUCAAACCUAGAAGCUCUAAAAUCCUUGCCUAAUUCUUUGUGAUGACUUUAGUUCAACCUUAUUGGCGAGGGCAAAAUUCUAAAUAAUUUUUGUCACAACUCAUAAAUUUAGAAGAAAAAAUGAAAAUAAAUGGAAUCCCUAAUGAGAAAUUGUUAUUUUUCCCCUUUAUGACAAAAAUAGUAACCAACUAGUAUUAUUAAAUAACAUGGAAAUUGUUUUUUCAACUUUAAUACCAUGUAUGACAUAACUUUAAUAACCUUAAUUUAUAAGAUUAUUUAAUUUAAAAGGAUAAAACAAUUACAUAUUCAUAAGAAUCACUUCUAUUUUUUAAAAACAAUAAAUUCCAUUUUUUGGACAAAAAUACGCUCCAUUGUUUUUAUCAACAUUUCAUAAUCAAACAAUUAUUGGAAAAAAAAAAAAAAAGGUAUAAGGGUAGCUAUAUUAAAAUGAGGUUAUAAUUAUAAUACUCAAUAAGUGGAGAUUGUUUUUCCUAAUAUUGGGAUCAUCUUGUCCAUUUGACAUAAAAAAAUUUAAUUUAUAUUAUAAUUACUCUUAUAGUAAGAGAGAGAGUAAUUUCACAUGAAAUGGACCCAUAAACAUAGGUUUAUUAUGAGGCAUGAUACUAUAAUAAUAAUAGGAAAUAAGACGAGUGCUACCAUAAUAAUAGAAAAUAAGAUAAGUAAUUCAAUACUUAAUAAAGGUCUAAAACAAUUAUGCUCUCAUUAAAUGAUAUUAAUGAUGGAAAAAAACUAAGGGGUGUUUAACAAAAUUUAAUAUUUAUUACUUCAUGAUUUAAGUUGACUAUAAGUUAAAUUAUAAUUAAGUUGUUAAUUUAAAACUUAUUAAUUUUUAUUUUAAAUAUUAAGACUACUUAAUAAAAUUAAUUUAUAAUUUAUUAAGACUGUUUGAUAAAAUUAAAUUAAAAUUUAUUCUAAAUUAUCAAAUUGAUAUAUUUAUUUUCAUAAAUUAGAACUAAGGCAAAGGAGAUCAAGUAACAAUGAAUGUCGUGGAGUAGUAAAAAAGAUCCUAGAGGUAACGGGAUAAAUUAUGGUAAAAAAUGUCAAAUAAAAAUAUGAAUUUAAGAAUAAAUUAAUUGUUUGUACUUAUUACUUAAAGUUGUUUUUUAUUUUAUAUCAUUAAGUUAUUUUAUUAAACAUGUUUAAUUUAUUUAAUGACUUAAAUUAAGUUAUUAAGUCACUUUAGGCUAUAUAAUCGGUUUACCAAUCAUAUGGAGUACAUUUGGCUAGUAGGCCUGGAGUCAAGAAUAUUGCUAUCAUAUGUUUUAUGUAUUAAGGUGCCAAGAAUAAUUGACCACAAAAUAUAUGAUUGAUAAGUAUAGGAUACAAUCUAAAAAAUGCACUUGAUUUCAUCAUCUAAAUAAAUGCUCUCGGCAAAUGGAUCAUCCUAGCUGAAACCAGAGCACAAGCCGCCAUGGACAGGAGGCAACGGAGAAACCCUUCUGCUUCUUCUUCUGCCUUUUCAUCUCCAGCUUCAUCCUCAUCGCGUUUCCGCUCAGAGAAAUUCUCCUCGAAUCCCCCAAAAACUAGUAACUCCCUGGAGGAUGCUCACCAAUUGAAAAGCAAAUGUGGGAAGCCACAAAGACCAGAGCAAGAGGAGGAAGAAAAGCAAGAUCCGAGCAAUCUUCUCUCCUUAGUUGGAACUUGCCCCUUCAUGUGCCCUGGUAAAAAUGCGUGCUUAUUUUUCCAUUUUUUUAAAUUCUAUUUUCCUGUUAUUCUGUGUUUGGUUUCCGAGAAAUUGGAGGAAAACAGUAGAAAAGAGAAGUGAAUCUGGAGUUUGUGUCAUUUUUGUGGCUUUUACAUAAAUUUUACAAAUAAAAUUGAUAUUUCCCCCCCUUUAUUAGAUACCAAUCUGCAGAAGAUGUAGGAAUCCCAAAAAAAAAUUCGCUUUUGCCUUUACUUCCCCCAAAUCUUUCAUAAUGGAAAAUGGACUUACCACCUCUUUUAUCACUUUUCCUUUACCAUGUCAGGUUUACAUGUAAUCAAACACUGUAUUUGGAGUAGAGCACUUAUCCUAAUGUCAAAUGGUGUUGAAAACUUGAAUUACUGGAUCUUAAGACUCCAGAAGAAAUUUAAUUGUUUAUGAUUAUUGCUCCAUGAGAAGGGAAAGGGAUUUCUUUUGUUUUUGCUUACAUAUAUGGCCAAAUUGAUCUAUCUCCUUCUCAUACGAACAAAAUAAGGACAUUUCUUGUCUUGCUGCCUUUUAUGCCACCGGUUCCACAUGCUGAUGUGACAACCCUUGUGCUAUUCUGUACAAAUGGUAGGAAAAUUCUGGUAAGACUGGUGGCCAGCCUAUCAUGUUCAGAGAAUAAAUUCAUUGUAUAUCUGGAAUUCACUCUAUAUCAGCAUAGGGUGUUGAUAUUGAUUAUAAAUGACUAAAUUCAAUUUAUUAUCCUUACAUUAGGGAGUGCUAAAAGGAUGCAAAUUGUUCGUGUUAUACCCAAAGACAUACAAGUGAUGCUAGAGAUUUUCACAAUGUAGAUAAUCAUAGAGUAGAGAUGAACACUAUGGAGUCCUUUGGCAUGUGUUCAUUCCAUGUAUGGGAACAUGCAUUGGAAGAUUAUGUUUCCUCCUCCCUCCCCUCCCCUCCCCAAAGUUAAUACUAUGUUGUCAUGGCAAGAACUUUGGUGACAUGCUUCUGAGUGGAAUAGCCUCCUAGAAGUCCAUUUAUGUGGCAAUUGGCAAAUUCUUCCAGUCAAUGAGAACUUUGUGACUGUCUGAUUGUUGUACUAAUCAUCAUCAGAUUUUUUUUAAGUUCAAGUUGCAAAUAGCCUUUCACAGUUGAAGGUAGCAAUGAAGAGGCCUGUUGACAUAAUUAUUUCUUCUGCUUGAAUGGAUUAAAAUCAGAUACCACACCUUCAGCCUAGAAAACUAUGGACUUUCCUAUGUACCUGCAAUUGGCUGAAUACUGGUGUGACACUGAGCAAAGGCUCUCUGAUGCUGUUAUUAAUUUCCCGAGCAAAUAAGAGAAAACAGAGAGGUCAUAAUGUGAAUCAGUUACCUGUUGAGUAGGGAUGAAGGCUUUUUAUAUUUUUUUACUUUCUGGUUAGGCCUUGGAAGCACUUCUGUGAACCAUGAUUUUGUACUGUAAAAUUAGAUGGGAUGGAUAGGUCACCUUAACUCUACUUUUGGAAGUGAUUCGGGAGUGCAUGACCGUAUGAAUAUUGAUGUAUUCUCCCCAUACAGAGCCCAACUUCUUUUUGAACUAGGAAGCAUGAAGGGUGGGUGGAUGUGGGCUGAGGAAGGAAGAUUUGAAUUGUGUGCUGCAGGCCUGCAGUACCAAUUUGUUCCAGAACUUGAUAAGGCCCAUAAACUGGUAGGCAAGUUUCAUUAUUUGGUCACCACUGAAUUUCGGCAGUAUGGCCACAAGGAAGGUAGGAAGGAGAGGGAGAAGAGAAAACCCCAAUUGCCAAUUGCAAUCUUCCAGUUGGCACAGUGCUCAUUUGCUGACAUUUCCAUUUGAUUUUGACCUUGCAACAGAUACAGCUUAACGUGAUGGACCAGUUUUUCGCAAUCUUGUGAUUCAUUACCCAACUUCUAGUAACAGUUUCUCAGCAGAUGACUCACCCAUGACAGGCUGAUGAUGUCUGCACACAACUUGAAAGGUAUAUAUGCCAAGGUGUGAAAGGUAAUAUUGUGACACCGUUUUUCCUAUUCCAGAAAAUGUACCAAAUGUAUGGCUGGUUCUUGACCAAAAAAUGCUGGCAUUGGUCACCAAGUGCUAGAGUGAUUCUUGACAAAAAAUGUUUGUAUUGUUCAGAACAAUGAUUUACAACUUCAGAUUGGCCAUCCAGUUAACGAUGAUAAGCACUUGUUUUACAAAGUUCAGUGUCAUAAAAGCAAAAUAAUUUUGUCAACAAAUAUGGGGAUAACUUUAUCAUAAUUACUACUUAUGGAAGUUAAGGAUAAGUUGGGUAAUGUGAGAAAGCUUUGGUCAGAGGAUAUGAGGAUAACUUUGUUGCAAUUGCUAAGCUGCACGUCCUAGGACUACUAGGAGAAAAGUAUGAGCAACAGAAUGAAUUUACAGUCCAUCCCCACUAGCUGCAUGGAGAGGUUGGCCUUAUUGCUGCUAUGGUGGAGGUCACCUUCUUGUAGACUUUGAAAUGUGCAAAUGAAGAGGCAGAUUUCUUAGAAGAAUGGGUAGGAUUCAGCUUGUGGUAGAUAUUGAGCUUAUCGCCUCUAAUUUCAUGUCUUCUCAAUGUGGAUUUGAGGUUUAACGAGAUUUUUGGGAAAUCAUUAAGAUUAAAAGUAAUCGAAGACUUCCACAUUAAUGAGGUAAUGAAUAACCACUGAUACUUCUUCACCCCAAAGUUCCUUCACAAAAAUUUGGUGAGUGAAGAACUAUUACUGAGUUGUGAAGCACCAAUUCCAGCUUCAUUAUCUUGAUCUUCAGAAAGAGGGGUCCAACUUGAUUUGGGAUUUUAUACCUGUCAACCCAGUCACUAGUUUUUAGGAGAAUACUUCCAAUUUACCCUUGGGUUGCUUUAGGAAGUUUCUUAAUAGUGCCAUCUCUCUAGCUUAAGGGGCUUUUGUUAAUGGAAGGCAAAUUCUAGAUGUGGUUAUCAUUAGUAAUGAAAUCCUAGAUAAAAAAUUCUGUUCUAAGGACAAAGGGAUGGUUUUUAAAAUAGGUUUUGGGGAAGUUUAUGAUCACAUAGAUUGGGGUUUCAUGUAUGAUACAUACUUUGAAUAGGGAAGGCCCUUGAACCUGGAUGGCACAAAGGGACUGGAUAUUUUGAGGCUGUUUUUCAAACUGCAGACUCUUUAAUGGUUAUUGAAGCUGAGUGAUUAGCACUCGAGGAAGAUUCGGACAUGGUUGUUUGCCUGGAUGUAAUGAACCUCCUUAUUGAAGGGGAUUCCUUUGUUAUUGUCUUAGAACCCUCUUUGAAGGCAAAGGUCCUUAGUGGAUUGCUCAUCAGAUGGGGUGGCUUCAUAAUCAUGCUAGAGACAUUGCUUGUUCUUCUCUAUUGAGGCCCAGAUCAGCUAGCCAGGUGCAUGGCUAUAUUUUUCUUAUAGGGAUGCUAAUAUCUGAAAAUUUUUAUUGAGAACACUUACUGCUCUUUGAUUGGCUUGAGGCAUGGAGCGGCUUUUCUGUUCUCUUCUUGCCAUACAUGCAUAUCAUCCCUCUUUUUUUUAUCUUGUUUAACUCAAUAAAUUCUCAUUUGUUAUAAGGAAAAAAAGAGAUAUUAUGUUACAUGAUGGAAGGACUUUAUUCUGUUAUGGAGUAUGCAAAACCUAGAUCUAUUAGCUAGAGCUAUACAGUAGGCUGUUGGGUUGUUCAGUAUUGUCUCUUUUUUCGAUAGGUUUGGCCAAUGCCCCUUGAUGUUACUUUUUGGUAAUGUAAUUUUCUUUGAUUUUUCUUGAAACUUCCUCAUUUUUCAAGCUUGCUUGUAUAUCUUUUCUUCUUCCAUUAAUGAUUGUUUGAUUCCUUACUAAAAUAAAUAACAAAUUAUGAUGCAAAGGAUUACGUUUAUGGAAAAUUUUGAGAUUUUCACCAGAUUAGAGUCUCCGAAGCUGGUACUUGUCUUGACACAGAUAAUAGGAAUCAUUUUCCCCCCAAACUACAUAAGACAUGUCUGCUACUUGGUAAUGUUCCAUUGGCAGUUAUAAACUCUCCUGUAAAAUGUGAAUCUGUUGUAGCAUUCCGAAUGGUGUUGUGUCGUACAUAGAUUGGUAAUUGAGGACUUUAUUAUGGAUUUUGUCCUGUUUUGGUUGUGCCAACAAGUUCUAUCCUGUUCUUUGUCUUGCUGAUUUGGGUGGUUGUGCAUCAUGUUCCUACCAGCUGUAUAAUUAUGCUUCAGGAGCAUAGUUAUUCUGGUUUUACCAUCCAGAUGAUGGUACUAAAGUAUUUGUAUUCUAGAUUGCACAACUCCUUAUAUGGGAUAUUUUUGCACCAAAUGCUUAGUGAUCAAGAGAACUCUCAUAUUAAACACAUUCAUCUUCUAUUAAACUAAAUUCCUUAAGUAUGCAGUCUCACAACUACAUCAUACCAUUCUUUUCCUUUUUUCUUCCUUUCUUGCUAUUACAGGUUGGUUGCCACUAAUAUAGUAGAAAGCAAAUUACACGACCCUGCUUCCAUAAGACCUUUCUUAUUCCAUAGGUUGAAAUAGAAAAAACACUCGAUGGGACUAAUGUUUCUCUUUGCAACCAAGCAAAUUAAAAUGUUUUGAAACCCAUGCUGCCAUGAUCUAGCUAAUUUGCAUUUUAUAUGUCUACUCCUUUCUAUUUACUCAAAUUGUGUAUUUCUUAUGCUUGUAUUUAUUUCCUGAUGAGUUUAUUCUGAUUCUUUGAUCAGGAUUUCUGCAAUCACAUUGCUUGCUAUUGAAUUUUCAAUGGCUUAAUAUGAAUUAUUAACAAAGAAGUUGUUUAAUUAUUUCAGCAGCUUAUACCUUGUAAUUUCUUUUAACAACUCUUAUCUUUGAUGUUCAUUUGUAAUAAAUAGCUGGAGAAAGGGCCCAACGUGAACGCCUUCGGGACUUAGCUGUGUUUGAGAGGUUACAUGGAAAUCCUGGGAAAACAUCUCCAAGCCUUGCUGUCAAAAAGGUAAACCCUACAUCUCAUGCCUCUAUACCGCAUCUUAGCUUCUCAUCUUGCAUCGGACAAUGAUACUCUUAUUGAAUCAUCUUUACCAUAUCAGCCAUCAACAUGUGCACUUAUUGAGCACUAAUUCAGGCACUGAUACUUGUGCUUUUGUUUUGUUUUAUCUUGUCUUGUCUUGUUUUGUUUUGGAUGUGAUUGUGUUGGAUGACCUGUAUCUGUGUUAGACACCAAAGCCUAUCUUAAUGCUACUGUAAAGUAAGACUAUGCUAAUAAGCUAUUGAUCUGUUACAGGGUUUAUGCCAAACUGAUUUUUUAGUUUCUCUAGUAGAAAACUUGUUUUUUCCCCUGUUAUAUCGGUGCUAUUGUUGGAUUUGUGUUUGUUGUUGAUCAAGCAUUUGCUGAAAGUUUUUUUUUUCCUUUGCUUCUUGAUGUGCAAAGCAUUAUUGUUUGAAUUUUAAUGAUCCCAUUUGAUUCACUAUUCAAUAUUUUUAUUUGAUAUUACAUCUAUCUCAUUUGUUUUCUUUUCUUAGUUUUUAUUUUUUUAUUUUUUAUUUUUAAUUUAUUUUUUAUUUUUUGAAUUUGAUGGAGCCACCAUUAAUUUAUUUUUCCUUAUUAUUGUGGGGUGUGCUUUAUUUUGUUCAAUUGUUGUUGCACUAUUAUUAUCAUGUAACUUUUUUUUUCCUUUUUUUUUUUUUUUGUUUAAUCUAUUGUUCCUAUGAGCAUUAAAUGCUCCUAAAAUGUAUGGAAUAGGCUAAACCUUUCUAUAGUUUUUUUAAAAAAACUCAUUUAUUAUCUAUUUUCUUGUGCUCAAAAAAUUAUAUUUUUUUAGUAAAAUUGAAAAUUUAGGGAGCGCUUAGGCCUCAACGGCUCAACCCCUUGAGGGUUUAUGCCUAUCGUAGCAAGAUGUAAACCCCCUUGCCUCUUAUGCUUUUACCUUAUGAAACUAUACCAAGAAAAAAACACCACAACUCCCUGCUGCCAUCAAAGGAUACUUCAAAGUUUGCUUCAAAUCAAUCUUAAGGCUAAUUAUCAUACGCUUGUCAUCAUGUCACUAAAAUUGGUAUUGUAACCAAAGUCCUAUUGCGAAAUCUUCAAGUUGCAGCUCCUUUUUUUCUGUUGGUAUUUGUAUUGUUAGGUGGCCGCAACCUGUUGCUUUACUUAUGCUUUAUGAACUACUCCAGUUAAAAUAAUGCUUCAAGUAGAUGCUUUCUGGAUCUUGACUCUAGCAAGAGGCUUAUAUUGCAAAUUUUUUUGUGGAGUCCUAGCUAGGAAGACAAUAGCUUGCUUAAAAGGAUUGCCACCUCUCUUGUUGGGUUUGUAAAAAUUUUGCUUCUCUCUUGACCUUGGGAGUCCUGUGGUUUCAAUUUUGGGUGUGCUCUAGGUUGUAGCCUGUGUUAUGCUUUCUAAAUGGUAAUCUUCUUAUUUUGGCUGGGAUGCUUUUGUUUAUUUUGCUUGUUUGCUUUCUUUGUUUCUUUAUUGUGGCUGUAGGAUCACCAAUCAACUUUUUAUUCUUUGCAAAAACUGUUUAUGUUUCAUAACAAAAAAGGAAAAAACAAAGGCAAGUUAGCCUAGAAUAGGUUUUAUCUUGUUUCUUCUUUUACCAUUAGUGUGGAUUCAAACUCAGGAAGAGGCCUUCAAACAAGUGGCAUUUGUGUUUUUUAAACAUAUAUCUUUGUUCAAUCAUUGUUAAGUGUUUGCUGUCUUGUCUGUUCUUUUGGUUGUUUUUGGCUUUGUCAAAGUGUAUAAUUGUAAUAUCCUACAUCGUAUAGAGGAAAAAGUUCCUAGCGCUAUAUAUGUAUGAAUUUCUUUUAAUCUUGUUGAUUCGUUUUCAAGCCGCGAGGGUCGCUUAGGCUCAAAGCAAAUAAUAUCCACACAACUGGGAGCAGGUUGUUACAAAUGGUAUCAAAGUCAAUCCUCGACCUUGGUGGGAGAGUUUGUUUGGCCUAAAAUGGGUGUCCGUUUAUUUGACCCUACAAUCCUGUUGGACACAACAAGAACGUUGUGUCUGCAUGAGAGAGAGAGUGAUUGUAAUAUCCUACGUUAGAUAGGAGGAAAAGUUCCUAACGUUAUAGUGUGUGUGUCUUGUAAAGCUUAUGUUGGGUGUCAUGAUUUUAUCUCGUCCUUUUUAUUAUUCUGAUUCAACAUCAUCUUAGCUUAUAAUCAUUUAUACACUUGAUGCAUGAGAAAUGAAGAUGCUAUAAAUUGUAGGAUUCUUUUUCUCCAAUUUGUUCCUUGAUAUUUUAUAAUGCCAUGAAAUAUCUAUAUUUUGAUGCAGAAAGCCGUUCACCCUCCAUCUCUCUCACUAGUUUUGCAGAACCAUUGCCACUAAGCACAUGCAGGCGUCAGAUGUGCGGCCACUUCCAGUGUUGGAAGAGACUUUGAACUACCUAUUAAACCUGUUGGAUGCCACGGAACAUCCUUUUGAAGUGGUUCAUGAUUUCGUCUUUGAUAGGACAAGAUCAAUAAGACAAGAUCUUAGCAUGCAGAAUAUCGUUAAUGAUCAAACAAUUCAUAUGUAUGAAGAAAUGGUAUGAAUUUCUUGAAACAUAAUCUCAAUUACCUUUUUUUUUCUGAGCAUUCAUCUCCUCAACAUACAAUAAGUUAGCCAACCCAUUGCUAAACACUCUCCUAGUUGGAGAAAAUAAUCAAAGUAUACAAGAUAUAAAAUGUUGAAAAUUGAGUCAUUAUCCUCUCCUUUUGCUUUAUUGAAUAAGAUAAUUUAUUCAGUUGAGUCCAAACGAGGUGAAACUGUGAUCACACAACUUGAAGCCUACUUUACAAUGGAUAAAUGAAUGGUCUGAUUUUGAAUCUUUCUUGGCACAUUAGUUAUUAUCCAAUCCAUUCUAAUUAAAUUAUCCACUAUUAAGUGUCUAUUUCUAGUCACCCUCCAAGUUAUGAAAGACCCAUAGAACCAAAGCAACUCACACCACAUGUGAUGGGAAUUGGUGCUCUCUUCCAUAAUGUCAAGUUUUCCAGUACACUUGCUGACUUUGUAAAAUAUGCCUACAAAAAGGGCUGCCACCUCCUAAUUCCCAAUCAUAGAAGUUUCUUAACCAUAUUUCAAAAGCUGUAUUUCCUGUUCCCUCUCUUUAAGUUUUUUAAACCUAUAUCUCUUUAUCCUAGUAAUUCGGAAAAAUGAGGAAAUUAUUUAACAAGAACUCCAUCAAUUUGUUCCUUAAAAUUUUAUAUGGUUUCUCUCUCACUUUUUAUUCAAAUUCUUGAAGCAAAGGAACAAAUUCAUGGCUAGUAACAAUUUUAGCCAAGCAAUAGAAUGCACAACAAACAUGCAUAUGAAUGACUUUUGUUUUUUGAUGAUAAUAGAUCAGAUAUUUUAAUCUCAUCCUAAAACCUUGGAGUUAGCUAAAAGCCGCAUCUUAUGUUCUGACUUGUGGUUUGUUUCAUAAUAUAGGUGAAAUUUCAUAUUAUAUCCCACCACAAGCUUCGCAGUUGUAGCAGCAAGCCAAAUUUUUCUUCAGUUCAUUACCUCAAUAUGGAGCAGCUGAAAAAGUGUUUGAUAUCUCUAUAUGCUCUAUACAAAGAAAAUCGAAAUUCAAAUUCUAUUUACAAGAAUGAACCUGAGUUUUGCUCAUUUCACGUUCUUCUUCAUCUUGGCUUUAACAACCAACCAUUGGUGGACACUUGCUUCCAUUGUUUGUUUGAGUUCAUCUUUGUCAGUAUCUCUUGCAGCCUUGUACUGGUUUCUGAAUAUGUUACUAUUUCUGUUCUGAAGGGAGAGUCACUCUCUUUGUGGUUGGGUCGUGUACCUUCUCUCAUUUUGAAGUCAAAGGAAAUGUGUUUUGCCCGGAGACUUUUAAGGUGACCACAAAGCUAUUAUAGAUUCGACUUGCAUAUAAAUUGUUUAUAUUCAUUUUACAUUUAACUCAAUGUAGAGUGGUUCUGUUUUUCAAUCGAUUUUUUUCUCUUCUUUUAGUACCCAAUGUUAAAAUUUUUGUUUUCAUGAACUGAAAGAUCUGUCUUUUCUUGUAACAGAUUAUUUCGGAUGGGCAAUUAUAAGCAUUUCCUUUGUACUACAGCAACUGAGGCAUCUUAUUUGCAGUACUACAUUAUUGAACCUUACAUCAAUGAGGUUGCUUAAAUAUGUUGAUUUUGCUAGAUUUUUCAGUUUGAAAAAUAUAUGCUUCUUUGUUCAUUUAUUGUAUUCCAGUUUCAUUUAUGAGAAUAUAUCUAAAAUCUAGACUCGAGUACUUGUGCUUUUGGGUUUUAUUUUUCUUUCAUUUUUGUUAGUAGUUGCACUUCAUUAUUCUUAAAUUUCUCACCAACUGUUUCUUUAUGUGGUUUAUUGCUCCUCACUUUCUUCAUUCAUCUGAAGUUUUCAAAUUCAAUUAGCUUGUUUCAUAAACUAGGUCUUAUUUAGAAGUUCUUCUCAACUGCCUUUUUUUAGUGCUUCUAAAAGACAUGCCUGAUUUAUGUACAUUUUGUUGGUUUUCUUUUGACCGUAAAAGGUUCGAGCAUUGGCAUUGUCAUGUGUAAAUUAUUGUGGCUACAAACUUCAUCCAUAUCCAAUUGCACACUUGUCCAAACUCUUGAUGAUGAAGGUAUGAUUGCAUUUACUAGCAUUAAAUUGCUAAAAUUUGUCAUCCAAAGUUCCAAUUUCUUUUGAACCUUGAAGACUCCAUUUGCAUUCUUGUAGGAAUUAGAUGUGGAAUCAUUUUGCAAUGCUUGUGGUCUUGAGACCAGCACUGGUGAACGGGGAAAUAAGUUCUUAUCAACCAAGCAAACAAACUUCCAUUAUCCCAAGGAAGUCUUUCCAAGCUACUGCCUUCGGGUUUGGAACACUUUUAGAGGUAACAAUCAAUUGGAACUAGUUACUCUUUCAAACUUCUUAUUGUACAAAUAUAGCCUGCAUGUGCAACCAUUUCUGAUCCCAUAAUUUCAAGAAUUUAUGACACCUUCUAGUGGUUAGUUUUUUUGGGAAUAGAGUAAAGCAAUCUAUUCACUCCCAGAAACUAUCGUCAGAGGAACAGUAGAUAACCCCGCAAGACCAAAUUUAUGUGUGUUGCAUGGAGAUGCAUGUUUUCUGCAUCCCAAUCAUGCAGUGUUGUGUCAAAUGGAAUAAUAGCAGGUGAUGAUAAGUGGUAUUUCUAAAAUCAUCUAAGAGUAUUCCAUCUAUUGUAAUAUUGUUUUCUCAUAACUGUCUUUGAGUCUUAUAUGUAAAUAUUAGAGUUGACCUCUUGUAAGCUAUCAAUUGAUGUUGUAACUUAACUUGAAAGGGAAAUUCUAUAAAUUUAGCCUUGGUUUGGCACUUGGAAAGCAAAGAAAAAUUAGGUUAGUGAGUUGAUUUCUUCCCUUCCCAUGGAUGUAAGCACAUUCUUGAAUCAUGUUAAUUAUUUUUUGGUUUAUUUUGUUGUUUUGUUGUUUAUUGUUCAAUUGUCUCCACAUAACAAGUGGUAUCAGAGUUGUUUCCGACACACUAGAUGAUUCUUGUGCUAACACAAUGUUUGAGGCUAAAUAUAAGAUAGUAAAAGUUUCUAGAAUAUUUCCCUAUGACAAUUACCAAUAAAGAAUGUACUUAACAGGAAGUUUGUAAGGUGUUACAUGGCAAGUUGAACAAAACCAAUAGCCAGAGAUAACUGAAAUAUUUGGGCCAUUGAUCCAAUAAUAGCAGAUAAUAACACAAGAAGAGACCCUCUAAUCACCAUUUUUGCUUUUGAUUCUUCUUUACAAAGCAUCAUCUACUUUAUACAAAAAGACAAUCCAUGGCUGAGCCCACAUUAUUCUCUACAUAUCCCAAAAAAGCCCUCCAAAUUUUAGGGCAUGAUGCUCUUUUUGGGGGUAUUUUUGGUACUAAAUUUGUGGUAGUCUCUCAAAUACCUAAACUAGCCUCCAAAUUUUAAGGCAUGCCCCACUGUUUGAGGUGGUGUUUUGGGUACUAAUUUUUGUUAGGAGAGGUUUUAGUGUGGAAACUGGAGGGCUUUACACAUGUCGCAUGUAUUUUAUUUUGCAUGCGUUACACGUGGAUUGGAGUUUAUGCAGUUACUCACACUUUUUGUGCGUCCAACAAUACUGUAGUGCCACGUCACCAUAUGAUGGGCUCUUUAGUCUUUUCAAACCCAAAAAAACACCCAAAAAAAAAAACUAAUACUAAAAGGAGUGCUAACUAGCUAUGUGAAGGUGAACCUUUAUAGCUAGCUUCUUAAAGGGACCAUGAUCGCUUAGGCCAAGGAAGUUUGAGGUGAUAAUAGGUCUGUGAUGCCUUUAGAUGUUUUAAGCACAUGUGCGUUACACUAAUGUAUUCAACGAGUCUAUAACCUUAACCGACAGGUCCGGGUAAUCUUUGAAAUUUCAUUGUGAUGGGAAGGUUCCAUGUGAACAACACUUGCACAUGGGUUAGUCAAUCUUAAGAGAUGGGGGAAGCCCGUCUAACAACGCACAAUGUGCGAGCUUUGAAAGGCAAUAGGGUUAACAUUUCUGAAUUGGGACAUGACAAUGACAACAACAUUAGGUAGUCUAGAGAUGUUGUCAUAUUAAUUGUUAUCAAUAUUUUUAUUUAUUCAAUAGAAAUUGAGGAUUAAAAAAUACCACAAAAAAUAGAAAAAACAAAAUUAAUUACAUGGCUUACAUUUCAGAUAUUUAAUAAAAUAUUGUAUGAAAGUUGAAUAUCAUACACUAUUAAAUGACUGGAUUCUCUUCUUUAUUUUUUUUAAUUGUCUCAUCCUAUUAAAUUACUCAUCUAAUAUUAAUUUAUUUUAAAGGUAAAAUUAAUUAUAUUGUAAAAAACUUUUAAUUGACCAGAGUUUGUGCACAACAUCUAAUAUAUACUUAAAUACUUUUCCAUGCUAUAAUCCUCCAACUAAGAAAUGAAAUCAAAACUUAAAAAUCAUUUAUAUAUAUAGAUAUAUGUUGUUAAGUUUAGGUAGUGAAACAAUUAAUGUGGAUAUAAAAUUAAUGCCAAAACUUUUGAUUGAUCCUUCACAUUCUCCACAACCAAACAAAGGAUAUAAGAAAUAAUGAAAGAAAUUUAGGGUAGUUUUAUUUUUUGUUCUCAUCUUGUUGUGAAGUUAAUAGAGGAAUGCUUAGGUUGGUGCUCAAUAGUUAAGUGACACCAGGGUAUAAUGAUUCUUCCAAUUGUGUAAACAUUAUCCGCUUUAAUUUCAAUGGAUCAUCAUCACUUUAAAUUGCAUCCACAUGGUUAAGAGUAACUCAUAUGUAUAUAAUAUCAUGAAUUUCUUCUUAUUCGAUAUGGAAUAUCAAAUUAGGUAUCUUUCAAUUUUAGGUAUUGUAUAAGCGUUUCAACUCAAAUGACUUGGCUUAAUGUAUGCUCAAAGCCAUGACAAAGGAACGUACAUGUAAUAAAGUGAAAAUUAAACCUUGUCGCCCUUCUAUCUCUAGUAUGAAACACAACUCCAUUAGCCCUUAAACAUCUGCAAAAAAAGAUAUACACAUCUGUUACAUUAAUUAAAAUAAAUGAUGCAAAAAGAGGCUCUACAUGUCCAUGUACAUAAUUUGAUUAGAUUUGUUAUAUAUAUAGAUAGAGAGAAAAAAAAACUGCUUAGAUUAAGGAUCUCAUUAAUUAAUACCUAGAAAAUAUAAAAUAAUAAGAAAAGAUUAGAAGGUGUGAAUCAUAAGAUAAGACUACAUUUUUGAAUUAGAUUCAUCGAAAGAUGGCAUAUUGUAUGAACAUUUGUACUCUAUAUAUAAAAAUUCAUAUUAUGGUUGAGAUGUAUUAAUUUGUCAUAUUUUUGGAAAAUUAAAGUAAUGAGUAAUUACACUAAAUUAAAUUAUUGACCUUAUUAAUCAAUACCUCAAGAGUAUAAAAUAGUAAGAAAUGAUAAUACAAACUUCAUUGAAAUAUUUUUAUACACAUUGUGUAAAUAUUCUUAUUUAAUAAAAGUUUAUAUGUCAUUAAAUAAAUAGAGAAUUUUAACAUUAAUUGCAGUGCUAAGUAGAGGAGAUCCCAUAUUUAAGUUGUUGAUUAAGGCUUAUUUGAUAAAACUUAAUAUAUAUUACUUAAUAACUUAAGUUGACUUUAAGUUAGAUAAUAUUUAAGUUAUUUACUUAAAAUUUAUUAUUUAAUAUUUACUUUAAGUAUUAAAGUUAUUUGAUAAAGCUAAUUUAAAAAUCAUUUUAAAUUUUCAAAUUGUCAUAUUUACCUUCAUUAAUUUGAUAACUAGAUGCAGAUAAAUGAAAAAAAAAAUGAGAUUAAGAAUAAGUUAAUUACUUUGAUUUAACACUUAAAAUUAAAAGUAACUUUAAAAUAUAAUAUUUAGUUAUUUUAUCAAAUAUAUUUAAUAUAUUUAAUAAUUAAAUUAAGUUAUUAAGUCAAUGAAUGAUUACCAAACACCCUAUAAGACCUAGAAAAUCGAAUGAGUUUUAAUAGUAUUCAGGAUGGGCAUGACUAGGUGGUGGUUCAAUGUUGAUUAAUCAUAAUUCAAUCAAGGCAAAAUAUGUAACAAAUACAUGUCAAACUGCACCAUCCAAAUGGGCACCAAGAACGUUACAUUUGACAAAUGCCAUUAAACCUUUACAGCUAGCAAUUAGAAGAUCACUCUCUUCUUGUAUCUCUCUUUUUCUCCAAACUCCAGGAGGAAAAACGCGAACUCCAUUAUUUUGAUCACAGAAAAAAUGGCAAAAAAGUGUGUUGUACUUCAUCUUGAAGCUCAUUAACUUCAUCUUAAUUUGAUCCAAAUUGCAGAAACAUUCGAAACUCCAUGAAUCUAUGGUGCUAUGGUGGCCUACAUUCAUAUAACUGGGGACACUUUGGUUUGCACUACAAUGACCCCCAAACAUGGUUUGUAGAGACUUUAUCAAGAUCACUAGCUUCAAAAGACUAAGGAAAGAAAGAUGUUCUCAAUGAAAACUUGGAGUCAAAUUGCAGAUAAAGACCUAAAACUCCCACUCAAUGUGUUUGAGGAAUUGUUGUUUCAUGGGGAUAAGCCGUUUGGUUUGUACACGUCUCCUUGGUGAUACUUAGAGAUUGGCGAAGUAUACGUCUCCUUUGUGAUCUGGUUUGUAUCUGGGCAGAUGAAUGUUCAUGCCAGGUUCAUAUAUGUUUCUGAUAUAUAUCACCCUGGAAGGAUCUAGAUCAAGGGGAUGAGUUUGAAAAGCUUGAGUAGGUUUAAAAUGUUCCGAGAAUUGGUGAGCAUGAUAUAUAUCAACAUGAUAUUGCAGAAGACAACAGAGCUUCUGAAAUAUGUCAGAUUCAAUAGUAGGAAAUCUUAUCAGCUGUCACUUACUGUAAUUCUAUGCUCUCAAUAUUCAUUUGUUGAAGAAGAAAAAAAAUUGCUUUCACACUAUUCAAUUACAGGAGAAUGUUCAUUAUUGAAGAAAAUAAUAUUCGCUAGUCUCUUUCAACUUAAUCAACAUGCAGAGAAAAGCAGUCGGGCGACCAAUUAUUCACAUAAAACUUACAUACAUUGUCUCUCUACCUCUACUUGUUACUCAUCAGUCAAGCUUAUAGUAAUAUAAGCUUGGGUUCAUCUCUCUAUGCCAUUGAUGAAAACUCCACAUGGGCUUUGCCUUUCUGGUGAUUUUGCAUUUGGAUUCCGACCCUCUCCAAGUGAAGAGGACCUAUUCCUUCUUGCUAUCUGGACUGCAAAUGGAAGUUAACCGGUGCCAAGAGGAUCAAAAGUUGGGCUUACCACCAAUAGACAGCUUGUUCUCUAGAGGCUGGUAAUGUGAGCAGCGAACCAGUGCAUGGUGCCAUGCUUGGAGAUGGAAAUUGUAUACCAGUGUAUGGGAGAGCUUCAAGCACCCGACUAAUACCAUAUUGCCAACCCAGGGAUUGGUGUUGGAGCCUACUGUUGAGUUGCUAUUUUUGAGGACCUGAGGUUUCCAAAUGGAACUGGAAGCUGUUGGAGGAAAAGACUACCUCUUUCAAAUGGGAGGUUGGAUCAAACUGCUGUUUCCAGAAGUGCUCUAAUCAAGAUAUUGAAGUCCAGUGAACUAACUUCAGGCAGAGGCAACCAAAAUAAAGCAAUUCUAAUACUCUCAGUCCUCUUAGGCCCCUCUGUGUUCUUCUUCUUCAUUUCUCUGGCUGCAAUUUCUCUAGUUUUCUACUGCUUGAUCCUCAAAAAUCUGCAGCUUUAUCACAGAAUCCUGAGUACAAGCGAUGGUAGAAGCCUUUGGCACUGUCUAUAAAGGGAUAUUACCAUCAGGUUCUGGAAAUUCUGUUGCUGAAAAGAAGUUGGAGAAGGUGGUGGGAGAAGAUGAGAAAGAAUUCAAAGCAGAAGUGAAUGUGAUAGGCCAACUCACCAUAAGAAUCACGGACACUAGCUGCGUUACUGUCGUGAGGGUGAACACUGACUACUGGUGUUUUUUUUUUUUAUGCACAAUGGCUCUUUAUCAAGCUUCCUUUCUGGAGGCGCCCAAGGACUUGUGUACCUACAUGAAGAAUGCAGUAAACAGAUCAUCCAUUGUGACAUAAAGCCCUCAGAACAUAACUCUUGGAUGAUUCUUCUACAGCCAAAGUUGCAAACUUGGACUGGGAAAGCUUCUGAUAAGCAACCAGACUAGAACACUCACAGGCAUCAGAGGGACUAUGGGGUAUAUUCAGACAACUCGGGCAGCCUAUGUCUCUUAUAAUAACACGUUAUGAAGCAUCAGCUCAAUGCCGGGGUUCAAUCUGCAAAGCAAGGGAUUCAUCAAUGUUUCCUUCAAACUAAAUGAUAAGGAACAGAAAUGGAUCAUUCUGCAUUUUCAGUGGUGUUUGUUAUAGCAUUUAUACAAGAACUCUAGGGGUUUCUAUGUAUAACUUCAUUCCCAUUUUGUAUAAUCCAAAUCUCUUCAAUCGAUUAAAUGUAUAAAUGAAUCCUAUUCAUUGUUUGGAGUAACAACAAAAUUCUGGAAGACUGGGAAAGUUUCAACACUGGAGAGAAGACAAAAUGACAAGACCAUAAAUUCUGGAAGAGGGCUUUGCUUUCUAACCAUUACCAUAAUUUUAGAGCUCAACCUGGAUGAGUAAAUUAUAUUUCAGAAUGUUCAGGAGAUAAUUCUAAAGUGAUGAACCUUCUACUCACAGUUUCUUGUUCUUCUUGAACAGAGCAAUGAACAUCAAUAGUUCAGCACCCAGGAAUCUCCCCUUCCUCCAAUUCCUCCACUGGGAAAAGUCACCUUUCCAGUUAAGAAAAUCAUCAGGAUUAGUUUGAGCAAAACAUCAGAGUAUACAUCAAGAAAGCCUUGAUCAAAAUCAAAAUACAUCAAGAGCUGCCAUUUUCUUCUAUUUCCUCUUCCCUGAAUGGAAUGCCUUUUGGACUGAGGUGAUCAAUGGUAACAAUCUAACACACUCCUUAAGCUCUGAUUGAGGUCAACGGGGAUUGGCACAUUUAAUGACUUUGAAAUCAUAGCUGUGUGAAGGGAGGCAAACAUGAAUCUCAGGAUAAUCAACAAGUCAACAACUAUCAAUCAGUAAGGAAAAGGAAAAGGAAAUACCUUUGGAUAUUUACAAAUAAAAAUGAAAUAUGAUACAAGAUUUUCAUGGAUUAAACAAAAAUAGAUGGCAAAAUAGAAGGAUAAGGUCACAGACAGGACAAUAUUAAAAGAAAUUAUUAUUUUUCCGACCUGAAAAUCAAGGAAUUCAGAACAGUACAAGUUUGUAAGUAGUCCAUGGAAACCAGGGAACAUAUGCAGAUGUUUUAUUCUAUUGCAUAAGGCAAACACUCAAUACUUACAAGCAUAAUCAUGCCCAGAAAGCCAUGAAUCCCUUUUUGUUUUGCCUUUUUAUCUAUUCCCAUCUCUUAUUGCCAGAAGUGCCCAGGAUGAUAUAAGCCUCACCAAAUAAGUUAGAAACCAGCCCAUUCAGCAGGUUGAGUAGCCAGCUUGCCCUCAAUCUUCUUUGAGUCAACAAACAGCUGGGCAUUAUUGCCUCCAAUGGAGGGUCUGGAAAUAUUAGAGCCGGCAGCAGGGGUGGCUGUAAAACUCUCUGUUCCAAAACCCCAAGUUUCAGGGCCAGAAGUUCCUUCUGUGGCUGGUUUGUUGUGAUGGCCAUUUCGGGUCCUAACAGACUUGCUAUUGUUGUCUGGGCACCUGCCUCAGAGAAAGCCUGCCAAAGAUUAGAGUCUGGGCCAGGGGAAACGGAUUUUCUUUGCUGGAGUUCCCAGUCUGUUGCUUCAAUCUUUUCUCUGUGCUGUUAUGAGAAGAAAACCUAUCAGACACAUGAAUGGGUACAAAAAGGUAAACUUCAGGUUUUGGUUGUAUUGAAAAGCACAGGAAACUUCACAAGAGGCAAAUUAUACCCCAGACUUAUUGAAGAAAAAUAAAGUACAAUUGACUUACCCAAAUGUCUACUUUCUCAUUUAUAAGUUUCCUCCUAAACAAAUCCCCACAUCUAGGACAGGAAAAGGAAGAAACUGGGAGUCAACAUUUUUUCAACCAAAUGUCAGCACUAAAUUAUCAAAAAACAUAGUUUUCCAUUCAACCUCGGGAGCUGUAUGUGCAGGUGUACUGUACUUUCUGAUAUUGUCUUCUUCAAUGCCCAUUUCUUCAGGCUUCUUAAAGUGCUUAUGAUUGGUGGAGGUGCUUCCAAAAUUACACAACUUCCAUAAUCCAUUAGGGCCCAAUAGAAGAUUCUCAGCAUUUAUAUAAGAACUUUAGGGUUUAUACGUAUGAUCAUGUUACAGUAUAAAUCAUAGUGAACUGGUGGAAUUUGAUUAUUUAGCCAACCUCAUCAAAAACUGUUUCACAGUUGAGGGGAUUGUUAACCUUGCCAUGGGCCAAGCAGCAAUUUCUGAAGAAGCUGGGUGACAAAGAGUACCAUCAUUUGGACUAGUUUCAAUGGAAAUUACUCUGUUUUUAUACAUGAUAUCUUCAGCUUCAGCUUUUCCUUUUGCUUUUGACAUGGCUGAAACUGAUCCUGAAAUCAAAAAUCCCACACAAGUAGAUAUUUAACAGAAGAGGAUCCGAAUCUCUUCAAUUGAUUAAUGUAUAAAUGAAAUAAUAAAAAAUUUUAGAGAUAAUUAUAGGGAGAUGAACCUUAUACCUCUGAGUUUCUUAGUCUUCUUGAACAGAGCAAUGAGCAUCCAGUGUUGAGCACCCAGGAAUCUUCCUUCCUCUACAGGGAAAAUCUGAACAAUCUAUCUUUCUUCAUAUUCCACUUCCUUGCAAAAGUCAAAACAUGAAGAAAAUAUCAUCAAAAUUGAGACAAAAAUAAGUGCAUCAACUGUCUCAAGAAGAGAUUUAUGCCUAUUGCUUACCUUUUGCAGAAGUCCACUUGGUUAGAGCACAUUUUACAUGGACGCCCAAUCACUGCAAGCUGCUGAACCAAAGGAGAGUUCAAACAUCUAAAAAAUUUGACUAACUCAAGUAUCAUAAAAUACUUCACAUGAAUUCUAAAUGAUCUCAUAUCUAAAAAACACUGGCAUAAAAUUAUUGUUGUUUACCUUACAUGUUUCUUCCAUGGUCAUAAUCGAAACUUUGUUUAUCAUAAGAAAUCUUUUAUGCUCAUCCUGAUUACUUACAAUGAUCACUGAAAUGAAAAGACAAAAAACACAAAAAAUGACGAUUAGUUUGAUUUGAUAAUUUUUUAAAAUUAGAAAUUAUAAAACUAUUUUGGUUCUCAGAAAAUUUACGGGAAAGUAGGGAAAAAAAUUGUAAACUUUUUCUCUUGUUUGAUUGUUUAUCGGAAAAUUGAGGGAAAAACAAAAAUCUAAGAGAAAUUUAUUUAACACUUAUGAGGAACCAAAAAUGUUUUAGAUGUUGUCAAAUCGAUAAUUUAAACGUGUUUAAUUUCAAUUAAAUGAGUUUAAUCAAACACAUGAAAUUGUGAAUAAAAUUAUUUAAAAGCAUUGAAAUUCAAGUCAUUAAAGUUGUCCAUAAAAUUUGAUAUAUUGAAGCAAGAAAAAAACAAAGCAAUUUGAAUGACUUGCUAAUGAAGCAGCUAACUAAAAUAUGCCCUAGAGUUGUUCUGUGCCCUGUAUAUAACAAAUUUAAAAAAAAAAAAUCCUAGAAAAAAAACAAACAAAAUAUCCAUGGUCUUAUGUUAUUUUUUUUCUUAAUUUUUCAAUAGUUAUAAAUGGUUCAUUUAAUUCUUGCAAACCACCAAAUCAAAACAGAGCAUGAAAAAGAAAAUCUUAAAUCAAAUAAACAGGACUAGCGAAUGAAUUGGAACUUGAAAGAAAAGUUCAAGCUCAAAAGAAUUACCUGACUCUAUAUUGGCGGAGUGGCACUUUGAUUAAUAUAGCACAAAAUUGAUCACUAUUUUUGGAAUGUGAGCUAUAUAACGCCAUUCUUCCCCUUUCUCAAAUUGACACCGUUUUUUCAGUAAAGGACAUUUGUAGAUGAACAGAUAAGAGAGGGAGUCUGGAAGUCUCUCUUUUGUCAAGUAUUUGAGCUUACGACACUUACAGAUCCCUAAUGUUUUAAGAGAGGUGAGGUGUUGAAGACCCACUUUUGUCAAGGAUUGGAGCAUUGGGCAGUUAUCGAUCCACAAACAUUCAAGAGAGGUGAGGUGUUGAAGACCCACUUCUGUCAAGGAUUGGAGCAUUGGGCAGUUUUCGAUCGACAACAUUUCAAGAGAGGUGAGGUGCUGAAGACCCACUUCUGUCAAUGAUUGGAGCCUCGAGCAUCCAUCAAUUUCUAAUCGUUUUAGAGAGAUAAGGUGUUGAAGAACCGAUCCUGUCGAGAACUGGAGCUCUGGGCAGUUUCUGAUCUUUAAUUGUAGAAGAGAGGUGAGUUGUUGAAGACCCCUGCUGUCAAGAGACUUGAGAUUCGAAAGCUCUACAAUUUGAAGAGAAGUCAGAGAAGAGGGCAGCAAACACUCCUUGGGAAAUAAUUCAAUGUCUUCACAUCCACCGGUGAUUGUGAAAUGAGUAAGAGAGGUCAGCCUUUGCAAACCCCACUCCACCUGGGGUGUGAGUUGGUUGCACUUCUUAAUUUCAAGUUCACGUAGGUUGGAAGGCAAACCCUCUCUCUGAAACAACAAUUCUGGACAAUCCCAUAAAUUCAACGACCUGAGCUUGGAGCACCUAUAAAUCUUACAAGACUCCAAGUUGAGAGCGUGCAAUUCGAUAGAUUCAAGAUCAGGGCAACCAUCUAGAGACAGGGAACAUAAAGAUGUGGGAUCACCCUCUGAAACCAAAAUGGAGAGCUUCUCAAGCCCCUUAAGAUCAAGGAUUGUGAAAUUAGUCAACUUUGGGAAGAUGCCUAAUGAGAAGGAUAACGAGAGAGAAUCAUCGAUAACACCAUCUUUGAUUUCUAGACUUUCAAGGACUGGGAGAUGGCAUCUGAACAACUCAGGUAGGAGAAACGCUAAUUUCGAGCAGUCAGAGAUGAAUAGUGAUUUCAGUGUAGUGGGUAAACCAACUUUGUGCAGGGAUCUAGAAAAACUACAAUCAUAGAUUUUCAGAUCAUGUAUGUUGGUUUGCGAGAUUUCCUCCUCUAGCAGAGACUCCACAUAAUCACAUUUUCUAAUUGACAGCUGGUGUGGUGCCAUUGGAAGUUGACUCCACUGAGACACAUCUAAAAUUUCAAUUUCUGAAGUUUGAAGAGCUGUGAAGUCACAACCUGCCAUUUGCAACUGCAGUUUACCAAAAUCCACCAUCCUCAAUUGACGAAUUGCAGGAACUGUGAGUGAAGCCAUAAGCAGUUGCGGACAUUCAUGAAUUUGAAGUUCCACCAAUGAAAGAAGCUGUUCUGGUAAUUUCCCAAUGAGUUUGGGACACCUUCGUAUAAAAAGCUUUUGAAGAUGAGGGAAUUCUCCACAACAUAACCAUUUCUCCCAGUUCUGCAUAUCCUCAAAUGAUAGUGUUUCUAGGAAUUGAAAGGAAGCAUUCCCAUAGAACUCAUCACCCACACACUCUACUCCAUUCAUCCUUGAGAUUUGCAGAUAUUUAAGUUGGGUUAGCUGUCCAAGUGGUGGCAAUGUUGAGCAAUUGCCACAACCCCGAAGCUCAAGGGACACGAGAUUCAACACUGAAGGAUCUCCAAGCCAAUUUGGAAAUCCUUCACCAGGAUAGUUUGUGAUGGAGAGUUGUUUUAAAUUUGGAUGAGGUUGUAACUUGUUGAGUAUAUCAUGCGUUGUUGCACCACUUUGUGUAACACCAUUGGUACACAUGUAACGCCAAUCAAAGAUCAACUCAUCAAGAUAACUUUUAUCCUGCAUAUUAGCUCUUGAUGCAUCAUUAACACUCACCACAUUCUCCAUGUUUGAAAUAUAAAGUUUUCCUCGAAGCUCUGAUAGCUCCCCCAAUUCUCCAAUUCUUAAUCCAUUGUUUUGGCCCACAAUAAAUCGAGUCAACCUUUGUAAAUUUUUUAAUUGACCAAUUCCAUGACUUGACAUUGCUCUCAAUGAACGACAUCCAUCAAUAUCAAGAUAGCGCAAAUUAAUCAAUUUUCCCAUCUUUGAAGGCAAUUCAUCAAGUUCUGAACAAUUUCUCAGCAUCAUCGUUUGUAAAUUGCAUAAACAACAUACUGAUUUAGGUAAUUUUUUAAUCCUCGUGACAGACAAAUCCAAGUAACGCAAAUGUUUUAAAUUACCUAUCGAUUUAGGCAAAUCAGUUAUUGUAUAUGCACAUAAUGAUAACACACGUAAACACCACAUUUUUGGUAAUAUAUCUUGCAAAACUCUUUUACUCAAAUUAUAUAUCGGAUAGUCUUCCAUUUGCUUCACUCCUAAGAAUGUUCGAAUAGAUUUAGCUUUAGUGAUAGCCUCAAAAUUCUUAAAUGCAACAAGCCUCUCAUAAUCACUUUUAAAGUACAAAAAGUGGUGAGCCUUCUCAGAUACUUUCAGUAACUUAUCAUCCUCUUCCACUCGAGCACAAAAAUCUCCAGACACGUGUUGAGCCAAUUCGUGUAUUAGAUCAUGCAUUACAAAGCAUGAUCCUUUUGUUCCAAUAGAUUUUUGAAAGAAUGACUUGGCGAGAAGUUCAUUAAAAUAUGACUCACCUAUCUCUUCCAUUCUCCUUCCUUCGUUUUCUUGUGGAUGUAAAAGACCUUCUGCCAUCCAUAAUAAAAUCAGCUUCUCUUUGUUGAAUUGGUGGUCCUGGGGAAAAAUAGAACAAUAAGCAAAACAAUGCUUCAGAGGUAGAGAAAGAUGAUGGUAGCUUAAUCUCAAAGAUGGAAGAAUUUCGGAGCCACUCUGCCGCCAUAUGUCACUGUUCAACACAACGUUCCAUUCCCCUUUGUCGGCCUCCGAAUACAAGAGACGGCCGAGUACUUUCACAGCCAAAGGCAAUCCUUGGCACUUGUCCACAAUCUGUCUGCCUAUGGGUUUAAGCUCAAGGAAUGCGUUGGGGUCUCUAUCUCCAAAUGCAUGCUUUUUAAACAGGGACCAACUAUCUUCAGAGCUUAAUUUCCCAAGAUCAUGAGUAGGGGCCGCUUUCAUGGCUUCUGCAACAGAUUUAUCACGACUGGUCACAACAAUCUUGCUUCCCUCUGCUGCAGCGAGGAGUGGAGUUCGUAGACGUUCCCAACCUUCACGAUCACUAAGCUCCAUGUAACCUUCAUCACGAGGCUUCAAAUUCCAGACGUCAUCAAGAACAAGCAGAAAUUUCUUGUUACUAAGUUGCUCUUUGAGUUGAAGCUGAAGCUUAUUUAGGCUGUCAAAAUCAUCAGUUUUAGAACCGAUUUCGUAUAGAAUUGUUUUAGUGACCUUGAUAAGGAGAAACUCAGUGGAAACACAGACCCAUACUUGCAAGUCGAAGUGUUUCUUCACUUCCUCAUCGUUAUAGAGGUGCCGAGCAAGCGUGGUCUUGCCGCUGCCGCCCAUGCCCACUAUGGACAUCACCCCCAUUUUGCCGCCUGUUGUAUUGUCAGAAAGCAACCACUUCACCAUCUCCUUCUGAAUUUCAUCCCUGCCGAGAACAAUGGAGUCAUCCUCCAAAGAAGUGGACGUUGGUAAUCUUGGUGUUGGUGACCGUGAUCCUGCUAGCCCCAACCGAACAAUUUCUCCUCCGAUUUUUUCCAGUAGAUCAAUCAUGCCCCUGACCCUGGACUCCAUGCUUUUGAUAGCAAAUGGGGCCUUCACAGAAGCAGAGAACUUGUUCCAUUUCCACGCCUUAAGAGUUCCGCCGGUUUGGGAGUCAGCAGCUUCCAUCUUGCAACGCAAAGCGUCGGUAGCGAUCUCGUCCAACAGGUCUUCCGCAUCAUACACAGCAUCCUUGACAUGGACGAGCCACUCUUUGACAUUUGGGUUGGAAAAUUGCUUCACCUCCGCAUCAUCGAGCACAUUGAGAACAACCACGAGUUUCCUCUUCAACUCGUUGAGGAGUUCAUCGCUAAGGUUCCGUCGCCGAAUGAAGUUUAUGAGCUCUGGAGAAGCCAACCUUUGGAAUAGAACUUGAAGCGAAGCUGAGAGGAGGGCGUCCGCCAUAUCUGUGUCGACUGUUGCUUUGCAAUAGGAAUUCAGAGGAUUGGUUUCUGUUACCGCGAUACCACCAAAGUGCAAAAGACUGGGUUUGGAUUACCACACUGCAGAAUGCUUGAAGGAAUCAUUAUUGGUGGUGGACCCAGCUGCCAGAUAUUUGUCAAACACCAUAAUUGAGUGGUGAGAAAAAGAACAGGAAAAGCAAGUGGGAGAUGGAUGGUGCUUUCCCAACGGAAAGCAAAAGCAACAACAACAUUCGGUAUUUUUCUUUUUCAUCUACGCAUUUCUUCUUUCUUCUUUCUUCUUGUAGUAUUAUUAUUAGUAGACGUAUACACACAAAUAUUUGUUUAUAACAUUAUCAUUCCUAAUAUUAUAAAAUUUAUUAUUAAUAGAAUUUAUUAUAAAAUUUGUUAUUAAUAAUAUUUAUACUAAUAUUAUUUUUUAAUAAUUAAUUAGUAUCCUUACUUUUAUUGUUUAUAAUAAUAAUAAUAAUAAUAAUAAUUAUUAAAAUUUAUUAGUAUUUUCAAGUAAACAAUGGUAUAUGCAUAAGACAUAUUAAAAUUUUGAAUAUUAUGGUUAUUAUUAUUUGAUUCAAAAAAAGUUUAUAAUAUAAUAAUAACAAAAAUAUUUUUUUUAAUAAAAUAAAUUAUAAAAAUAUAAGAAUUUUAUUAUUUAUAAAAUAUAUUUAUUUUAAUAUAAUUAAAAUAAUUAAAAUAAUUUUAAAAUUUAAAAAAAAAGUUAAACGUGACAGGAUUAGGAUGGGACCGACCUAUCCCAAUGCUGCCCAUUGCCAUCCCUAACUCACCUAGUGGUAAUUAAGGCCAUUUUUUAUUAUUAUUUUUUUAAAAUGGUCUUUUAUUCUUAAAAAAAGAAAAAGGAAAAUAUAUUUAAUAAUUAGAAAAUAAAACAUAAUUUUUGUUUUUAAAAAUAAAAAAUAAGGCAUUUUUAGAUGAUACCCUUUUAGUUACUUUUACUUGUUUUAAAAAAAUUAUUGUAAAAGUAAUUAUAUAAAUGUAAAAAAUAAAAUAAUCUAGGUAAAAAUUAUUUUUAAAAUAUAAAAAAUUAGUUAAGAAUACUCUAUCUUCUCAAGCUCGUUUUAUAAAAUAUCAUAAAAUAAUUUUCAAAAACUUGUUUUUUCAUUAUUUUGACAACCGGAAUAAUACACAAUAAAAAUAAAUAAAUAAAAAUAAAAAGAUCCAAAGAAAGACAAAUGUGUUGCAGUAAUGCACUUAAAUUCACUGAACCUAAAAGCCAAAUGUGCAGUGUUGACUUUUCAACCGAGAGUUCACACAUGCCCAUUUUUUUUAAUUAAAGCACUAUUAAUAUAAAAUAUAUAUUUAAAUAAAAAUUAGACUUUUAAAAAAAUUAAAAUAUAUUUUUAAAAUGUUAAAAAAAUAUUUACAAUAUUUCCUUAAAAAAAAACAUCUUCCAAAAACAUUUCUUUAAAAAAUACUUCCACCUAUAAUAAUUCAGACACACUUGUGAUUUAAUAGUUAAAUAUUCUUUCUAAUAGGAAUUCAACUAUCGGUUUGUAUUACCACGAUACCACCAAAAUACGAAAGACUAAUUUUGGAUUACCAAAAUGCAAAAGAGCUGAAGGAAUCAUUGAUGGUGGAUGAUUCAGAUGUCCACAUUAUUUGUCAGACACCAUAAUUGAGUGAUGAGGAAAUGAAAGAAAAGCAAAUAAAAAACAAAAAAGGUGAUGCCAAACAUGGUCUUAUAAGGUGGGUGGAGCGAAAGCAACAAAGGAAACUAGCAGGAUUUUUCAUUGCUAUUACAUACCUCAAAGGACAAAUUUUGAAUUACCAAAAUACAAAAGACUUAAAGGAAUCAUUGAUGGUGGUGACCAGAUGUCCACAUUAUUUGCCAAACACCAUAAUUGAGUGAUGAGAAAACAAAAGAAAAAGCAAAAAAGGUGAUGCCAAACAUGGUCUUGUAAGGUGGGUGGAGCAAAAGCAACAAAACAAACUAGUAGGAUUUUUCAUUGCUAUUCCAUAUCUCAAAGGACUAAUUUUGAAUUACCAAAAUAUAGAAGACAUGAAGGAAUCAUUGAUGGUGGUGGACCAAGAUGUUCACAUUAUUUGCCAAACACCAUAAUUGAGUGAUGAGAAAAUGAAAAAAAAAAAAUGAAAAACAAAAAAGGUGAUGCCAAACAUGGUCAUGUAAGGUGGCUGGAGUGAAAGCAACAAAGUAAACUAGCAAGACUUUUCGUUGGUAUUCCAUACCUUAAAGGAUUGAUUUUGAAUUAUCAAAAUACAAAAUACUUGAAGGAAUCAUUGAUGGUGGUGGACCCCGAUGUCCACAUUAUUUGCCAAACACCAUAAUUGAGUGAUGAGAAAAUGAAAAAAAAAAGUUAAGAAAAAACAAAAAAGUGAUGCCAAACAUGGUGUUAUGAGGUGGGUGGAGCGAAAACAACAAAACAAACUAGUAGGAUUUUUUGUUGUUAUUCCAUACUGAGAAAAUAAAGGGCUACUCUAGGUGAAUAGAAGUUAAAAAAUGUCUUUUUAAACACAAUAAAAUGAAGCACAAGAAGUACAAAUAUAAAGAGGUAAGGUUAUAGAAAGUAAACUCAAAUUUAUAGUGGUUCGACACUUCCGUGCUUACAUCCACUCUCCUCAAGCUCCUACCUGAGUGAGGGUUCCACUUAUACUUGAAGUUUCAACCAAGCUUCUAAUCACUUUUUACACUUGGAUUCCAGCUCCAAUGGAUUCUUAUACAAUCUCUUCAAGUCUUUACUCACUUGAAUGUUUUAACACUCAAUUAACAAGUUUGAAUCUCUCAACCUAGCUCAACAAUGACUCAAAUACAACUCAAGGCUAGGAUGAAUCACUAAGGUGCACUAAAGAAUAUGCAAAUGGAAGUUUAAUGCACUAAGAAAAUAAUGAGAGCUUUUAUGACAAUAAUAAGUAGGUAAACAAAUAAAUGCAAGUGUUCUCUUGCUCAUAAAUGAGGUAGAGCUCUCAAUUUAUAAGUUUCUAACCUCAGGAGCUAAAAAUCCAAAAAGCAAUCUCGACUAGUCGAGCUGGGGGUUGACUGGUUCACUAGCCGUUGAAACAUUAAAUGCUUGGCAGGUGACCGUUACCCUCGACCAAACCUUAACCGGGAAGGCAAAUCCAUAAACCAGGAAAGAAAGGCUACUGGAAGAGAGAUAAUGUUUUUUGCAUCUCUUGACUUAGAAGGAGUAAUCGGUAGACCGGUACCUAGCCGAUUGAGCCGGUUGACCAGUGCCUCGACUAGUUCACCAUUUUUAGUUCGAAAACCUAUCUUUUUCUGGUCUUUUUGCUUCUAGCACUUAGGCAAGGACUUUAGAUAAAAUAAUAUGCCAAUUUUGAAUGUUUUGCCUAAGGUUCAUUUGAUAGAACUCAGAUUUGGAUGGAAAUGUAACUUUAAUGCAUAAACCGAGUUUUAAAGAUGUAUGAAAUGAUAUGAAUAUCCUAAGUACACCCAUGCAUUCGUCUUACGUAUGUUUCUUAUGAUUAAAAGGUCUUUCAAAAGUCUUAAUCUUGCAUUCAUUAGGUCCUUUAAUGAAUUUCCAAAUUAACACCUGAAAUUCUUUAUAAUUCAAAUCAAUUAGUAACUUAACCAUGAUUUGUUAUCAUCAAAACAUGAUUAGAAGAAUCAUUGGGCUAACACAUACCCAAAGGACUAAUUUUGAAUUACCAAAAUAUAGAAGACUUGAAGGAAUCAUUAAUGGUGGUGGACCAAGAUGUCUACAUUAUUUGCCAGACACCAUAUUUGAGUGAUGUGAAAACGAAAGAAAAGCAAAGGAAAAACAAAAAAAGGUGAUGACAAACAUGGUCUUGUGAGGUGGGUGGAGCGAAAGCAACAAAGCAAACUAGCAGGAUUUUUUGUUGCUAUUCCAUACCUCAAAGGAUUGAUUUUGAAUUACCAAAAUACAGAAGACCUGAAGGAAUCAUUAACGGUGGAUGACCCAGAUGUCCACAUUAUUUUUCAAACACCAUAAUCAAGUGAUGAGAAAAUGAAAGAAAAGCAAAGGAAAGGAAAAAAAACGUGAUGCCAAACAUGGUCUUGUAAGGUGGAUGGAGUGAAAGCAACAAAGCAAACUAACAAGAUUUUUUGUUGCUAUUUCAUACCUCAAAUGACUGAUUUUGAAUUACCAAAAUACAGAAGACUUGAAGGAAUCAUUGAUGGUGGACAACCCAGAUGUCCACAUUAUUUGCCAGACACCAUAAUUGAGUGAUGAGAAAACGAAAGAAAAGCAAAAAAGGUGAUGUCAAACAUUGUCUUGUAAGGUGGAUGGAGCGAAAGCAACAAAGAAAACUAGUAGGAUUUUUCGUUGCUAUUCCAUACCUCUAAAUCACCAUAAUAAUAAUAACAAUAACACCAAAUUUUAAGGUUAUUUUUUGUUAUAAAAAAAUACUAGGAAAAGAAAAAAAAUAAUUAAGGAAAAUAAUUUUUUCAUAUUUGGUUUCACUAUAGAAAAUAUAUAUAUAAAAAAUCAAAUAUAAUUAAAAUUAAUUUGAAAUUUAUAUAUUUUAAAAGUAUUUAAUCUUUUUAUAAUUUAGAAAAAAUAAGUAAAACGAGUUUGAAGAAAUGUAUAAAAAUAAUUUAUUAAAUUUAAACUUAUUUCUUAUUUUCCUUCAUUUUUUCUUUUCUUCUACUUUUUCUUUCUAUUUUCUUUCCUUCUCAUUUUCCCUCAAAUUUUCCAAGAACCAAACAUAGCUUAAAGGUUUAGAAUCUUAUGCACAAGACUUUCAAUUUUUUUUACAAUAUUAUUUUAUUAGUUAAGAAUUAAAAUUUAAUGUACCAUAUCUAACACUAACAAAAAAAAUUAUAACAACCAGUCUUAUCUUUUAAGAAUGUAUUGUUUAAAUGAGAUUAAAAAUUAAAAAUAAAUUUUAAUUCAUUUAACAACUAAAUUAAAAUGAAAUUUAUAUAUAUCAUAAAUUUAUACAAUUUUGAAUCAUUUUAUAUGGAGGAUUGAGAAUGGAGAGAUUGAAGAAUUGUUUGGUGACGAGGAGAUUGAUUGAAGAUUUUAUAGUCUUAAGGUUCUAUGGGAUGAAAUUUUUUGUAAAGAGUUUAAAUUUUUGUAAAAAAUAAAAUUAGUUUUAUGUUAUCUGAUUUCAUGGAAAUAUAAAGUUUUAAUUCAAAGAUUAUGUUUUAAAAAUAUUAUUUUUAAAAUAUAUUUAGCAAAGAUUUAUAAAAAUUUAAAAUUAAAAUUAAUUAAUCUAUCAACUAAAUUAAAAUAAGAUUUAUAUAUAUUUUUAUAGAUUUACAUGUGUAAAAUCUUUGAAAUGCCUCAACUUAAAAUAACCUUACAAAAUUUCAUUAAUCUACUAGAAUUUGCAUUAGGAUGAAUACCAUCAUAAUAAUAAUUACGCUCCACAUAUGACGUAUCUUAACAUCCACUUGGAGGUUAAAAAAUAAUUAAAGUAAGGGAAACUAAUAUAUUUAAAAUUUAAAAAUCAUGAUGAAGAUUUGGACAAUAAUUCAAGUAGGCAUCUUUGAAAUUUGACUUCCAAAUCCAUUUGUCAAUAUACACCACCCUAUGACAAUUAAAUAAAUUAAAAGAAGGAAAAAAAAAUGUUAAAGGAAUGACAUAAGAAUUAUUUAUGUAUGACUAGAUUUAAAGUUUAAUUAUCUGAGGAAUCCUUUAUUAUGAAAAUAUAGGGAACAAUUAUAUUUAAGGAGUAGACGGGGUUGAUAAUGACUAAAGGGUACAAAUUUUGCAUAAUUGAUCUAAAAAGGUAGAGAAGGUUUGUAGAUUGUUGUGGAGGAUAUAAACCCAUUUUGUGAGUCGAAAAUGCUCAAAAUACCCUUAAGAGUGUUUUUUUAAAAAGGACAAUUAAGUACUCAUGAUAAUUAAUAUAUUAAGAUUUCAAGAAAAAUUAAUAAUAAAUAAAAUCUUUUUCUAAAUCUAUUUAACAAUCAUAUAGUUUUUAUUUUAUUUUAUUUUUUCAAGUUGCAACUAUUAUCUUAAUUUAUUUUUCAUUUUAAGGUUCAAUUAUUAUUAUUCUUUAUUUUGAUUAAUUAAAUGAAACUGUACAAGACAUAUUUAUAUUAAUUAGCUAAAAAGGAUAGAUUUUUUAGCAAUACGAUUAAAAUAAAUAAAAACAAGGAAUUUGAUUUUCUUUAUAAAAUAGAUUGGGAAAAGUAUAUUUCGAUACAUUCGUAUGAAAAAAAAAAUCAUAAAAUAGGAACUCAAGUUUAUAAAAUACAAAUUUUAAGCAUCCAUCUAAAAAUAAUUAUCAUUUCAUGCAUUUUUUUGGUUAAAUAUAUUAUAUUUGACAAUUUAAGUAUUAUCUUUUAAUAAUGUAGGUAAUACCUUUGACCUGCAUACAACUUGAAUUAUUUUUAGAUAGUUUCUAUUGUAUAAUUAGUUCAUCAUUUGAUAUAAAUAUCAAAUAAUUAAAAAAUAUAUCUUUUUUUUUUAAGAAUUUUAAUUAUAUUUGACUUUCUUUUGUAUUUUCUAUUGUGUAAACCACAUAUAAGAAAAUCAUUUUCUUUAACAUUUUUUUUUCUUUCCUUAAUAAUUUUCGAGAACCAAACAUGGCUUGUAGGUUUGGAUUAUAGGGUAUAGAUGCCAUAAAUACUGGAAUGAGUUCGGGUUUUCCAUGCUAAAUGUCUUUAUUAUUAUUUGGUAGCGCUUUUCCAAAAUUGUUCCAUUCCCAAAACCACUUAAUUUGCUUAAAUAUUUUAACCUCACGAUAUCAUAACAUUAUAAUGGAAUAGAUUUUGUUGGUGUUCAAAUCAUGUCAACUCAAUUUCCAAACCAUUUGGAUUGUCAUUUGGUGAAAAAUAGAAAGAAAUUUUACUUGAUUGAAAAGCAUUUCAUUUUUAUUUGAAUAUGCUGCAAUGAAACAGUUACUAAACCAUGGGGUAGCAGAAGAAGUAAUCGAGAAAAUGAAGAAGGAUGUUUAAGAAUUCUUUAUGCUGCCAUUGGAGGAGAAGAAUGCUUACACAUAGCUACCAAAUAGCAUUGAAGGUUAUCACAAAGAAUGCUUAACAGUUUUCUUAAAUUUUGUCCAAAGUUUAUGAAUUUUUAUUUUUUAUAAUUUUUUUUUACUUAAAUUGAAACUUAUUAAUCAAGGUAAGAUUUCAGCCACAUCGAGAAACAAUUUACGUGAAAAGGGACUGAUAAAAUCUUGAGUUAACAGAUGUAAAAGACAUAAGGCCAAAGACUCUAGAACUCCAACCCACUGAAUCAAGAAUAGAAACACAAAUUUAUCUACCAACCUACACUAAUCUCAUAUCUACAAUGCAACACCAUCGUACUCUUAAGUGACUUGAAAGGAUGUGAAUAUUUCUCACAAGCUUCAUAAUGAAAUUCAAAUUAGCUCUGAGAGUUUUGGGUUAGGCACAAAGAGUAAUAAUGCAUAGCUUUUGUGUGUGAGUUUUUAAGUGAACUUAAGACUCAAUUUAAAGCAUGUAUUUUACUAAAAAUAAAAAAAUAAAUUUAAGAAACUUCAAGAAUUUUGGAAAGAUAAAUUUUAAAAAAAAUUCAAAGAGAGUCAGAAAAUGUUUCCUUUUUAAAUUCUCAAUUUAAUUUAUUUUCAAAUUUAUUAAGAGUUUAAGAAAUAUUUUCUUUUUAAAUUAUCAAUUUAAAACGCUCUUUUAAAUUAUUUUAUUAUUAAUUUUCAUGCAAGUCUACUCUAUACAUUUUACAUCAUUAUUCUCAAUUAACUCAACAAUAUUAGAGUGUAACAUCCCCAAUUGAUUUUGCACCAACCUUAAGUCUUCAAAGACAAUGAUUGAGGCAUUUCUUCUCCUAUUUUCUCCGAUGUAGAAAAAAAAACUUGAAUAAGGUUAAAGUUGGUCUAUAGCAAAAAGUCUUAAUUUGAGUUAGCCUUUUUUUUUUUUUUUUUCCAAAUGAUAUGCAGGUCCAUCUAGCCUUCAACUCAAAUUUUUUAUUCAAAAAUCACAUGUGGAUAUGUGAACAAGUAAAAGUUGAGUUUUACCUAACAUAUCAUUUUGAAAAUUAGGAAAUUUAAAAGGUAUUAGUUUGUUAAACUCACCACCCCUGUCUAUUCUACAAAACAAGAAGAUUAGCAAAGAAAAAGUAUUCAUAUUUGUACUACAAAAUAAAAAGAUUAGCAAAGAGAGAAAUUGUACGCAUGAGUGCAGAGUUUUGGGUUAAAACAACCCUUUUGAUGGGAAAAAUAUUAAAUUUAACCACUUUGUCAAACUAAUGUGUAAAAUGAUCCUUUUAUUAUCACAUAGGAGUCAUAUCACUAAUAUAUAUAUAUAUAUUUAAUUUAAGUUGAAGCCUCAAUUGCCAAUUAAGGCUUCAAUUAUCAAUUACGACUUUAUUUUUUAACCCGAAACCUUACUUGCCAAUUGAGGUUUCAACUAAAAAAAGAAACCUCAAUCGUCAACUAAGACUUAAUUUUUUAAUUGAAGCCUCAAUUAACAAUUGCGGUUUUAUUUUUAAACUGAAAUCUCAAUUGUCAAUUGAGGCUUUAUUUUUGUGAAAGGAUUAUGUGACACUCACGUUACUAGAAAAAAGCCAUACUGAAUAUAAGUUUCAAAAGUGGCUUAAAAGGUAUAAAUUUUAUGAUCAAAGAUGCCAUUUUGACCCAAAUCCCAUGGGUGCAUGAGACUCUAGUUAAUCAUAGAUUUCAUAGAUAAAAAUCAGAGUUAGGAUGAUUCAACCCCUAAGCGUCAAGAAUUCUUUAACAUAAUGUUAGAACAUUUUCCAAUUUAAAUUUGAGAGUUGACUUUAUUUGAAUAUGCUUUUGAUUUUUUUUUUUUUUUAAAUAAGCUUCAGUGUUUUUUUUAAAAAGAAAUAAAAAUAAAUAAAAAUAGGAGCUUCUAUAUAGAAAGUAAAAAUUUUAUCCAACAAAUAUAAGGCUCACCUUAUAUCCUUAUAAAAUAAAAAAUUUUAAAUUUUUUAAUACCUCAAAAUUUUUAAUCAAUAUUUAAAUAUCAUUAUAUUUUCAAUAUGAUCCUUUAAAAGUUAAAAUUACUUAUAUUUUUUAUUUUCAAAAAAAAAAAAAAGAAUGAAUUUUUAUGUUUUUUAAUUAUUAAGAUGGAUGAAAUAAUCCCAAAUUUGCAAAAAUAACUUCUUCCAUGUUUGAAUUUGAAAAAUAACUCAUUUCCAACAUAAAUACUCUUCAAUAUUUGGAUUAUUUUAAUAUAAAUUUUAGAAGAAAGUGUUAUUUUGACUGGAAAACAUGAAAGACAUUUUUGUUAAAAAUUGAUCUUUUUUUAAGGCUAAAAUAUAUAUAGGUUUAUAUUUACAAAUUUGAGACUAUUUCGUCCUCUUAAUCAAAUAACUUAAAAAAGAAAAGAGUUAAUUCCACAAGUGGGUUUAAAAUACUCACAAAAUUGCAAUAUAUAUAUAUAUAUAUAUAUAUAUAUAUAUAUAUAUAUAUGAAAUUACAAAUUUACCCUCGUGUGUUGAGCACAUGACACUUCCAUUCAUUAAAGCUAACAUUGUUAAAUAACAAAUGUACAUUGCAACUAUUUAAGAAGUAUGAAGGGCACAUUGCUUGAUUUUAGUACAUGGUGAGAAACUUGUUGAACAAGUUAUGUGUAAAGUUUUAUGGUUCAUGUAUGAUAGAAAAUACAGAUCUACUACAACACUGGAUUUGCAAUUUUGGUUAGUAUUUAAAGAAAAGACCAUAGGACAAAAAGAAUUAAACUUUUGGUGGAAAACAAUAAAGAAAGGACUACAUGGAAAAAGGGAAGAGAUCAUUAUAAAGGAAGAUUAUUGAAUAGAAAUAAUUCCAAGAACCUAAGGCAAGACAUAGAGUAUCACUACUACUAUCACAAAAAGGGGUAUAUCAUAAAAUUUAUGAAAUUUUGAAAAAGACCUAAAAAACGAAGAAAAAAAAAAAAACAAAUCAAAGAAGCCUACAAGUGUAACUAGUGUUCUUAAAGUUGCGAAAUGUAAAUCAAAAGUAGAUUUGUUAAUAGUUUUUAAAAUGCUUAAAUUAGGAAUUGUCUACUUGUACCAUACAAGCCCUUGUAGAGACUGGUUUGACAUGUAAAUUGUUUGUAAAAUCAUUUUAAUGGGCAAUAAUGCACCAAGUUGCUCCACGAGAAGGGGAGGGGUUUGUGAAACCAUCACUUGUCGUGGCAUACAUCGUCGGGUAAUCACGGAUGAGGGCAUCCACGGGAGGCCAAUGUCUACCCUCGCUCUACACCCCUCUAGUACAAGGCUCUAGGAGGGAGAGAGGCAACAAGUGUGUGACACCAAGGUAAAUAUGCUUGACCUUAUGGCUUUGGGAGCAACUUGCAUUUAAAGACUUGAUGAUUCACAAGAUUCUACAAUUCAUACCAAGUAUUGCAUUUUGCGACGUUCUUCAUCAAUGAGAGAGCCUAGAUAUCCAUUGUCAAGAAUUAUUUAUGUAUGAAAAUAAAGGCGCCUAACCGACAUGCCCAAGAUCAAGGCAACUGGAGUGUGUUGCUUCGCCCAAGUUACUUAGCGCGUUUUGUGCCAAAGUUUGUUGUUCGCUCAAGAGGGCUUUUGUGAAUCUUUGUAAUAAAGGGAUAAUACAGAGUGGGCCGUAAUUUAGCAUCUUACACGCUUAGUUUCUUCCAUUGGUGGCAUAUAUUAUUUUGUCUGUCAUUGGUGAUUAUUUAAUAAAACUAUGAGAGUAUUUCAUGAAAUAUAAAUAAGAGGUUUUUAGGAUAUUUAAUCGAUGGUAAACAAAAGUUGAAAACUAAGUAGGGAGGAAGAUAAAAUAUUUUAGAUUUGAUAGUGGACUUGAGCAUUAGAACAAGAAGUUCACAAAGUAUUGCGAGAAUUCUUAUAUAACUUAACAUCACAUGUAAAGAAAUUACAAAGCAAAAUGGAGUGGUUGAAAAGAUGAAUAGAACACCAUUGGAAUGACUAGGUGGCUAAGAUUAAUCAUUGGGUUACUUAAGAAUUUAAGGGCUAAAGCUAUCAACAUAACUUAUCAUGUAAUUACUUAGUUGUCAAGUUUUACAAUUAUUUUCAAUAUUCCAAAAGAAGUGUCAAGUAAAUCAAUUGACUUUUCAUCUAUUGAAAUAUUUGAUUGUUGCACUUAUCUUCAUAUAUAGGUGAAAAAAAAAUUCAAUCCAAAAUAAAAAAGGUAUAUAUUCCUUGGGUUUGAAAAAAGGAUUGAUUAAAGACUAUAGACUUUGGGAUCCAACAAUUAAAGAAAAAAAAGUGGUGAGUAGAGAUGUAUUCGAUGAAAAACAUAUGUUAAAGAAAGAUCAAGGACAAAUGAAAUUGUUAUUGAAAAAAAAUUCAACUACAUGACCAAUCAUCGAGAUGAAAUUUGAGAAAAAUGUCAUUAAAUAUGAAAUCCCUCCUAAUUGAUGUCCCUAUUAGAACUUUAUAUAGGCAUCUUUCUCUAUUGCUCUAAAGAAUCAUCGUAUUGGGUAAGGACAUCAAUUUUAAGAUUUUAAUUUUUUUUUCAUUAUUUAUUGGAAUAGGAGAUCUUUAAUUUUUUUUGGGGUGCAAUUAGGAAGGAUGAUAGUUAUCAAUGUCUUGGUGCUAUGUCAAAUGAGAAUCCAAUGCACAUGUUGACUAAAGUUGUUCUUAAGGAUAAGUUCAAGCAUUGGUUGAAUGUCAUUAAUUUUUCAUUUUGUAGAACAUGGAAGGUCAAUUUUAUCGAAGAGCCAGGUCAAUCAACUUCUAUUAGGACUUCUAUUGAUUCUUGACCAAUGCACAUGUUGACUAAAGUUGUUCUUAAGGAUAAGUUCAAGCAUUGGUUGAAUGUCAUUAAUUUUUCAUUUUGUAGAACAUGGAAGGUCAAUUUUAUCGAAGAGUCAGGUCAGUCAACUUCUAUUAGGACUUCUAUUGAUUCUUGAUUUGAUUAGAGGGACUCCUAGCAGUAAACUUGUAUGAAGGGGCCCUAUGGAGAUGCAAGAGAUGCAAGAGCUGCCAAUCAGAUCGACCAAUAAAUGAUAGGCCCAUGCAGAGAUGUCCCUGAAAUAGGGGAUUGGUUGAUUGGAAAGCUUAGGCAGUGUAUAAAGGAGAACAAUUUAGCAUAUUGGGAAAAACACAUAUGAAGAUGUUUACAAGUUUGGAAAAUUGAGUUAAAGAAUAGAUGGUCUAAAAAUGUUUCAAAUUUCAAUUUUAUGUUUUUCUAAGUUUGAUAUAUCCUAUUUGGAUAUUUAGGAAGUCUUCUCUUGUUAGAUAAGAUAGUCCUAUGAUGAGAUUUGUUAUGAAAAUAGGUUCUUCCUCGUGUGAAAUAUUCCUAUGAAAUUAAGAAGGAAUAUAGGAAGAGUUUUGAUUGAAAUUAUGAAUCUUUUUUUUAUGUAAUUAGAACUAAAAUAUGAGAGUUUUAUAAUUGUAAUUACACCUUUGAAUAUAAAUAAUUGAUAAUAGUGAAUUAGUUUACCUUCUCCCUCUAAAUGUAGGUAAAUGCUAAAUUAUGUUAAAUCUUGUAUUCUCAUAUGAUUUUUUUUUCAUUUAUUUUUCAUUUUCUUGCCCAUUUCUAACUUGCUACUACAUAAUAACAGGUGGUAUCAGGCUUUUUGUGUUUGCACAACAAAUGGUCUCAGUAUUUCCAGCACCACAAAAAUGAUAUUUUACUUAAUUGCUCCUCAGUGGAAAAGUUGGAAAGAAAAAUUAAAUCAUCGACUAUACCUUUUUUUUUUUUUUUUCAAAACUUUUCUCGUCUUUGUGCAAGAAAAUUAGUAUAUUUUCUCUUUAGUAUUUGUUUCUCUUUUAUAUAUAUUCAAAUGAAACCUUAAUCAUCUUUUAUAUGAAGUAUAAAAGAAUUAGAAAAUAUUCAAAUUUUAAAUGAUUUUUAUUAUACUUUGUCCACUUCCUAUUUCAUAUAUCAAAUUACAAUAGAAUUUAAAAUUCUUUUAUACGUUUUUCCCCCCUUUGCUACCACAUAAAUGCAAAGACAGUAUGUGAGUUAAAUACCUUAAAAGAAAAAGAAAUUAAAAUGUGAUAGAAAACAAAUGUAACCUCUUGAAAUUCAAGGAAACAAAACACUAAACUUUUUCAUGUAUUUUAUUCCAUUUAUAAAUGCAACAUGACAAAAAUAGACAAAAAUAUAAAUGGAAGCCCUUUGGGUCCUUCAUUUUAUAUUUUAUCAACUUCGACCAAUUCUAUUUCUAUAGCACAACCGAUACUAUAAAGUUCAAUGAGUAUAUAAUAUAUAAAGAUACUAAUCAAUACGAAUUAUUCUUUCUUUCAAAUGGCUACUUGUAUUAAAAAUUAAAUGUAAUUCCUCCUAAACAAUAAAAUAUGUUGACACGAUUUCAAUGAAUAUACAGUACAUAAAGAUAUGACCAAUUAGUACGAAUUAUUCUUUCUUUUAAAUAGCUACUUAUACUAAAAUAUAAGUAAAUAUAAUUCCUCCUAGAUAACAAAAUAUGUUGACACAAGGAGGAAUAUAUUUACUAAUUAUAUCAUUUGCAAUAGCCUCAAUCUCGCGACGUUCUUCGAACCAACCAUAGACUUUAUUGAGAUAGGUUAACCAAGGGAGCUUCCACUCUCAUAACUCGUAUAUGAAAAUUUCAUCUUGUACAACUCAAAUAGAAACCCAUAAAUACCAGUUGAAACCAAAAUGUAAUAAAUAAAUAAAAACAUAUUUCAAUGGAUCCAAUUAGUAUUUUUCCGAUCUAGGAUAAACAAACAAAUUUUUCUUCAUUUUGCUUUUUUUUUGUAUUAAUCUUUGUAAGUAAAUUAUAUUUUAAUUUAACAAAGCACUAAACUUUACUUUAAUUUUCAUGCAGGAUCAACUAGCUUAUCAUAAUAAAAUUUAUCAAUAUAGUUGAGCAGAGAUUUGAUGUAAUAAUACCAUACAAAAUUCAAGUAAAAUUAAAUUAAUCAAAUAGGACACUACGGUUAUAUUUGGAUACAUAUUCUAUUUUUUAUUUUUAAAAUUAAAAUUUUGAUAUAAAAUAUGACAACCCUUUGUAUAAAAAAUAAAAAUUUAUCCUAUAAUCUUAAAACUACUUUUCAAUAUUAAAAAAAAAAUGAGGAUGUGUCCUAAAAUUUUAAACAAAUUUAAAAAUAUUUUUAAAUACCAAGAUAUCCACUUUUUUCUUUUUUAAUAAAAAUUCCUAUAUUUGAUAUAAAACUCUAUUUUAAAAAAUGAAAAAUAAAAAAUGUAUCCAAACAUAAGCAAAAUUGUUAGAUUUCAUUGUGAGAUUUCUUAGAUUCUACAAUUCAUAGUGAAAUGAAGACGAGAUAUAACUGACUGAACUAUGAAAAAAAAAAAAUUAACAUUGAUGAGAUUCAAAAAUGCUAGUUAAUGAAAGAGUUUCUCCGCCAGGAUGACUAAGAAAAAUGCUGAAAAAUGUGUCAUGCCCAAAGCAAUGUUACAAUGAAGAAUAGAAUGAGAGCUAACCCGAAACAAAAUCCGACAAUCGCCAUGAAAGCCUGGAUGCAGAGGAAAUGUAACUAGAGACAUGUAAGGAAUCAUUAAACAAGUGAGAACAAUAUCAAAAUCUCAUGUACGACUUACCUUUCCCUGAGAUUCAAACUUGAAUUUUACUGUAAACCAUGACAAUCCUCUAUCUACAAUAGGAGCAAGUGCAAGGGCCCUGCAUGAGAAGCACCUCUACAAAAAUCACAGAAAACCCAAAGGAAAAAAAAAAAAAUAGGGUUGAAUAUGCUAUAGUUGAAUAACAGCCACAAUGCUGGGAAGGUCAAUAACAAAAGCAUUGACUUGAAUGUUAGCAGUGUCAUUUACACUGGCCAUAAGAACCAGAGGUAAUGCGUACAGUUGGUAAGUGGGGAGGAGGGGAUGAGAAAUUGCAAAGUCUUGAAUUUAAUUGUUUCAUGCAAUUCCGUUUUCCAAUACUCUAUAUGAUAAUAUACAUUGUACGGAACAAAAAUAGGGUUGUUUUAAAAUUUUGAACAAAUAAAAAUUUCAUAUCAAUAUCUAAUAUUUAAUAAAAAAGAAUGAAACAAGAGUAAGUACAUUCUCUUCUCCUUAACAUGGUAUUAAAGCAGUCUCCAAACUCUUAACUCCUAGUUGCAAACUUGAUUUCCACUGGAAGUUGCAGUUUGCUUAUUUUGUUAUUCAAGUAAGUUACUUCAAUCUAUCAUAGUUUAAAUGACUUGGGAUGGUAGUUGUCAUGGGCACGAAUUUUCCCACAAAUUUUUUGCAUCCACGCAGCGCUUAGAAGCCCUCUGAGCCAACAUACUCAAACCCACAUGAGAUUGCAAUCAAGAAAAAACUCACAAAGACACACAAGGCUAUGGAGCUCAAUCCCUAACUUGUAUUUUAUUUCUUCUCUAAAUAACAAUACAAGACAUAGCUCAACAAGACUUCCACAAUCUCUUUGGUGAGUUCAUGCUCUCUCUCAAGCUAUGUUUUAAGAAAGUUCUCCCUCUCAAUAUACCUCUGUAUAUUCUCUAUGAUCUCCAGAUUGCACGAUAAUUCAAAGGGCACUCCAGUCCUCCUUUUAUAGGUGUGACACCAACCACUCCCUAUUCGAUAAGGAGCAAUACAUCUUCCUUAAGCUUGUCCCAAUGCCAAGACAUCUUUGUUGUGUUCUGCCUGAAGUCUACCCACUCUUGUGCCUUGAGUCAGUUCAUUCAUGCAUUUGAAUCAGCUGAUGCAUCCGAUCAGCUUGCUAUAGAGUCUCUAGGCAGCCUACUACAUGUGUCUCUAUGCAACUAGUGUGCAUGCCAAGCCCUCUCUUAGCCUACAGAUCUAGCAAUUUUCCUUGGUGCCAAUCUUUUCUUUGGUUCUAGCUCCUUGUUGUUCCUUGAGCGUGUCAGUCAUGCUCAUAUGUGUUCCCGCAUCUGGAUCACGUCCAUGCCGAGGCAACCUGCCCAUGUUUGCUCUGCCUAGUUGUUGCUAUAGCAUCAUGCCAUGCCCAAGCCCUCUUCUUGGUGCAGCAACGAGUCAUGGCAUUGCACCCAUGACUCCUCAUCUCUACGCACAAGGCAUUGUGCCUUUGUGCUAAGCAUUAGGCAUCACAUCUGAGUCGGCUUCCCUUAUCUCUAUGCACAAGCCUCAAGGCAUUGUGCCCUUGUGCCAAGCCACCUUAUUGCACAAGGCAUUUCCCCCUCAUGCUACCGUUGGGAAGGGAAGACUGCAUAGCACCCCAAGUCGUUGCAACCAUGAGUUGCACACCAUCACAUGUCAUGGAGCCCAUGUAUGGCUGCUAGCAAGGCGUUGCCCAUGUGCCUUGCUCAUGUCUGAGGACUUGCACUGAAGCCCCUAAGUGUGGCCAUGCCCAUGCCACCUCGUCUCCCUUGAGUCACCCCCACCCUCGCCCCCCUUAAAAGAGCAUUUUAAGCCCUUUUAAUUAAUUCAGGAAAAUCUAGAAAAUUCCCUUCCACUUGGAGUCUCCCUUUUGAAGGUUCCUAUAAAUCUUUUAUCUCUAAGCAAAUUAACCAAGUCACUUAAUUGUUUUGCAACAUUCCUUCCCUUCCCAUAGUGUAUUUCAAGAUCUCUUAAUGAACAAGACAAUUGGUGGAGGGCAUGAAGUAAAUGGAAUUUAUCACCAUAUCGGCCCACCUCUUACUCCAAUUGCUCUACAUACUUCCAUUUCUUCUAUGUAGUGGCACACCUUUCACUUCGCAUCUUUAGCAUAUGGGACUUCUAGUUAUAUUGGACUCCAAGUUAAAGCACCAAGUUUGCGAGUCAAGAAAAUAGCUUCAUCAUAGUGUUGUUCUAGUCCUUUUUGUGCUAUAAUCAAUAAGAGGAGUACUAGUCCUUUUCAUCUUGUUCAUUUAGACAUUUACAGUUUAUGUUGUGUUGUUCCUAAUGUUGAACUAAACUUUCUUAUUGCUAUUUUAUUAAUUAGAUCAAUGAAAAUGGUAUGAGCAUAAAGAGGCUGAAUAAUAGGUACUAAUCUCUUAAAAAAAAAAUUUUAAAAAUAAUCUUAUAGAAACAUCAUCAGGUGACUAUGCACAAGUAAAUGGUCUGACAAGGCGUGAGAAAAACAUUCAUUUUUGUGCAAGAACCAAGUAUUUGCAUCUUAAUCAACCAAAGAAUAAAUGGCUGAAGACAAUAAAUGACUGAACAAAAAGAAAAUCAUAAGUUUUAGGCCAGACACUUUUUUCAUCAAUUAUAUACAACAACAAUAAAUCAAAUAGUCCUAAAUUUCAAGAGAAUAAUGCUCAGCAGCUAUGCAUACUCACAAGUCACAAAUACCUCAUCCUUAACUAAUUUACAUGAAUGAAUUAUUUACUUACCAUACCAAGAGAAACGUUGUAAGAUAGUAUGCAGUAUUCAGGAGUCCAUAGGAUAAUAUUCCAGAAAUUCCAUAUCUCUUCAGUUUCUUUAGAAGACUGAAAGGUUAAGCAAGAGUGAGCUCUCAAUGUAAGUAGACAUGCAUUUAUGCAUACAAAGGGCAAAAGGAUUGAGGUAUCACUUCUUACAGAUUGUUUGCAUGAAAUUCAGUAGUAGAAGAGAAAUUAAUAUGAUUGGGACAAGAUCACUCAUCCAAACAAUAGUUUAUUUACUGAGAAAAGGUCUACAGCAUACUCAUGCAGUAGACAAAAUGAAUCUUUUGUGUCAUGUUCCAAUAAUGUUAACAAACUACAUUAAAUUCAUAAGGUUACAUAGAAAAAGAAAGAAAAGACAUUGUUGCAAUAGUUUGUCUGUUACACUGCUAGCACCCAGACUACGACCAAAUCCUUGCAUUCAAAUUGAAUUUCAAACUCCCAAUGUGAAAAAGGAAGAUACAAAAAAGAAAAGAAAAAAAAGAAGAAAAAAAAAAGUGGGAAAGAAAAGAGACAUGGGAUUUCUAUGUAUAAUAAAUACAUAUUAUAUGUAUAGAUAAAUGCAUGUAUGUGCAUAUGUGAUAGAGGCUGGUCAGACACAUUUCAAGAAGUUUCACAACUUGCUUUGGAAUGACAAACACCUGGAUCAAUAAAUGGCUUGUCUCCAUUAUUGAGAAAUUGCAGAUAAAUUUCAUCCACUACGGGCAUGGGGUGGCUGGACAAAGUUAUGCCAUUUGGUGGGAUGUAGUGGACUUAAGACAGAAAAUUCUCAAUCAUUCUUCUGUCCCUUGUGCAGUGUUGAAGCUGACAAUAUUAUUGAGCAUACAAGGAAUGUGAUGUAAAACAUCAUUGAGGAGCCAUGAGCUGCGAAUGCAUGGAGAAAUUAAGUUAUGAUUAAGUUUUGGUGAGGGAUUUUCAGAUGCAGAUCAUAUGGCAAAUUAUCAACUUCAGAGAAUUGCACGUUUUUAUUCAUUUCCAUACACAUUGAAUAAUCAUAUUUAAAAUCUCUCAUUCACUUGUUUCGCUUCCAUUAGUGCUCCUUCCACAUGCCUAUUAGCAGCACAGACCUCAUGAUAGUUUGGUAAAGGUAAGACAAUAAAAUUGAAAAAUACAGCUAAAGCCUAAAAUAUUGGCUAAUAAAGAGAGAAACCAUCCAAGUUCUAUCUUAAAUGACUCUACAAGUUCUAAACAGGGAGACAAGGACUUCAACCUGGUCCAUCAAUGCAUAUAAAUGGGUAAACAUUCCAACAGCCAUUACGUUAGAAGUACACUAAAAGAAAAUUAUUAAACAAUGUUGUUUCCAAAAAAAUUCCAUGUUAAAGAAUAGAAGAACAUACUGCUAUAAAUGAAAUUCAUUCAAAAUCAGUUCAAACAGUAAAGUUAAGAAUUGUGACUGCAAUUUUUUUCUAAGAAAGAAACAACAAUUGUGACUGCAUAUCACCCACACUUGUUUUAUUUACAAUCCACACAAUGUAUUCUUCCCUAGCAUGUUAUCCCAUUAAGUAGCCUCCAGAUAAAAUUCCCUUUCCAACUCUGUCAAUCAGUCAAAAAAUUUCAUGUAAAAUGUAAAAUACAUGGGUACACAAAAACAACUAUAUAAACUGCCAUCCCAUCAUUAAUAAAUCAGUUGUCUAUAACAUAGACUAAUAGCAUUGUAAGGCAAGUAGGAAGUACUCUUUUGAUGUGUGCAGUUCUCCUUCACCAUUUUCGCCCUUUGCACUUGAGUCUAUAAAAAUAUGUAUAAGUAGAUUUUUAGAAAUAUCAAGUUUAUCAAAUGUAAAAUAUGGUAUCACAAAAAGCUACACCAUUUUUCCAGUUAUCAUUUGAAAGAUAUUGAUACCUUCAUGGUUGGCAGAGUAGUCAUGACCAUUUGACAUGCCAGAAGCCUAACCUACAACAAAGGCAAUGUUGAAAAAGCAAUAUUCAAAAUUCAAUGAAAAAAAUAGAAGACAAACAAAUGAACAAAUAGCAUAUCAUCACACUCAAUUGUUUUCCACAUAUGAUAAACUAAAUGAAAGAAACAAGGAAUAUAUUGAGAAAAAACCCUAUGAUCAAUGGAUAUGCAGUCGCAUUCCAGCACAGAUAUAGGAUCAAACAAGUAACUAAUCUAGACAUAGCUGCAGCAAAUUUGUGUAUCUCUGAAUGUGUGUCUGCUUUUUGUGGGGGUAUUUAUUAUGACAUGUUCUUGGUGCAGACAAACCAUCUGCAUUUACUUGAGGAUUAGGUAAAAAACAUACUUUUCAUUUAAAAUGAGGCCUUGAACAUCAAGCCACGGUGAGUUUUCAAAUAAGGAAAACGUAAUAGCUUUACAAUGAGUCCCAUAGCAAGAAGGCAUAUAAUUCCAUUCAUCAGCAUACCAGAAUAUAGAAUAGUGUGGACAUGUGGACACAUGCCAGAAUUAGCAUUGGACACACUAACAUGCCAGUCAUACAUAGAAAGAAUUUCCAAAGAUAUUAAAGUAAAACACUGGUAGUAAGCAAAUUAUACCCAGAAAAACAUGCAAGUAUAGGCCAAGAUCAAAUCUUAAUUUUAAUUUCUAGAAAAAAAAAAAUUUAUAUCAACCAAUAGAAAUGGUAUCACCAGCAAUUAACACCAAAACACACCAACAUAUCGGAAUGCAUAACACGUGUACCCAUCUCCAAUCAGCACUACACCUAUACAAGUUAGCCUGUAGCAGGUCAUAAUAGGUUCAGACUAUAAAACCUUCCAAAUCUUCCUUUGCAAGGCUUAGAAACCAUUUUCUAAGUAAUUUACAAUUUUAAAAGCCUGUGACAAGAUUUUGGAUGAAGAGCUUGAAUUAUAUACUCACAAACCCACUCCAAAAUUUCCUUAAGGUAAUACACAUUUUUUGAAGUCCUUUCCAAUGUCUUCUCUUAUUUGAGUUAGAAAAGCCAAUUUUUUUAUGAAUUGAUUACUACGUCUAUUGAGGUUUGAGGUGUAUAACUAAUUUCUUAAUAUAUCAUAAUUUACAUCAGUUAUUAGAAAUUAAGGUUCAAUCCUUUUACACUAAGAAAAUCCUGAGCAAUUAAAAAAUACCUUCUUUAAUAUUAUUAAAUUUAAGUUUCCUUCAGGUCUUUGAGUCAAAUAGAAAUUAGUGUAAAAGGAAUUUUAAUUUUCUUACACUAAGAAAAUUAAAAAAUAGGCAAAAUAAUUUUCAAAUUUUGGAACUUUAUAGGUAAUGCUUAUUAAAAUAAAGCAACAAAGUUUGUCAUUUGCCAUUGAAUGAACCAAUUGUAGAAAACUAUGCAAAAAAUUUUAUUAGUAUGGAUUUUUUUUUUCUACCGAUAAAUAGAAUUCAAUUUCAAACCUGCCCCUCCCAACCCACCACUUGCUGCUUGAGGCAAGCUUAGAGGCAGAAAACUAUUUACAAUUCUACGUAUGGAUAAAAAUUAUUCUUAGAUUUUAUGCCAAAUUCCAUAUUUAUAGGUAUCAAUUUAUUAUUCUACUGUUGUCAAAAGCUUCAAUUUUAGGCGUCCUCAUGGUUAUGCCACCCUUAAAUGAGAACAACUUUGGUCUUCUGUUUUUCUUUUUGAGCUCUUCAAAUUUUUGCAAGGUAUUUUUAUAAUCUUAUUAAGCUCAAUGGGAGAGAGAGAGAGAGAGAGGGCGAGAGAGAGAGAGAGGGCGUGAGGGAGUGUGAGAGCGCGUGCGACGGCGACGACGAUGAGUCCGGCGAGGCGAGUCGAAAGCGAAGCUUCACGGUGGAAUCCAAGACUUUCGAGCUUGCCUUGGAUGAUAGGAAAGGGAAACGCCAGAUUCGCAUUGUGGAGAAGAAGCGGGGGGUCUCGACAUGGGUUCGAUUAGGGCUGGAAAGCUUAGGGCUCUUCAAGGAGGGACUAAUCCAUUGUAUACGAGACGAAAAAGAAGGGAGAUGGGAAAAGGAGUGGAAAGAAAGAGGCAAGCUGUAUACAUUGGCUCGGGGUUUCAACAGAGCGGGUGGUUUUUUAAGGUUGGGGGUUGUGGAUCUGGAACGAAAAAGGUUUUGUAUCUUCUUACCGAGAGGUAGGAGGAACAAAAGAGGAUGGACGACUAUGGCGGAGAUGGUACAUCAAAUGGAAGAACUGGCUAGUGGAAGAACAAACUUGCAGGAGGUAAGGACCGUCGGAAAAGCUACUCCGGCGAAAUCAUACGCAGAAGCAGUCAUGAGAACAAAUUGGAAUGGCUUAAACGCAAUCAAGAUGAAGGUCACUAGGGAGGAGAUUGCUGGAAAUUUACAGAAGCUGGAGCACUGCCUCGUCGCGAGCUGGAAGUCCAACGAAAAGGAAGAAGAAGACUUGGAGAGAUUGGGAAGUCAUUGGGCGAAUUCUUGGGGUCUUAAAGGCAAGCUAGGGCUGGCCAAGUUGGAACAAGGUAGGGCACUGUUGGAGUUUGAAGAUCUAAGAGAGGCACACCGUGUGGUCUCCUCGGGGAGCAGAGUGAUGGGAGGAGCUCACUUAGGGUUGGAUCUAUGGAAUCCAAAGACGGGAUGUCGGGUAGAGGAGGAGAUGGAACAGGAAGCUUGGGUUAAAAUCUUCGGCCUUCCAAUUUCGCUAUGGAGCCCGGGGAUUCUGAAGAAAAUAGGGGAGGAAUGUGGGGGCUUUGUAGAUAUUGACGAGCGGACAAGGUCGAUGGGGGAGAUUCAAUGGGCUAGGAUACUGGUCAAAAUAAGAGGUGAUUUUAGACCAAGUAUGUUAGAAAUUGAGGUAGAGGAGGAGGUAUACACUGUGACACUGUGGUGGGAGAUUAGGCCGGUGGUGAGACGGAUCUUCUCUGCGACGGAAAACAGGAGGAGAAAGGAGGUCAGGGGUGACUCGUAUUCACGCGCGGAGAAGCGCGUGGGGAAGGAGCUGGUAGACGCGGGAAUCGAGGAACUGCACCUGCCAGAUGUUGGGAGUGAUCUGCAGGAGAAUAGGCCGGGUCUAGUGCCCGGGAACCAGAUCCAUGGCCCGGUGACCCGGGAUUGGGCCUAUCCAGAUGGAAGAGUGGCUGGGUCAACCGCAUGUGGCCCAAAUAUGGAUCUUAAUGAGUUGGAGAAGGAUGGUGGGCAGACUAAAAUAGACGGGCCUUUGGGCCGAAAGUUAAAAAAUAAGUCAAAGGUGGCUAGUGAUUCAGAGGCAGGCCCAUCGUCUAGUAGUUGGGCUGCUGAACUGGGCUGCCAUCCUUUAGUUGAGGUGGAAGGCCUGGAAAGGGAGGGCCCAACUGUUCCCCUAGAGAAGGCUGGUUUUUUGGGCCGUUUUAGCUCCAGAAAAGGACCCAUUUCAGAGGAUCCUUUGACGAGCUGGGUGCCAGAGGAGUUUAGAAGGGAACAGAGGGAUGAUGGCUUUUCAAUGACUGAUCGAGCGCUGUAAGAGGAAGCUAAAAGGUAUGUCCUGAUUUCCCAUCCUAAAGGAAAAUGGGUUAUGGGGACACCUCUUCUUCUCUCUUCUAAUUCUGAUCGGGCUCCGGAGGGGGAGUCUUUUGAUCGCCCAGGGGGAAUUGAGGAGGAAUUAAGGGGGGACAUGUCAACAUGGUUAACAGUCUAUGAGGGGAACGUUGAGAAUGAAAAUGGAUCUUGGAAGCUGGGAGAGGACAACAAAAGCAGAGACAAGGUUAAGGGCAAGGAGGAGAACACUGGGGUCUCUGGUUCUCAAGAUACCGAAAAUGAGAAAGAGGAUCUAUGAGAGGACUGUAGUCUUGCAAAAUUUAGCCAAUUCUUGGGAUUCUCUAUGAAGGGGCUGGAAAAGGAGAUAUUGAAUUUUCUGAUUAAAAUCAAAAAGAGGCGGGAAAAGAUUCACAGCAAAGAACUUUUGGAGAAGUCCAAGUUUGAAAGGGAACUAAAGAGGCUGGAAUGCUCUAUCAAUUACGAGGGGGGGAAUAAGCAGAAAGGUCCUUCACAGGGCAAAAGGAAUCAGUUGAUAGUUGCCCAAUGAAGCUGAAGAUUAUAACCUGGAAUGUGAGGGGAGCUAAUGACAGCUCUAAGAGGAAAAUUAUUAAGAGCUAUAUAAGGAACCAGAGGGUGGACCUAAUGUGUAUUCAGGAAACCAAGAUUCAGGAGAUGUCGGAGGGUAUUGUGAGAAGUCUGGGUUCGGGGAGAUUCUUAGAUUGGAGAGCCUUAAAUGUGGAGGGGGCUGCGGGUGGCAUUUUGAUAUGCUGGGACAAGCGGGUUCUGGAUAUUUUGGAUUGGGAGGAGGGUCAGUUCUCUUUGUCUUGUAGAUUCAAGACCACAGUAAAUGGGGCUACUUGGGUUUUUACGGGAGUGUAUGGUCCUUUUACCAAAGUGGAAAGGGAGGGUAUGUGGGAAGAACUUGGGGCAAUAAGAGGCCUUUGGGAUGAUCCCUGGUGUCUCGAUGGGGAUUUUAAUAUCACUCUGUUUCAACAAGAAAGGAGCAGCCAAAGAAGAAUCAGCUCAGCCAUGCGGAGAUUUGCAGAGACUGUGGAUGAUCUAGAGCUGGUGGACCUGCCCCUUCAGGGGGGAGAGUUCACAUGGAAUGGGGGGCUUAAUAAUCAGGCGUGGGUGAGACUAGACAGAUUUUUAGUUUCCCCUAGCUGGUUAGAUCAGUUUAGUGGAUUCACUCAGGGCAGGUUGUCUCGGCCAAUUUCUGAUCAUUUUCCAAUCGUGUUAGAGGGGGGUGGAAUAAGAGAGGCCCAACCCCGUUUAGAUUCGAAAAUAUGUGGCUUAACGUUGANGNUUUAAUGACAUUGUUAGAACCUGGUGGNNNNNNNNNNNNNNNNNNNNNNNNNNNNNNNNNNNNNNNNNNNNNNNNNNNNNNNNNNNNNNNNNNNNNNNNNNNNNNNNNNNNNNNNNNNNNNNNNNNNAGGAAGCUGAAUUAAAAAAGGAAGCUAAAGACUCCUUUAAGAAAUGGGUCCUGUUGGAGGAAGCCCAUUGGAGACAGCACUCAAGGGAGAUUUGGUUAAGGGAGGGGGAUAGAAACAUGGGGUUCUUCCAUAGAAUGGCAAGUGCUCAUCGAAGAAACAACGCUAUGGACAGAAUUAAGGUUAAUGGGGAGUGGCUAGUAGAGGAGCAGGAGGUGAGAGAAGGAGUUGAGAAUUCGUUUCAGCAGUUGCUUUCUGAAGAUAUGGGUUGGCAGGCGGAUAUUGGUAGAAUUCAGGUGGGUUGCAUCAUUCAGCAAGAAGCAGAGAGUCUGGAAAUCCCAUUUGCAGAGAUUGAGAUUCACUCGGCGCUGAUGGAGAUGAAUGGGGAUAAAGCCCUUGGCCCGGAUGGUUUUACUGUAGCCUUUUGGCAAAAUGCAUGGGAUUUUACCAAAGAGGAGAUCAUGGAGAUGUUUAAAGAAUUUCAUGAGCAUAAUUCCUUUAUUAGGAGCCUUAACAAUACUUUCUUGGUGUUGAUACCUAAGAAAAGCGGGGCUGAGGAUCUUGGAGACUUUAGACCUAUCAGCCUGUUGGGGGGGGGGCUCUAUAAACUUUUGGCUAAAAUCUUAGCUAAUAGGCUCAAAAAAGUGAUUGGUAAGGUGGUCUCUAUUGCUCAGAAUGCCUUUGUAAUGGGAAGACAAAUUCUGGAUGCGUCUUUAAUUGCUAAUGAGGUGAUAGAUUCGUGGCAGAAGAGAAAAGAAAAGGGUCUUAUUUGCAAAUUGGAUAUAGAAAAAGCUUAUAACAGCAUUAAUUGGAAUUUCUUAAUGAAGGUCCUUCAAAAAAUGGGCUUUGGGACCAAGUGGGUGGGAUGGAUGUGGAGUUGCGUGUCUUCUGCUAAAUUCUCUAUUCUUGUUAAUGGAGUGCCAGUUGGGUUUUUCCCUAGCACUAGAGGGCUUCGUCAAGGGGAUCCUCUAUCCCCUUACCUCUUUGUUAUGGGAAUGGAGGUUCUGGACAUCCUUAUCAGGAGAGCGGUGAAGGGGGGAUAUCUUUCAGGAUGCAACAUUCGGGGUGGUAGUAGAACUUCCUUGAAUAUCUCCCACCUAUUUUUUGCUGAUGACACAAUUGUGUUUUGUGAGGCGAGCAAAGAGCAAGUUUCUCACCUAAGCUGGAUUCUUUUUUGGUUUGAAGCGGCUUCGGGUCUUCGAAUUAAUCUAGCCAAAAGCGAAAUCAUUCCAGUUGGAGAAGUGGAGGAGAUUCUUGAGAUGGCAGUUGAGUUAGGGUGCAGGGUGGGGUCUCUGCCCUCUCAUUAUUUGGGUCUCCCCUUAGGGGUCCCCAAUAGGGCUACUUCUAUGUGGGAUGGAGUGGAAGAGAGGGUCAGAAGGAGACUUGCGCUUUGGAAAAGACAGUACAUUUCCAAAGGGGGGAGGAUCACUCUCAUAAAAAGCAUCUUGGCUAGCAUGUCAAUUUACCAAAUGUCUAUUUUCCGAAUGCCCAAGUCUGUUGCUAAAAGAGUGGAGAAAUCCCAAAGAGAUUUCCUAUGGGGGGGAGGAAACUUAGAGGGAAAAGUUCACUUAGUUAAAUGGGAUGCGGUCUGUACAGAAAAACACAAGGGAGGGCUAGGAUUAAGGAGAAUAGUCACUCUGAAUAGAGCCUUGCUGGGCAAGUGGAUUUGGAGGUUUGCUUGUGAAAAGGAUAACCUUUGGAAACAAGUGAUCACUAUGAAAUAUGGGCAAGAGGAUUAUGGUUGGAGGUCAAAGAAGGCUAGUGGGGCGGCCGGAGUAGGGGUCUGGAAGGAGAUUAUGAAAGAAUCUGUUUGGUGCUGGGAAAAUUUGGCUUUUAUAGUUGGGAAGGGUUCCAAAAUCAAAUUUUGGAAAGAUAGUUGGUGCACUGACACUCCGUUGUCCCAAUGCUUCAAUCAUCUCUUUGUCCUUGCCGUGCAUAGGGAUGCUACGAUUGAGGAGAUGUGGGAUCAGGACUCGGGCCAAGGAGAUUGGAAUUUUGUUUUUGUGAGGGACUUCAAUGAUUGGGAGUUGGAUAUGGUUGGGGAGCUGCUUCAUACUUUGAGGGGUCAUAGGCCCUCCCUGGAGGAUGAUUCAGUUAUGUGGAGGCAUGGAAGAAAUGGUCUAUUCAGGGUCAAAGAAGCUUACAAGCUGUUAGACAAGCCUAAUGUCACAGUAUUUCCCGCAAGGAGAAUAUGGGUGGAUAGGGUGCCAACUAAAGUCUGCUUUUUUGCUUGGGAGGCUACGUGGGGGAAGGUGCUCACUCUGGACAGACUCCAGAUAAGAGGGGUGCAACUCCCAAAUUGUUGCUUUUUGUGUGGUUGUGAAGAAGAGAAUGUAAAUCAUAUUCUUUUACACUGUAUAGUGACUAGAGCCCUAUGAGAUAUUAUUUUUGGGUUGAUAGAUGUUAAGUGGGUCCUCCCAGAAACUGUAAAUGAGACUUUAAUCUCUUGGAGGGGCUCAUUUGUAGGGAAGAAAAGGAAAAAGAUUUGGAAAUCCAUUCCGUUAUGUAUUUUUUGGACGGUUUGGAAGGAGAGGAAUAGGUUAGCCUUUAAGGGGGGUGCGUUGAAUAUUCAGAAAUUAAAGAAUUCUUUUGUCUGUAACUUGUGGAAUUGGGACAAAGUGUAUUUAGGUGAGGAGUCUUUCUCCCUUAUAGGUUUUUUGGAGUGGAUAGCUUCCACUUAAGGGGAGGUAGUUCUUUUUGUUCCUUUUUCUCUUUUUGAGGCAGUAGCCGUCUUGUAUACUCCCUGUAUGCUUUGUGGCGUUUAGCCUUUUCUAAUGCAUAUCUUGUUUACUUAUCAAAAAAAAAAAAAAUUUGCAAGGUACUUCUAUCCAGGUUCUAGGAAACACCCACUUUUUUAAAUCUCCAAUAAUUUAGUGUUCUGUGGCUGAGGGAAUAGACUUAUUUUUGGUUGAAACACAUAAAAUUCUUGGAUAUGUAUAUAUAUAUUUUUUGGCAUCAGGUCCUUUUAGGUUGAUUUUUCUACUUAUUUUUCACCCACCAAUUAACAUUGCCCUAACUCUAUUAUCUAACCGAGCAAAUGUUUAUGAACUAGCAAAUCAUACUAAAAUUUCUUACUAGUUGACAUGUGCAUCAUCUCAGCAUGUCAUUCCAACACCAAACUACAACCAUAAUCCCACUAACAUCCUAACUGCCUCAAUGAGUAUGGAUUACAGAAAUGCAAUUAAAAUAUACUUCCCUAUUUAAUUUCAUAAUUUUUAUAAUAAUAUUUCAGCAAUAUUUCCACAUAGUAGCUUAUGUGAGAAAUCCCCAUUUCUGUUUAAAAUCGAAAAACCCUAUAGCUUGCGCAAGUAAAUAGGAAAAAAAAAAAACAGAGGUUUUGCAGAAUUGGGAGAGCAGACUCACACCAGCAUGGCCAUUGAUUGAGCAGAAACGUAGAUGACGAUGAUGGUGGUGGAAUUGGGAGAAAUUGUUGAGUUUGGGAACCCUAGGAAAGCUGGGAUUGAAAGAAGAGGAUUGUGAGAGAGAAUUGGAAAUUUAAGAAACAAACACAAAAAAUAAAUCCAAGAAAUAAAUAAGAAGCGUAAAAAUGAAAUAGAGAAGAGUGUGUAUGACGCACCUGAUGAUGUGAAAGCAGCUUCAGCUGGUGAAGGCAAACUUUCGACGGGAGAGACAUCAGGAUACUGGCCUCUGACAACAAUCGCUCCAAAAUAUUCUUUCUAUACCAUUUAUUAUUAUUAUUAUUAUUAUUAUUAUUAUUUUAUUAUUAUUUUCAGGUUAUUGAAGUGUAAUGUCCACCGUACACCCUUACAUGAUGAAGCCUUUAGAACUCUCCAUGGAGCCUAAAUCUCACAUUGCUAAUCACCCUAUAAUAACCAGCAUAUAGUAAAUUCAAAGUAUCAUUAAUGAUAGAUUUCAAACUUAGGACCAUAUAUCAUUUAUUGAGACCACACUUCUUAAUGUUCAUCCUUAACGACACACUCAUAUAUAUCAAAUUACCCAAUGACCUACUUUUCCUAUUUUCUCAUUUUUAGAAAUAAAAAGAAAAAAUAAUAAUUUCUAUUUUUAAUUUUUUAAUUUUUUUUAUAAGUAAAUUUUUGUUCUCAUUAGGACCUGUGGAACCUCCCACAAGUCCUCCCGAAUCCUUUACCACUUGAGUCAUGCCUUAAUGGCUUGUUUUUUUAAAAAAAUUAAUAACAACUUUUAUAUAUAAAAAAAAUACUUAUAAAACAUACUUAUAAAAAAUAUACAUGUCAUUAAAAGUUUAAAGAAAUUUAAAUUUGAUAAUAAUUUUUUAAAUAAUUUAAUGUGUUAAUUGUUCUUAAAAACUUUAAAUAACCUAGAAAAGAAUAAUAUGGUUAUAAAUUGACCAAAUUGUUAUAUGGUUUUAAAUAGUCACCUUAACAAUGUUACAAGUGAGUUAAUUAAUUUAUGGUAGAGAAGAAUUACAAUAGAAUUCAAUUAGUUAUCGUAUUUGAAGUCUUUGAUUAUUUGUUGAAUAAUAUUUGCAGCCAGUUAGCUAGGGUUGGCUAACCCAAGCCAAACCUACUUACUAAUAUGUCCAACCUAUGCUAAACUCGAUUCAAAGUUAGAUUGGUAGUUACUAAACUCAUUGACAACUAAAGUUUCUAUGGAUUCCCACAAGUUUUCAUGGAUUAUCAAAUAAACCACAUAUAAUGGAAUCUCCUAAUAUAAAAAAGACAUAUUUCAAAAUUAUAAAUUAAACCAUAUUAUAAAAUAAAAUUUUAACAAAGUCAUAAAUUAUAUUACUAGUGACUAAUUUUAAUGGUAACAUGAAACACAAGUGUGAAUAUUUAAAAAUAUUUUAAUAAUUAAACAAAAAUGAUAAACUUAUAGUGUAAUGUAAUAAAACUAGCAAAAGUUAUAGUUUUUCCAUUAUCCCUUUUAUAAAUUUCAUAUUUUAAAUAAACUAAUAAAUAAUAUAAUAGUAAUGAAUUUGCUUAGUCUUCAUCAUGUAGAACCAAUGUGAAGAAAUUUUUUUUAAUAGGACUGAUUAAUGACUUAAUUAAGGGUAGGUUACAGCAUACACUAGGAGUCAAGAAAUAAGAUGUCAAGACUUGUACAUUCUGAAUAGGGAAGGGAAGAGUAUCCUAACAUAAGAGACCAAAAACAUGCUCAGGGAGAUUCUCGUUAGGAUCAAAUUGGGGGCAUAGAUGUAUCUCUUUGGUAAGAGUUCCCAUAAUUUAGGUAUUAAUGAAAUAGGUAUAAAAGAAUUAUAUAUCUUGAUAUGAUCAUGUUGUUAAUGAUGAUCUAAUGAGUUGAAAUAUUAUGUUUUCAACUGUGUAUAUCUAAUAAAUACAUCAAGUACUUAAACUUUAAUAUAGAAAUGCUCCAUAAUGGUUUGUAUGACUCAUCCUCUUAUAAACAUAUUAUUUAGAUUAGGCUAAAGUGGUCAAAGUAAGAAGAAAACUUGAUACUUGAUUUGAAGUAUGAAGAAUUCUUCUUAGACUUUGUGUGUAGUAUUGUUUGCUUAUUGUUGUGUUAAAGUCUAUUUUGAUGUAUUUUGGAAAGAAUGACCAACUAGAACCACUAUAAGAUGUUGCAAAACUUAUUUAAACAAGGGCUUGUGAGCAAGAUUUUUUUUUUUCCCUUUCAUGUACAAAUAGUAUGAUGAAUGAAAAUUUGAUUCUCAGUUGUAAUUAGUGUUUUCCUUAAGUUUUAAAUCAUGCAAUGAAUACUUAAAAUUAGUUUAAGAUGUCAAAGAAUGUAAGUAAACAAGGUUUUACAUGUUGGAUAUAUAAUUAAUGCAAAACCUUUACCUUCCACAUUGAAUGAUUACAUUUUUUCUUUAAGUGCCCUUUAAUCAUUCUCAUCUUGUUUAAUCAUUUUUCUCUAAUGUCUUGAGCAUAGUAGAUUUCUAUAAAUUUACAUGAGCAUUCCUUAACUCUUCUUGAGUGAUCCUAAACUUAGCAUUGAAACAAUCAUAAUUUAGGCGAAGAUGCUUACACGUCUUCAUAAUCAUCCUUGGUUGCUAGCCAUUUUUCCUUAAUUACUUUAGGAUGUUUAGCGAAGAUGAUUACAAAUAUUAACUAGUUCACUCACACAUUUUUGUAUGAGUGUAGAACAAUUUUGCAUUCUUUCCACAUCACUUAUGCAUCUUUGUUCCAAGAAAGAAGAUAUAGAACUCUUAUCUUUUGCUUACACCACUUGGUUCUCCAGCCCAUUAUGCUUAUGCGUCAUUUUUAUAUCACAUAUGCAACUUGUUUCUCAUUAAUAUAUUUCACUUACAUGUUCUUAUAUAAGCAUAAUUUAGGGAAAAACAUUUUAAAAAAAAAGAAGCAAAAUAGAUGUUAAUAUAUAUAUAUAUAUAUUUGGAACAAUUAAACUCAAACUAUGCAAAGUGACCUUGUCUACUAUAUAGGUGACUUUGUUUACCCCAUAGGUAGAGUAUAUGAUAGUGAUAGUCAAGGAAGCUAUGUAGUUGCAUGGUUUAGUGGAGAAUUUAAUGUUGCAAAACCGUUUUGUAUUUUUAAUAAAAUAAAAAUAUUUUAAAUUGUGGCCCAUUUAAAUAUUAUUUUCCCUAAAAUAAAUGAAACGUGGGAGCACAUCUCUUAUGGAGUAACCACCCAUGUCUACAAAUGUGGGACAUAUUACUCGGUUGAAAACUACCCAAAGUCUUUUUUGAUGGGAAGAAGAGAAAAUAAAUAGAUAGAUACAAGAUUAAUUCCAAAAGAGGGAAGAAGGGUCUCUGGUCUACAAGAAUAAGUCUGUGAUUAGUUUCAUCAGUCCCUAUUUUGUGUGAAUCUGAUUGCCAUGGCUGGAGGUACGAUCUUGGAUUUUCAUUUUAUUACUUGUAAUUAUCAGAGAUAUUUAUCUAACAUUUGGUAUCAGAGCCAAGGGUCUCUAGUUUGGCUUUCGAUUCAAUAUUUAUGGUCUUAAAUGAAUUAAGUUCUAUAUUCAUACAUGAUAAGAGAAAUUUAUCUCCAUAUUUAUUGGGUAUUUCUAAUUUAAUCCAAAUGAAGAAAAUUUAGUAGACUCCAUAUUUAUUGGAUAUUUUUUAUUUAAUCUAUACAGAUUUGUUUUUCUACAGUUGCAAUAGACAUUUCUCAUAUGACAUGUUAUGUUUCCUGCAAUUGAGACAACUUGAACCCGUGACCAUGGGUUACUUCCUUAACUAGAAUAGUCCUUGAACCAUUGGACUAAAGCCUAUGACUUGUUAGAGAUUGCCUCCUCUAAACUUAAAUGUUGGCUCCGUUAUUGUGAAAAACUUGUAUAAAUUAUUUUUAUAAAGUAGUAUUUAGAAACACUACUUAUAUUUGUUUACCAUUGAUUUGGUAAUUUUUUUGAUGUCAUACUGAGGUAACAUUUGAUUAAUUAAGUAAUAGCCACAACAUUCUUGAUUAUGAUAAUGUUAAGUGACAAAAGAAAGUUUCAUUUUUGUCACAUUAAAUUAAUGACAUCAAUAUUUGUAAAUAAUCAUAAAAAAUAAUAAUUUUACCCCACAGGGUAAUUAUUAUGUUUUGUGUUUAUUUAGGAUGGGAUGGUAAAAAAAAAAUAUGUUGCCCAUAGGCCUAAAAUUACUAGUUCCAUUAUAAAGUAAUUAAAAAAAAAACAUUUGCAUGUUGUAUUCUGUUUCCACAGGAAAGUUUAUGAUCACGUGUUGAUUUUUUGUUGAUUGAAUUAAUUUACAUGAGUAAAUUUUGUUUUUUGCUUCAUGGCAUAUUAGUAAGCUUUGUCAUUUAUUUUGUAGUUCAAUCUAUAUAUGUUCCAAAUUUUGAUUCAUCUCGUAUACCUUUCUUGAAUGGUGAUAAUUAUGCUAAUUGGUAGGAGAAAAUUCUCCUUACAUUGGGGUGCAUGGACCUUGAUUUAGCACUUUGUGUGGAUGAGCCAUUGGUUCCUAUGGAAUCAAGUACCCAAACUGAGAAAGCAUCAUAUGAACGUUGGGAGCGAUCUAAUUGCUUAAGUUUGAUGUUUAUCAAGUCUAGUAUUGGGAAAAGUAUUCGUGGUUCAAUUUCUGAAUGUGCUAAGGUGAAAGAAUAUCUCAAGGCUAUUGAGCAACAGUUUGAGGCUUCUGACAAGGCUUUGGCUAGCACCUUAAUGACAAAGAUGUGUUAGAUGAAGUUUAAUGGCACCAAAGGAGUACGUGAGCACAUAAUGGAAAUGAGAGAUAUUGCUACUCAACUUAAGUCAUUAGAGAUUGAGAUGUCUGAGUCAUUUCUGAUUCACUUCAUUCUUAAUUCUUUUCCAUCUGAGUAUGGACCUUUUAAGAUUUCAUACAACACACAUAAGGAAAAAUGGUCUAUUAAUGAACUUUUGACCAUGUGUGUGCAAGAAGAAGGAAGACUAAAUCAAGAAAGGAUUGAAAGUGCCCAUUUGGUGACUUAAGAAAAGAAACCAGGCAAGAAAGGUAAAAGAAAGCAAAAGACAUCUCUUAAUCAAGUUAAUAAGAGCGAUAUCAAGUGCUUCUUUUGCAAGAAGAAAGGACACAUUAAGAAGUGUUGUCCCAAAUUUAAAGCUUGGCUUGAAAAUAAAGGUAAUCUUAUCUCUUUAGUGUGUUAUGGAUCUAAUAUGGUUCAUAUUUCUUACAACACUUGGUGGAUUGAUUCUGGUACUAAAAUUCAUGUUGCCAAUACCAUGCAGGGCUUCUUAAACCAAAGGAAACCAACAGAAAGUGAAUGCUCUAUCUAUUCAGGAAAUCGGAUAAGUUCACAUGUGGAAGCGGUUGGGACCUACAGACUUGUUCUUAGAUCUGGUUUUGUUUUAAACCUUGAAAACUCUUUUUUUGUUCCAUCAUUUUCUAGGAAUCUUAUUUCAGUUUCGAGACUUUUACCAUAUGGUUUUAGUUUUAAAUUUGUUGUUAUUUCAUUUCAUUUGAUAAAAGACAAUGUCGUUGUUGGUGAUGGUAUUUUGGAUAAUGGUUUAUUCAAACUCAAUUUAAAUCCAAGUUUUAAUCAUAGACUUACAACUAUGCAUGGAAAUGUUGGCAUUAAGUGUGGUGUUAUAAAUAAGAAAUCUUCCACAUUAUGGCACAAGAGAUUAGAUCAUAUCUCUAUUGAAAUAAUUAAAAGAUUGGUAAAUGAUGGAGUCCUUGAGGCUCUUGAUUUUACUGAUUUUGAUAUUUGUGUGGGUUGCAUUAAGGGAAAGCAAACCAACAUGACUAAGAAUCAAAGUGCUAGGAGGACUUCUAAUGUUUUAGAAAUCAUACACACUGACAUUAGUGGUCUUUAUAAUAUGUGCUUAAAUGGUCAAAUAUAUUUUAACACUUUUAUCGAUGACUACUCACGAUAUAUGUAUCUUUUUUUGCUUUAUGAUAAGUGUGAAGCACUAGAUGCUUUCAAAAUCUAUAAUGCAGAGGUAGAGAAACAAUUGGGUAAACAAAUUAAGAUUGUGAAGUCAGAUAGAGUUGGUGAAUAUUAUGGUAGGUACACUGAAAAAGGACAAUUAUCUGGUCCAUUUGCAAGGUUUCUACAGGAACAUGGCAUUGUUGCCCAAUACACAAUGCCUUGCUCACCAUCCCAAAAUGGUGUGGCUGAAAGAUGAAACCAAACCCUAAAGGACAUGGUUAGUAACUCCAACCUCCUAUUAUCCUUGUGGAGUGAGGCCAUAAAGACAACAACAUAUUGAUUACUAUUCAAAAAGUGCUGUUUUGUAGCUUGUAAUUAACUCUUUUAAACACUUUUGAGUAGUAGUUAUUACCUUUUAACUCAAUUGGCAUGUUAAGGACCCUUGCAAUCGUUUCUAAUCAAAUUGUGUUAAGUUUUAGUGUUUUUGAUAUCUUUUUUAUCACCAAAGCAAUCUAAGAUGAGGGAGAGCUUUAUAUAAUCCAUGGCAAAGAAAAUAAAAGCUCAUUUACAAGAAGAAUCCAAGCUUUGGAGCUUUGAAGUCCUUUGCCAAAAGCAAAUCAUGAAUGCAAUGAGGGAAAGCAAAGAGAGAAAUCUAACAUGAAGAAUUCAAGAGGACAGCAACUGUUGAAGACAUUUUGAGUACUUCCUGAAGUCCAUUUCAUGCAUACUAUAUGUCGUUUCGAAGAUCGGGAAGUCAGAAGCCCAACGCUUCAAACGGUACAUGAAUUGGAGUUGAAAAGAAGAAGUUAUGGCCAUUUGAAGACAACCGCACAAAGUUGAGCGAAAAUUUCAUGGCCCAAAGCCCAUUUCGUACCUGCGAAAUAAGCUGCGAAAUGAAACCCACUUGCGAAAUUUUGUAAGGUGUUUUGCAGCUGCGAAACCACCUCCAAGCACACGUGUGCCACUUCGCAAGUUGAAACUCCAUCUUCGCAACUGCGAACCACGUUGCGAAAUCACCUCCAAGCUGCGAAACAAGUUGCAAAUCAUCUCCAAGUUGCGGAAUCACCUCCAAGUUGCAAAAUCACAAAUUCAACUUGCAAAAUCAAAGUUCAAACUUGCAAAAUGGACAAUUCAAAGUGUGAAAUCCACCUGUGCAAUCUCAGAUAUUUGCAACCGACUCAGUUAGAUUUUUUCUCAAGAUAUUUUGUAAAUUUCUAUUUUCUCCUUGUAAUCAGUCAAAGAUAUUAUUGGGAUAUUUCUUAGAAAAUAUCUUCUCUAUAUAUAUCUUUGAACCAAUGUAAAUAAUACGGAUAUAUCAUGUAGAUCAUAGAUCAUGGAUGUAAUUGACGAUAGUAAGAAAUAUAUUUUUACAGAGCACUUGCUCUGUUUUUCCUUCAUAUUUUUGUUUUCUCGUUAUUUUUAUUUCUAGCAAAUCAAACUCUGAGGAUGUUUCCUUAGAGGAUGAGUGGCUUGGCUCUUUGUCUCUUGGAGUGAAGAAAGCCAAGUAAGUUUCCAUAUGCAAAAAUUAGAAGUUUUGUUGUUUCAGUUUUUAAUGAAGAGAAAGUGUGACUCGUUAAUGGUUUUUAUCUUUUUAGUUAACUUAAAACGCCUUUAAGUUACCUAGGCUAACACUUGGUAAGGCAAGUGAUCUCCGUCCAUUGAGAUGCACUAGUUUACCUCUUGCGAGCCUUUGGGAGGUGACUUGAAGGUAGGAUUUUCUAGAAUAGCCAACACUUGGUAAGCUUUUGGACUCUAAGGAGACAUCCAUUAGUUAUCUCUUGCGAGCUUUUAAAGGGUAAUCCAAGGUUAAGGAUCACCUUGAAUGGCAAAUUCUAGGUGAGAGGCAUGAGCCAUUGCAAGAUGCAUCAGUGAGAGAGAUUUAGUGUUUGAACCCAUUAAGGGGAAACAUCUAUACCACAUCGAUUCGGGAAAUAACUAUAUGUUAAAUCCCCAAUGCGAGGAAAAGAUUCAAGUGACCAGAACUCCCUUUUUGUAUAAGGAACCUAAGCCUAGUGAUCUGAAACUCCAAGAAACAUUUUUCUUUGUAAUUAAAAUCAGUUACUAUUUUUGGUUAGCUUAAAACCAACCUUUUCAAACAUCUUUAUAUUUUCUUUUAGAGCUAACCUUGAAAUGAAAAAACACCAAUUCAGCUUUGAAUUAAUAUCAAUUGUGAAGUGAAAACCCAUCCCAGUGAACGAUCCUAGAGCCACUAUGCUAUGCUAGCUGAGGCUAUCCUAGUACAUGGUGUAAUAGGUUAUAAAUUUUGUUGAUUACUCCCGUCUGAGGACCACAAUCAAGGAAUACCAGCUGGACACGAAUCAAAUGACACCGUUGUUGGGGACCAUUGAGAGGACAUGAAUCAGCUGAUACACCAAUUGGGAAUGAAUCACAUAUGUACUAAACCGGGUUCCAACCAAGGUAGUUCCUAAAACGCCUUUUGAGUUAUGGAAAUGUUGCAAACCCAGUCUAAGGCAUGUACAUGUAUGGGGUUGCCUAGUUGAGGUUAGAAUUUAUAAUCCACAAGAGAAAAAGUUAGACUCAAGAAUAGUCAGUGGAUAUUUCAUUGGCUACAUAGAAAAGUCUAAGGAUACAAAUUUUUAUUAUCCUUCUUGUGCUACGAAAAUUGUAGAAUCUCAUAAUGCAAGGUUUUUGGAGAAUGAUGUGAUUAGUGGGAGCAAUGAAUCUUGACACUUAGUGUUUGAGGAACGCCACAAUAUUGAACCCACUCUUGAGUCUUCAAGUGGAUUAAUUAUUUUCCUGGAUAGUCAUCAAGAUUUGACAAUCCAAGAAACACCAGUUGUUAAUGAACCACAUCAUGAGGAUAUUCUGAUGGAUUUAGUUAUUCAACAUCCUCAACAAGGGAAUGUUGAUAUAACAUUAAGAAGAUCUACUACAGAAAGGAGGUCUACAAUUUCUUUUGAUUAUGUUGUGUACUUACAAGAAUAUGACAUUGAUAUUGGUGUUGAAGAUGACCCCAUUACGUUUUCACAAGCCGUGGGUGGAAGUGAAAAGAUGAGAUGAAUUCAAUGGCUAAUAAUCAAGUCUGGGAUCUUGUUGAGUUGCCUAAAGGUGCAAAGGUAAUUGGUUGUAAAUGGGUUUUUAAGACUAAAAGGGGUUCUUUGGGCAAUAUUGAAAGAUAUAAGGCAAGACUUGUAGCUAAAGGAUUCACUCAACAAGAAGGAAUUGAUUAUCAUGAUACCUUCUCUCCUAUUUCCAAGAAGGAUUUAUUUUGGAUAAUCAUGGCAUUGGUAGCUCAUUUUGAUAUGGAGUUACAUCAAAUGGAUGUGAAAACAGCAUUCCUUAAUGGGGAUUUAGAGGAAAAGGUUUACAUGAAACAACCAGAAUGGUUCAUCACAAAUGGAAAUGAUCACAUUGUUUGCAAGCUUAAAAAAUCUAUAUAUGGACUAAAACAAGCAUUCCGUCAAUGGUAUUUAAAGUUCCAUGAUGUUAUUUCUUCAUUUGGUUUUAUAGAAAAUGUUAUGGAUCAAUGUAUGUACCAUAAGGUUAGUAGGAGCAAAAUGAAUUUCUUAGUCUCAUAUGUGGAUGAUAUUUUGCUUGCUUCAAAUGAUUUGGGCUUACUUCAUGAGGUGAGGUGAGGCGAUUUCUCUUGCAACAAUUUGAUAUGAAAGAUAUGGGUGAAGCUUCUUAUGUCAUUGGCAUAAAGAUUGAGAGAGAGAGAUCUCAACGGAUAUUAGGAUUGUCUCAAGAAACCUAUAUCAAUAAAGUGCUUGAGAGAUUUCGCAUGAAGGAUUGUUCACCUGGUAUUGCACCGAUUGUCAAAGGUGACAAAUUUAGUUUGAACCAAUGCCUCAGUAAUGAUUUGGAAAAUAAAGAGAUGAAAAAUAUUCCUUAUGCUUUUUCAGUUGGGAGUUUAAUGUAUGCUCAGGUUAAUACAAGACCUGACAUUUCUUAUGCAGUUGGAAUGUUGGGCAGAUAUCAAAGUAAUCGAGGUCUGGAACACUAAAAAGCUGCAAAGAAAGUCAUGUGAUACUUUAAGGGGACUAGGGACUACAAACUUACAUACAUGCGAUCUGAUUAUUUGGAUGUGGUUGGAUAUUUGGAUUCUAACUUUGCUAGCUGCCUUGAUUCUAGAAAGUUGACAUCUGGAUAUGUCUUCUUAUUAGCUGGAGGGGCCAUUUCAUGGAAAAGUGCAAAACAAACAUUGGUUGCUACUUCGACCACAGAAGCGAAAUUUGUUUCAUGUUUUGAAGCAACGUCACAUGCUAUUUGGCUGAGGAGUUUUAUUUCAGGGCUUCAAGUUGUUGACUUAAUUUCUAAGCCAUUGAGGAUUUACUGUGAUAACUCUACCAUAGUGUUUUUAGCUAAGAAUAAUAAGAGUGGAAGUCAUAGUAAACACAUUGACAUAAAGUACUUAUCUAUUAGGGAACAUGUUAAGUCAAACAAGGUGGCUAUUGAGCAUAUUAGUACUGGAUUGAUGAUUGCGGAUCCUUUGACGAAAGGAUUGCCACCUAAGGCUUAUAAGGAACAGGUUGAACAUAUGGGACUCAAUUCUAUUUUUUAAAUUUUGUGUAAUUGAGACAUCUUUUGUGUUUCAUCGCAUUUUUUGGUUGAUAUGAAAACUCCAAUUAUUUCAAUCUUGUCUUCUCAUUUGGUUAUAUACAUAAAGUUUAGAGAAUGAAAAUAUGCAUGUUAUGAAUGUUAAGUAGACCUUGAAUGAGAAUUUUGGAAACUCAUUCAUAAAGGAAUGACUCACGUAUUGUUCUUAUUCAAAAGAGAAAGUUGCAUUGUAAUACAUGGAAGGUAAUACUUGUUCUUAGAGGACUUACUGACAUGAUUUAUGUGCUUUAAAUUCUUUUGAUUAAGUAUAAGGAUUUAGGGAAAAAUAUGUUAUGUAUUAAUUUAAUUAAUACAUAUUAAGUAAUUUUUAUGGGCUAAGUGGGAGAAAUGUUGGAAACCGUUUUGCAUUUUUAAUAAAAUAAAAAUAUUUUAAAUUGUGGCCCAUUUAAAUAUUAUUUUCCCUAAAAUAAAUGAAACGUGGGGGCACAUCUCUUAUGGAGUAACCACCCAUGUCUACAGACGUGAGACAUAUUACUCGGUUGAAAACUACCCGAAGUCUUCUUUGAUGGGAAGAAGAGAAAAUAAAUAGAUAGAUACAGGAUUAAUUCCAAAAGAGGGAAAAAGAGUCUCUGAUCUACAAGAAUAAGUCUAUGAGUUCCAUCGGUGCAUGGACAUAAGGUCUUGUAAGGACUAGCCAACUAAUCCCUAUUUUGUGUGAAUUUGAUUGCCAUGGCUGGAGGUAUGAUCUUGGAUUUUCAUUUUAUUACUUGUAAUUAUCAGAGAUAUUUAUCUAACAUUUAAGAGUUAAGCAUGAUCACAUUGUGAUUUAUUAUGAUAAUGGGAGUGCCCUACAUUUAUUUAAGAAUAAAGUUCAUCACUCAUUGGUAAGGCAUAUUGAUGUCUAAUUUCAUUUUAUUUAAGAGAUUCUAGAAGAAAGUCAUAUCUUGUUUUAGAAAGAUUGCUAAUGUUAAUGAGGUAGGUCAUAUUUUAAGAAAGAUUUUUCCUAAAGUCAAGUUUAGCCAUUGUUUAAAUGUGAUCCAUGUAGAAAGGAUCAAUGUACCUUUAGGUGUGUAGUAGCAAAAUCCUUAAAGAUUGUUUGGUUAGCUUCAUUUACAUUACUUAGUUAAAUAUUACAUAGUCAAUUACAUAGUCCUUUAUUAUUAUUUUUCAUUCUUAGUUGGUUUUUGUCUUGAAUUUAGAGUGAAGAAGAUGUAAUCAAUGAGUAGGGAAAGAGGAACAAAAAUGAAAAUAACAUUAGAACUAGGAAUUGGAGAAGAGGAAGAAGAUGAGGACAUUUCUAGCAAUGUUGCAUGUCAAUUUUUUGUUUAAUGAUUUCCUUAUAAUAGUUUUCAUAUUUCAUUAUCUCUCUCUAAACUAAACAACAUAUUUCUUAAAUAUUUUGAAUUCUUAUUUAUUUUUAAACUCUUUCAUUCUCUACCCUUUCACCAUUUUCACAUACCUAAAAUUUGCUCUCAAUUUAUUUCAAUAAUGUUGACAUAAAAGUAAAUAGCUAAAAUAGAUAAGUUAACCUUCAACCUAUUUUUUAUUUAUUUAUUUAUUUACAAACCAAAAUCUAGUAUUUUUGUUUAGAAACUAAAAUUGAACAAAAAUGUAUAAACUAAGAGAAAGAAAAAGUAAAAACUAGAGACUUGUAAUUAUAUAAAUGUUAAGAUUUCAAGUUAGUAAUUUAUGUUAGUAUUUGUAUUUUUUUCUUUUUUUUUUCUUGAUUUUUAUAUACCAUUUUAAUUAAUAUUUUCAAUUUUGUGAUUGAAGUCUCAAAUUUUUUAAUUUGUGUUAUGCUUAUUUUAUUGUUUCCAUGUUAAAAACCAAUGUGCAAUUAGUAUGACAUGUACACUUAUUAUUUCGAAGUGUAAUGUUGAUAUCUUAUUUUGUAAAGCCCAUGGCGAUCAAUCAUUGUCUCUCAUGUGUCUCAUUGAUGAUGUGUGAGUUUGACUAAUUAUUUAGCAUCAUGCCUCAAAGAUUAAUGUUACAUAUCGAAGACAUCUCUCUAAUAAACAUGACAUUCAAUACACUUUUCUUGGCCUUAAUCUUUGAUACAUGAUAGGUCCAUGUUCUACCUUCAUAUCUCCUAUGCCAUAGUGCUACAUUAUUUGAAAAUGAAUAUUUAUCUUCAAUAAGACCCUAAGUCACAUGGAUGCCUAUGAAGCAUGGAUGUUGCCCAUAGUGAAUGCCAGGGAGGGGGGUAAAGGUGUUUCUUACUCUAUUCUUCCUUAAGAUGGUAUCAUGUGCUUCUGAUAAUUGUUUUAUUCUUAUUCUAGAAAAUACAUGCUUCCUAAAAACUAAUAGUUUUUAUUGGUUUAUGAUCUUUUAUACCUCCUUCUAAUGUGUCAGCCUUACCAUAAUGCCUUGAUGUUAAUAAAUCUACCUAGUUCAUGAGCAAAGCUCAAGGUUUUGGAAUGGACUUUGUGUCCUUAGUGGUAAAUCUAGUUUCCCUACCCAUUAGCAUUUCAAGAUUAGUUUGAGCAUCUUGGUUUAGCAAUUAGAUCUUAUACUUACCAAGGUUGGAUUAACACACAUUGAUCUCAUUUUAGCUUAAAUGAAAGAGGUGACAAGUGUGUCUUCAUUAUAGGUGUCAUAUGAAGAAGUUUGUAUAUCCUUAUAGAAUAACUAAUAUUCAAAAUACUAUUUUAGAGCAUCAAUAAAAACUUCAUUUCUAUCCAAAUGAAAAAAAGAAGUGAUAUUGUUGUUCUCCUUGAUCUUACUGCCACCAUCUCUACCCAAUCAUCUACUCUCACUUUGUUUUGCUCUCAUUUUAAACUCUUGGGACAUUUAAAACUUUUAAGUUUUAGUUGUAAACUUAUAGAUACUUUUUUAGGAAAAAAAAAAUGGAAGUGAGAUCUAAGAUUUUGUUUUGAGAAAAGUAUUGAAAAAGCCCCAGGCUUAGAAACUUUUAUUUGCCUAUGUCUAAUAUGAACUUUUGAAUGAAAAAAACAAUGUUAUAUAAUUUAAUACUUGAAAGGAGUUAGAAGGUUUUUUCUAAUUUUGGAGCAUGAUGUACAUUAUGAGCCUAAAUCAUGACAACUUAAGUUGUUAGGAAGAUCAGUUGCUUAACAUGCCAAUAGUGUCUUGUUUAGUGGGGGGUUGUGUGUUUGAAUCUCACCUCAUUAUUUCCAUGAUUUACUAAAAUGAGGUUAGUUGCAUAGGAAAAUUUUUCUCUUCAUACGUGGGUAUGGGGUUGCAGUGAAAGAGAGUGUUAAAGAAUGGGAUCAAAUCUUAAUAGUUUAAGCUUUUAGAAAAAUCAAAAGUUCAAUAUGGCAUUAGAGUCUUAUUUAUUCGAAGGUUAUUAGUUUGGACCUAAAGACAUUAUUUCCCUAAUUUAUUGAGUAAAAAAAAGGCUAGAUAUGAGGUUGCUAAUGAGAAGUUAAUAGGGGUCCUGAGUCCAAGUCCUUCCCUCAUUAUUUAUCUAUCUAAUUAUUUAUGACCAUAAAGUGCUCCCCAUGAUAGGUAUGGGCUCACAUAUGAGGAGAGGAGGGGUGUUGGACCAUUAUAUAUGUUAUGUGCUCAAAUUCUAACAACUUAAUUAAGCUUUUAGGAAAAUUUAUUAUUUAACAUUAAUAUUGUUUUGUAAUCAAAGUAAAAUCUGUUGAGGAGAAGAAAAAUGGUAUUCUUCUAUAUAUUGAAAGAUACAGCAGAUGAGGGUUAUAUAUAACCUGUACAUGAAGUUAAUUUGGAAGAAACUAAUCACACUAAUCUAGGCUACAAUCUUGGAUGAUUUACAAUCAAAUAAAACUAACUUGGUAACUAGAAUAUUUUUAUUUCUAUAAUUGCUCCUUCAACAACUCACGUCAAUACUCCCCCUCAAGUUGGUGCAUAGAUAUCAUCAAUGCCCAAUUUGUCAAGUGAGUUGUGAAAUAUUUUGCUAGAGACAGCCUUUGUAAGAAUAUUUGCUAGUUGAUCUUCUGACUUCACAAAAGGAAAUUGAAUGACCUUGUCUUCGAGCUUCUGCUUGAUAAAAUGUCGAUCCACUUCAACAUGUUUGGUGCGGUCAUGUUGAACUGGGUUAUGCGCGAUUGCUAUGGCUGCCUUAUUAUCACAAAACAAGUUCAUUGUAUUCUGAGAUGAACACUUAAUUUCCUCUAAUAAUCUUUUUAACCAAAGUAGCUCACACAAUCCUUUAGUCAUGCCUCUAAACUCAGCCUCUGCACUAGAUAAAGCAACUACCUUAUGUUUUUUACUCCUCCAAGUGACCAGAUUGCCUCCCACAAAUGUGAAGUAGCCCGAUGUGGAUUUUCUAUCAGUAAUGUUCCAUGCCCAGUCUGCGUCCGUAUAACCGUCAAUGUGCAGAUGUUGGUUUUUCGUGAACAUCAGUCCUCUUCUUGGAGAAGACUUCAAGUACCGUAAAAUACGAACCACUGCACUCAUAUGAUCUUCGCUAGGACAAUGCAUGAAUUGACUCACCAAGCUCACCGCAUAAGCAAUAUCAGGUCGUGUGUGAGAUAAGUAUAUCAGCUUUCCCACAAGGCGUUGAUACCUUUCUUUAUUGGUAGGGGUCUGGUUAGGAAAUUCUCCCAAGCCAUGGUUUUGAACAACUGGUGUAUCAGCAGGUCUACAAUCAAGCAUUCCUAUUUCAGACAACAAGUCAAGCACGUACUUCCUUUGGGAUAGAAAUAUGCCUUGUUUUGAUCGAGCUACUUCAAUCCCCAAAAAAUACUUCAACCCUCCAAGAUUUUUCAUCUCAAAUUCAAUUGCUAAAUGCUCUUGUAAUUUAGAGAUUUCUUCCUCGUCAUUUCUUGUAAUUAUCAUAUCAUCAACAUAGAUUAUUAGAGUUGUUACCUUCCCCCGUUGGUGCUUUAAGAAGAGAGUAUGAUCUAAAUUACUUUGCUUGAAACCGUGCUUUCUCAUGGCAAGGCUAAAUCGUCCAAACCAUGCUCUAGAAGACUGUUUCAAUCCGUAUAAUGCCUUUUGUAACUUGCAAACAUCCUUCCCCUGUGUCGAAGAAACAAAACCCGGUGGAAUGUCCAUGUACACCUCCUUUUUAAGAUCCCUAUGGAGAAAGGCAUUUUUGACGUCAAAUUGGUGCAAUGGCCAGUCCAAGUUUGCAGCAAGAGAGAUUAGUACUCUCACAGUAUUUAAUUUUGCUAUAGGUGAAAAAGUUUCUUGAUAAUCUACCCCAUAUGUCUGAGUAUAUCCCUUCGCAACGAGCCUUGCUUUAUAUCUUUCAACUGAUCCAUCUACUUUGUGUUUGAUAGAGAACACCCAUCGACAUCCCACAGUUUUCUUUCCCUUAGGCAAUGGCACAAGCGCCCAAGUAUCAUUUUUUUGUAAUGCUUUCAUCUCUUCCUCUAUCACUUGGAUCCAUUUGGGAUUAUUCAUGGCUUCACUCACUGUAUCAGGAACACUAUCUGCAGAUAAUUUAUGAACCAAUGCCUUGAGAGGUUCAGACAAUUUUUGAGUUGAGAUAUGGUUGGCAAUUGGGUACUUUGACUUGCUCGUUCCAUGAUCGGGUGAAUAGCGGUUUGGUGGUUGCCCGCGGUUAUGCCUGAAAGGUAGUUUAUAGCCAGAAAAAAUAUUGUGAGGAGAGUUUAGAACUUGUACCUCAGGAAUAUUCUCAAGAGAUUGGUCUAAUUGUGGUACUGUCAAGUCAUGGAAGGGUUGUUCACUUUCAAUUUCCCUAACUUCUCCAUUUUGAUAUACUCUUGUUGGUUGUUGUUCGAUCUCUGCUUCGACAUGCUCAACAUUUUCAACUUCUCCUCUUUGAUCUAUCAGUAUUGCCAUUGGUUCUCUUGGCUGAACCUCCCUUAUAUCAUUUGAAGUUUCUUCGAAGCCUGGCCAAUUUUCCCAAUUCUGCUCUUCACUCGUCAUCUCCCCCUGAAGAGAGAAGUGGGAAGAUUGAGAAGUGAAGAAAUUCUCCUAUUCAAUAAAGGUGACAUCCAUGGUGGUAUAGAGUCGCCUUGUAGCUGGAUCAUAACAUCGGUAUCCUUUCUUGUGAGUUGCAUAGCCAAGAAAAACACAAUGGACAGCACAUGGAUCAAGCUUUGUCCGUUGAUUCUUGUGUAGAUGAACAUAUGUAACACAACCAAACUUUCUUGGAGGAAGCAUUAGAACUGAUGGUAAUGUCACAUGUUGUGCGAGAACUUGAAGAGGGGUUUUGUAGUGCAAAACUCGUGAUGGCAAUCGAUUCAUUAAGUAUACAGCAGUCAUUAUUGCAUCUAGCCAAAAUCGUUUAGGAACAUAAGCAGCAGUCAAGAAAGCUCGAGUGAUUUCCAAGAUAUGUCUAUUCUUGCGCUCUGCAACACCGUUCUGUUGCGGUGUUUGAGAACAAGAUGUCUCAUGAUGCAAACCAUGUUCCUGAAAGUAUCUGUGAAAUUGUGCAUUAUCAUAUUCCCCACCAUUAUCAGAUCAAAGAAUUUGAAGUUUAGCAGAAAAUUGUGUUCGAAUCAUAUUAUGAAAUGAUCGAAAUAUUUCAAACACUUCAUGUUUAUUUUUCAUCACAUAAAGCCAAGUCAUUCGUGUACAAUCAUCGACAAAGGUUACAAACCAACGAACACUAGAAGAAAUAGUAAUAGGAGCAGGGCCCCAAACGUCAGAAUGAACAAUCAAAAAAUGAGUGUCACAUUUAUUCAAACUGAUUGAAUAAGGUACCUGAUGACUCUUAGCCUGAAUACAAGCUUCACACUUAAAAUCUGACUCAUUAAACUUCGUAAAUAAAUCUAGAAAUAAACAUCUCAAAUACCGAAAUGAGGGAUGCCCCAACCGAUUAUGCCAUAACCAUAUCUGUCUUUCCUUAACUCCAGCAGAAUGCAUAUUAUUUGCUCGACCAUAACUAAAAUCAUCCAUGUAAUACAACCCUUCCCUUUUAGUACCACGACCAAUAAUCUCCUUGGUGAGAAUAUCCUUAAACAAACAAAAGUUAGGGUACAUUAGAGCAUAACAAUUCAAUUCCUCAGUCACUUGUCCAAUAGAUAACAAUUAAUUGGAAAGUGAUGGAACUAGUAAGGUAUUUGGUAAUGUAAAAGAAGGAGAAAGAGCCACUGUUCCAACCCCUGUUACUGGAUAUGUUACUCCAUUAGCAUUGGCAAUGCAUAUUCGUUUUGGUUGGGUGGCUUUAGAGAAGUCACAAGGGUCAAAGGUCAUGUGGUCUGUUGCCCCAAAGUCAAUGAUCCAGCCAUCAUGGUUCCCCGUUUUCGAGCAAGAAAAAACAUAACCUUGGUUACCUGAGUCAUUCUGAGCAAUCUGUUCACUAGUGGAGAUAGAAUAUUCUUGUUGUGGUACGAGAGAUAGUUGAGGCUCUACGCUCAUAAGAGCUGCACAACCAAGAUUGUCGCCUCCACUUGCUUCACGCUUUUUCUUUGCCUUGAGUUCAUGCCACCAAUCUGGAUAACCAUGUAGUUUGAAGCAUGUUUCUUUGGUGUGUUUUGUAUUCCCACAAUGUGUGCAGCCUCCUCCUUCCCCUUUUGGUUUUGUGGUUGUGUUAGGCUUUCCAUUUGAUGGCGUUUGAAAAGAUAAUUGGUGUUGAGGUUUAUGUUCUCCUCUUGAAAGCAUAGCACCACCAGAUAUGGUAUCUUCAUUCAUCAUCAUUACGGAUUGCCUCAAAUCCUCUAUUCAAACUUGCGCAUAAGCUUGUUCCACUGUUGGGAAUGGUUGUAUCUACAGCACAUCUGCUCAGAUCUUGUCAAGCCGAUCAUCAAGUCCGUCUACGAAAGUGUAGACUCUAUCCUCCUAUAAAAUAGAGUUAUAUUUUUGUAUAUUAAUAUCACAUUCCAUAGGAUUUGGUCAACGAAAGUCGAUUUCCCUCCACAAGCCUUGCAGAUUGUUGUAGUGUGUCUCGAUAGAUCCUCCUUCUUGUUUGAAUCUGGUUACUCUUCUUUUGAGAUCAUAUACUUGUGAUGUAUCAGUGCCAUCAAAGUACGUAAUAGCAAUAUUAUCCCAAACAGCCUUAGCCAUUGAGAAUUUGAUAAAGUUACUGACUAACUUUGGAUCCAUAGAAUUGAUUAGCCAUCCCUUCACCACUGCGUUUUCGGUUCUCCAUUUUCUGAAUGCAGGAUCUGUUUGCAGGGGCUGUGGAAAAUCUCCAUUUAUGUAUCCCAACUUGUCUUUACCUGAGAUAUACAUCUCGACAAUUUGGGACCAUAGUGCAUAAUUGGUACCAUCUAACUUGAUUCCAAUCUGUGUAGCAGGUUCAUGACUUGUGAUAUGGUUCUGAGUUUGGUUGUGGUUCAGUACUUGUGUCAUUCUUGUCAUAAGAUCUGCGAGAAUUGAACUCUCCCCUUCGUGUUUUUCCACCCUAAUAGGAGGUGUUUCCAUUUUCCUCUUUCUGUUUUUUUUUUUUUUCUGAAAUUCUAUGGCCCUAGAAUCUCUGCUCUGAUACCAUGUUGAAGAGAAGAAAAAUGGUAUUCUUCUAUAUAUUGAAAGAUACAGCAGAUGAGGGCUAUAUAUAACCUAUACAUGAAGUUAAUUUGGAAGAAACUAAUCACACUAAUCUAGGCUACAAUCUUGGAUGAUUUACAAUAAAAUAAAACUAACUUGGUAACUAGAAUAUUUUUAUUUCUAUAAUUGCUCAUUCAACAACUCACGUCAAUAAAAUCAACCCUAGUUAUUCAACAUAAUAAAAAACAUUAGUUUCCUUAUUGAAAAUGGUAAGGACUAAGUAAAUUGAUAUAAAAUAGAAUGCUUUAUAGUUUAUGAGGUGAAGUAUUAGCACUAUAAAGUUAAGUAACUAAUUUGCUAAAAUUACUAGCUAAAACUUGAAAAAUCUUAUCUAAGUGAAAAAUAAAAUAAAAUAAAACUCUUUAUUUUACAUAAUAGCAUAUCUAUAUCCCCUUAAAUUAUGAAAUUCAUGUUGUUUUUUCAACAAAAAAAAAAAAGAUAGAAAAAGAAAAAGAAAAAACCUAGAAAUGCCUACUCAAAAAGAAUAGAUUGAUACACUCCCUAACCAUAAAAUUGAGUUGUAAAUAUAAAUUAUAGUUCAUCCAAGUCUAUAUGCGACUUUUAGAAAUCAAUAGCUAGUUUCAUUUACACCAUUGGUUCGCAUUUUUUUAUUCCAUUGAAAAGAAAGCAAUAAAAAUGAAUUGAGACAAAAAUGAUAAUACAAUCCAUAAAACAUCAAUAGAUUUGUAAACUCAUUAUAAAGUUCAUAAAUUUUUAGAUAAAAAGAAAAACAAUAUAAAGAGGAAAAAAAAUUAGGAACUAUCAAGUUCAAAAAUAGAAUUUAUGGUAAAAAAUAAAAAAUAAAAAGAUAUAACAAACAACAUUUUAAAGUAAGGGUACAAUAGUUAUUAAAAAGAAUCUCAAUAAAAGUUUUCUAAAAAUUGAAAAGAGAGAGAAAAAGUUUUUGGUAUGCUUUUAUGGUUUAGGGGGUAAAAGUUCAUAAUACUCGUCAUUUUAUCAUCUUUAUAGGAAAAAAAAAUUAGACUCAACUUUAUCACAACUCAUAUGAGUUAAAAAUCUCUUGAAUGUAUUUUCUCUCAAGUUUCUAAUGGAUACCCCUUUAUCAAAGGUAUGGACAUUGAGCUAAAUUCACCAUUAAAAUUCAUCAAGUUCCUUUUUUCCUUUUCCUAAUUCAUCAAGCUAUAUUUAUGAAAUAUCCUAAUUAUUCACUUGUAAUAUCAUAUUGUCAACAAAUCCCUUAACAGAUCUACACCUAUCACUAGUUAAUAGAUAAAAUAACUUAAUAAUUAGUUUUAAGUUUUAAGGACUUUACAAGACAAGCCAAGAACCUCAGAUUGCUUGCACACAAUUGACAAAUUGAUUUGUUUUAAAAAGUCAAAUGCUAAAGAAAAUCCACAACACAUAUUGUUUUAAAAAUAUUUGUAUUUAUAUGACAAAAAAAAAAAAAAAACCAAUAGUUUAAAUUGGAAAAGUUUAUGCAAAUUAGAUGAGGAAAAUGCAAGCCAUAAAAUAACAUUAAACUGUUAUCAUUCUCUAAGAAACAUCAAGAACAUAUUGAGAGAACCAUUGCUUGACAUAAUAAAUUGGUCUUGAAAGGAAAAGAAAAUCAUCAAAGCAAUUAUAUUUGUGAUGCAUUCCUAUUUGCAAUAGGUUCCAAUAUUUGAAGCUCACAAAUUCUUCACAUUUGGAUGAACCUUUUUAUUGCAAACAUAGAUCAACCUUGUGGUGCUUACCAAUGGGAAAACAAUUAUAGUAAGAUAUGUAUUGCAAAUGGUGCAUGCUUGCUGUAAAAAUAAAAAAUAAACAAUGAUGAUUGGAUAAGGGAUAGAAAUGGAACAAAAGACAUUGAAUUGUUAUAUGAAUUAAUAUAUUUUAUGUACUCAAAUACAAAAGCAUAUUAUAAUAAUAUUCAUAAGGCAAAAACCACUAUUUUUUUUAUUGGGAAACCCAUAUGAGAACAUGGCAUGGGGCUCAUCAUUGCACACACCACAUUCUCCACAAAAAACCAUAGGACUAACACCAUGAAAACCCAUCAUUGGCACCAUCCUCUUGACUCUCAAUCCCUUAACCCUACACAUUUUCAAACCAAUGUCAUCAACCACUCAUAUCACACAACUCAUAACCCAUCUCUAAUUCCACAACUUUCACCACUGUUGUACUACCAUUCACAUCAUCUCUAUCUCUAAAAACCUACACUCACACCUCUACAAAAUGUCACACUUCCUCACCUUAUACAACACCACCGCCUUAUUAAUUCAUCCAUGCCUAUGGCUAACAUAAAAAAACCCACCAGCACCCUCAUAAAAAAACAAUACUAUUUCAAAGUUACACCACAUUAAUGUCACCAUGCACCUUUCCCUCCAUUGAAUAUCCCAUACAAUCUCUCAUUAUCACCCUCGUCAAAUUCGCAAUGUCUCUCCUAAAUCCUGUAUGACUCUUAGUUUUACCAUUUAUUAGGUUAGCGUCCUCUAGUUCUAAUCGCAACCACUCUAACUUCCAAAGAAAUAAAAUGAUAAAUGAGCAAGUCAUGGAGAUUUCUCUUCCUUACAACCUUUUGCUCCAAGUGUUUUGGUACCCUACUAUUUGCACAUAUAUGUCUUGACAUUAACUUCUACUCAAAUAUAAUCUCUUCUUGUUUUCAUGCUUACCUAUUUUAUACAUCUUUUUUUGUAGAUUUUUUAAUUAUUUAACAUCUUAAGGUUUGCUUUGGUCAUGUUGUAUUGUUUACUUUGCACACUAACCAAAUGUCAAGGCCCUUUUACAUACAACUGGUUCUACCUUAGUCUUUGCAAUACCUUCCUAAGGUAGACCAAGUGAUCUUGUAGAGUGUAGUUGUAGAUCACUAUAUCGUCCAAAUAAUACACCACAAACGAGUCUAGGAAGUCAAAUAAGAUGUUGUUUAUGAGGUUGCAGAAAGCGGCAAGGGCAUUAAUCAACCCGCAAUGCAUGACCAAGAAUUCAUAGCUACCAUACCAAGUCAAACAAGUUGUCUUUGCAUCAUCUCUUUAAGCAAUGAAAACCUGUCAAUACCCUAAUCAUAGGUUUAUCUUGGUAAAAUACUCCACUUCACAAAUUGAAGAAGUUUGUGUGUGUGUGUGUGUGUUUGUAUAUAUAUAUAUAUUAUGCCAUAGCUUUACAUGCCAUCUACUUGUCUCCAUUUCAACAUUUGAUCAUCACCCAUGGAUGCAUUAUUCUAACUAAAUCCACUUCUCCUUCUUUCAUCCUCUUUCCAUUUUGCAUUAGAAUUAAUCCAAUUAACACCACAUAUUGCUUCUCCGUUACCCCACAUUGGUAUAUAUGCAAUGAACUUUUUGGUUUUAGCUCCAAUGUUUUAGCUACAAUUAGGGCCAACUUUAUAUUAUUAUGUACCUCAAAAUUAAGCAUUGAAUAAUGCACCCUACUCAUCUCCAUUUGGUUCAAAUGGCUUGUUGUUGUUCAAAUUCAUAGUCUCUUCAAUAUCUUGUAGUUUUCAUGAAUUCCAUUUGGAAGACCAAACUACACAUGUAUUUUACAAAUAGUAAGCCUGAAUUUACAACCAACGAUCUAACAACUACACAAAGAUUUAUAAUUUCAAUAAAAUCACACAAUAUUUAUGCCACCUAAUUCAAUAUUUUGAGCACCAGGGAGUGAGAAUUAAUGGUAUUAGAAUAUUUAGGUAUCUUGCAGUAUGGUUACAAGUUAGUUAAAUAAUUGUUAGCUUGUUAAAUAAUCGUUAGUUGCUUUUUCUAUUUUUUUUUUUUUUGUUUGCAACUGGUAAACUAGUAGGUUGUGAUAGCUUUUUUACCAAUCUUUAUUAUAAAGGCUUUCUUUGUAUUACUAAAACAUCAAGUGAGAAUAUUCUAAAAUUAUCAGAGAACUCAUUUUCUCUUCUUUCCUUUCUCUAGUCAAUUUUCUAAUAUGGUAUUAGAGUCAUUUCUUUUGUCUCUGUGACUUCUCUAACUUUCCCCUCCCAUUUAUCUAAUGGCUUGCGGUGGUGGCAAUGUUAAUGCCAAUCGAGCAGUAGUUAGUACUCCUAAUUCCUCUAUAAUGGAAUAUUCGAGCAGUCCAUUUUUCAUCCAUAGUAAAUAUCACCAAGGCUUGGUUCUUGUCUCAUAUCAACUUACUGGAGCUAACUAUAAUUCCUAGAGUAGAUCUAAGCACAUGGCUCUUAUAGCUAAGAACAAGAUCAGCUUGGUUGAUGACGCUUUUCUUCAACCUCCAACAGACAAUCUCAUUUCCUUUGUUUGAAUCCAUUGUGAUAGUAUGGUUACAUUUUAGAUCUUGAACUCUAUUUUUAAAGAUAUUGUUGAUAGUCUUCUCUAUGCUAAUAGCACUUUUAAUGCUUGGGUUGAUCUUUAUGAUUGAUUCCACCAAAGCAAUGUCCCACAAAUCUUCUAAAUCAAGAAGCACGUAGUUGUUCUUGAGCAAAGAUCUAUGGAUGUCAACACAUACUACACUAAGCUCAAGGUCCUCUAGGAUGAGCUCAAAAAUUAUCAACCCAUUCUUGUCUAUCACUAUGGAGGCACAAAGUCUUGGUUAGACACCAACAAUAGGAGUACAUCAUGCAAUUUCUUAUGGGUUUGAUUGAGUCAAAUGCUCAAACUUGAACACAGAUCUUAAUGAUGUCUUUGCAUUAGUUGUUCAAGAAGAAUGCCAAUGUACUAUCAAUUAAGGCUUUUUUUUACUUACCGAUUCUCUUAUUCCCAACAUUUCAAAUUCCUUUACUUUUGUUGCAACAACAAAUUUUUCUCGAAAUUCAACUUUAAAACCUAAGCGUGAGUGACCCUAAUGUUCCCAUUGUGGCUUGCAAGGACAUAUUGUAAAUAAAUGCUAUUAGUUACAUGGCUAUCAUCCUGGCUAUAAGUCAAAAUCAAAGAAACCUGAAGUAAAAAAUUCAAGCCACCUAGGCCAAUGCAACUAUUAAUGAGACUAUUAACUUUGAUUCAUCCCUUGGAUCUCUUACUUUAGCUCAGUGUCAUCAAUUGCUUGCAUUCUUGAGCUCUCAACUUCAUACCAACUUUCUUAUUAUGCUAGAAUCUCAAUAGCUAGAACCCUUUGUUUCCCAGUUCAAUGGUAUACUAUCUUUUUCUUCUAUAUCAUAAUUUUCCAAUUUCUUUUUCCAUCUGGAUUUUGGACAUAGAAGUCGCACAUCAUGUUUGUUGUUACUUAAGCACAUUUACACAAUCUACUCCAGCACAAAAUUCUUUUGUAACUUUGCCUAAUAGUCAAUCUGUUGUUAUUAAUCGUAUUGGUUAUGUAUUUUUGUCUCCUGAUCUCAUCCUUAAUAAUGUCAUGUUUGUUCCUAAUUUCCAUUUCAAUCUUCUCUCUAUUAGUUCUCUCACUCAGAGUUAUAAAUCUUCUAUUAAUUUUAUGGUUGAUUCUUGUACUAAAGGCCAUACAUGGACCAAAACGAUUGGGAUGAGUAGAAGACAUGGCAGCCUAUACUUCUUAAAUAUAGUCAAUUUUCAUGCCACUACACCACAAAUUUUCAGUCCUUGUAAUAAUGUUUCUUUGUCUCAAAAUGAAAUUUGGCUUUACUGUUUAGGUCACCUUUCUUAUGUAACGUUACAAACACUCAAAGAUGAAAUAGAAGUUAAACCAAAUUUUGGUGAUUCAAGUCAUUGUUUAGUUUUGCAUUUAGUCAAACAAUGCAAAUUACAUUUAUUUCUCACAAUUAUUUGUCUGUUUUGCCUUUUCAACUCAUACAUUGUGAUGUUUAGGGUCUCCUUCACACAUUUACCAUUGAAGGUUAUAGAUAUUUUUUACUAUUGUUAAUGAUUGUACUCAUUUUAUUUGGGUGUAUCUUUUGCGUGCUAAGCCUGAUGUUACCGAAGUUAUUCCUAAUUUUUUUUUUCUCAUUGAUUCAAACUCAGUUUAGAACACAAAUAAAAUUAGUUCACUCAGAUAAUGCUCCUGAAUUGGCAUUUUUUUUACUUCUUUCAUUCAAAAUGAGUCAUCUCAUUUCAUUCUUGUGUUGAUUAGCCUCAACGGAAUUCAAUAGCAGAAAGAAAGCAUCAACAUAUCUUAAAUGUUGUAUGGUAUUUAUGUUUCCAAUCGCAUAUUCCAUUGGUUUAUUAGGGGGAUUGCAUUCUUAUUAUUGUACACUUAAUAAAUAAAACUCCAUUCCCACUUUUGUCCAACAAAACAACAUUUGAACUUCUUUGGAAAAAGAAGCUUGCAUAUUCACAUCUUCGUAAUUUUGGUUGCCUAUGUUAUGCAUCUACUUUAGAUCGUCAUAGGACAAAUUUCUCACCUCAUGUCAUUCCUUUUGUCUUUCUUAGGUACCCACCUGGUUAUAAAGAAUACAAAUUAUUGAAUCUAGUCACUAAUUCUGUGUUUAUCUCCCAUAAUGUGGUAUUUCAUGAGUCUAUAUUUUCUUUCAAAACUACUCAAACUUAUUCUCCUCUUCCAGAUAUUUUCUCCGGCUAUUGGGUGCAAAUAGGUGUACAAAAAUAAGUAUAGAGUUGAUGGAACUAUUGAACAAUACAAAGCUCACCUUGUAGCUAAAGGCUGCACACAACAAGAGGGCAUAGACUAUCUAGGUACCUUCUCUCAUGUUGUCAAAUUGGUUACUGUUAAGGUUUUGCUUGCUUUGGCUACCAUUAAUGGUUGGAGUCUUCCUUAGUUGGAUGUCAAUAAUGCGUUCUUACAUGGUGAUCUUUUUAAGGAAGUUUAUAUGACUAUGCCUCCUAGUUAUCACUUAAAGGAAAAUCAUUAUCCUCACACUCUGUUUACAAAAUUCAGAAGUCCUUGUAUGGCUUGAAACAAGCAUCACGACAAUGGUUUUCCAAACUCUCCAAUUUCUUACUUGUUAAAGGUUUUUAAACAUUCUAAUGCAAAUCACUCUCUUUUUGUCAAAGUUGUUAGUACUUACUUCAUUGCUCUAUUAGUUUAUGUGGAUGACAUUGUCAUUGUUAGUAAUAGUGAUGAGCAAGUUGAGAAAUUAAAAGUUCUAUUUAGGAAAGCUUAAAUACUUCUAGGGCCUUGAGGUGGUGAGGUUUAAUAAGGGAAUUUCCCUUAGUUAGCACCAUUAUGCCUUACAAUUACUAUCAGAUGUAGGCUAUGUUGGUUGUAAAACAAGGAAAACACUUAUAAAUCCAUAGAAGAUCUUUUAUUUUACGGAAGAAUGAUAGGCAAAUUGGUUUAUCUAACCAUAGCAAACCCAGAUUUAUCAUUUUCAGUACAUAAAUUCAAUCAAUUUCUUGCAAAGCCUAGAGUUCUUCAUAUGUGGGCAAUACAACAUGUGCUUCAGUACUUGAAAGCAUGGUUUGAAAUAUUGGUAAACACGGAUAUAUCGAUACUUGGAUUUUAUGGAUAUAUUGGAAAUAUUGGUAAAAUAUCGGUAAAUAUUAAUAAAAUAUCGGUAAAUAUUGGUAAAAUAUCGGUGGAUAUUUUGACAAAAAUAUUAGUGAAACAAAAAUUAUUCAAAAUUCAUGGAAAUGUUUGGAAAACUCUAAAAAAAAAAUGAUAAAAUAAGCAAGAAUACAUAUGUUAAAGUUAUUGUAAGUGGAAUUGACAUAAGUAUGGUCAAUGAGAAAAAUAUUGAGGGAUAUAUCAGUCUUAAUAAUUUAUUAUUUAUCUUAUCAAAUUAAUUUUAUUUUAUAAAAUAUUAGAAGUUCAUUAUUUUUUUAUUUUAGUAAUUUUUUGAAUAAAUUUAUAUUUUUAAUAUUUUUAAAAUAAAAAAAUUCAAAAUCAAUAAAAUUAAAAGGAUAAACAUAAAAAAAAAAAAAAGUGAAAUGAUAGUAAUUUCUAAAAAUAAGAUUAAUGAGAUAAAUGAUGAUACAUUUAAUAUUAAAACUAUAAUUUAUUUAAUUCAAAUACAUUCAACAAUGUAAAAUAAAUUAUGAUGCAUAUAUAAUUUUUUUUAUAUUUAUAUUUAUUUUUAUAUAAUUGUCAUAUAAAUGAUAUAAAAUAAAAUAAAAUAAAAGACUUAUUAAGAAAAUUAUAAUGAUGGUUUUAUACUUUUAUCAAUUAAUUAAAUUAAAUAAUUAGAAUUAAUUUAUUUAUUCUUUUAAUGAUGAAUUUUAACAUAUUUAUUGUGAACAUAUAUUUACAUAUGUGGACUUGGCCCAAUAGUAGCCAGGCUUCACCCAAGCCUUUUGGCCUGGGUUUGAAUCCCCUUGGAUGCAAUAGAAAAAAAUUUGAAGGAAUUUACACGAAUAUCGGCAUCUUUUCGAUAAAGUCGAUUGACUUUCAGUGUGCAAUAUCAUGUCAACUCUCCUUGAUAUUUUGACGAUUGACUUUCAGUGUGGAAUAUCUUGUUAGCUCUCCCUAAUAAGCAAAAUAUCGACAAUAUUUCACCAAAAUUUUGCAACAUUUCAAUGUGGAAUAUCAUGUUGACUCUCCCCAAUAUUUCAACAAUUGACUUUCAGUGUGAAAUAUUGUGUUAGCUCUCCCUGAUAAGCAAAAUAUCGACAAUAUUUCACCAAAAUUUUACAACAUUUCAAACCGUGCUUGAAAGUUAUGCAGGACAAGGUUUAUUUUAUUUUAUUUAUUUAUUUUUUUCAUUAAUAGAGUUGAAAGGGUUUGUUGAUUCAAAUUGGGCAACUUGUGUGGUCUGUUAGUGGGUUUUGCUUUUUUUUUUUUUUUUUUUUUAAUUAUUGGUGAUUCCUUAAUUUCCCAGAAAUAAAAAGGCAGCAUAUAGUUUCAAGAUCUUUUGUUGAAGUUGAGGACAGAUUUAUGGCAAAUGCAACAUGUGAAUUGAUGUGAUUACUUUCUUUAUUUAGAGAUUUGCAUGUAUCUCAUCCUAAGCCUGCCUUGCUAUUUUGCAACAAUCAAGCAACUCUUUAUAUUGUAGCUAAUCCAAUUUUUCACAAGCACACUAAGCACAUUGAGAUCGAUUAUCACUUGGUUAGAAAGAAACUGUAAAAUGGAAGCUUGAAGACACUACAUAUUUCAUUUAAACAUCAAGUGGGGGACUUGUUGACCAAACCUUUUUCUUCACCUCAAUUUCAUUUUCUUCUUAGUAAAAUGGGAAUUCACAACAUUCAUUCUCCAUUUUGAGGGGGAGUAUUAGAAUAUUUGGGUAUCUUGCAGUAUGGUUACAAGUUAAGUAAAUAAUUGUUAGUUUGCUAAAUAAUUGUUAGCUUCUUUUUCUAUUUUUUUUUUGUUUGCAACUAGAUGUGUCUAUUCAAUAACUUCAUAUGGUUAUAGUUAAUUAAGAAUCCUUUACGUAAUAACUAUUAAAAUAAUUUGUUUCCAACUUUCCUAUUAAAUUUUCUUCUGCUUAGUAUUUCAAAAAUUAUAGUUCAAGAAAGCUCUUUCGAUUUCUAUGUUGCACUGUAUCUUCUUAUAUGUUAGUACAAAUCAUACUCCUCUUUUUACCUCUUCAAUGAAUCCUUUUAGGAGUAAGACCACCAAGUGAGCACCCUUAUAUCGAUCCACAAGCUUUUUAUUACAUAUUUUUGGUUUGUGCACACCACCUCAAAUUUAAGUGGCCCAUAAAUUUUAUACUUUGGAUACCUUACCAUCCAAUCAUAAGCAUAAACUAAAUUUGAAAGGAUAAGUUUAGUUUAUUUUAGAGAAACUGAGCUCCAAGUCCCCUAGCCAAACAUGAAGUUUUGAAGCAUGAAAUUUUUGUGAUGGAACAUAUUUGCAAUCCUUAUUAAAUUGACCAAUUGUGUUAUGCUAAGAAUGCAAAUUAUGCAUGGCAAAGUGGUUAGAAAGUGUACAAAUGCACCAUCUUUUUACUUGUUUUUUUACUCAAAUUUCUCUGUCAAUUUUUUUUUCAUUCUUAUCCUUCUUAAUUGAGGCAAACAUGUUUUGGCUAGUGCUUUCAAAUGCCUUAAAUAUAUUCUUUUCAAUAUUGUAAACAUUUGGCUUGGUCAUUGUUAUAGUUAUCAAUUGUGUCAACUUUUACUUUCUCUCAUCCCCAAUUACAUAUGCACUUUGUAGUUUUAAAUUUUUUUUAGUGAUUAAUCUUAGUUUUUAUCUAAUUGUUUGCCCUAUAGUCUCUGACAUAACUAUAAGUGGAACAUGCACCUCUCACAAACCAAAAGACAUCACUUGUCUUCUUUAAUUUAAACAUUUUUGCAUCUGUGUAAGAUUUGAAACUAGAAUUUCACAAUAUCUCAUAGUCAUCUUCUCUAGUUGUUUCUCAAAGCUCUCUUCAAGAUUUAGUUCAUGUUCAAUUACCAACUUUGAGUUUUCAAUUUUAUUUUAUUUUUUCCUACAAGUCAUGAGGAAAUGAAUUUCAACUGUGUUUCAUCUAUCCAUCUCUCUUAAAUUGUUUUAUUCAAUAGUUACCAAUUGUAGAAUUGUUUUUAUAUAUUCUUUUCAUAGAUAUUGUUAAUAAAUUAUGCUAAAUGAGUAGCUUCCUGAUGUGGUGAGAGCUAAUUUUAUUAUUGCUAGGAUAAUAUAUUUUUAACUUUCUUGACUUUUUCCGAAUUAUAAACCACUCAUGCUUUGACCAAUCUCCAUGUGUUUUUCAUUUGUUUGGAUUUAUGGGCUUUUGAUUCUAUUUAGUGAAUAGAUAAUAAGGAAUUAAGGAUCUGAGAUUGACAUUAUUUUAAGGAUGUUUGAAGAUGGCAUAGUGAAGUAUAGAAUAUUGUUUUGGGUUGUAUCUCCUCGUUUCUCAUACUUAUGGUGGACAUUGAUGAGUUGGAUUAUUUGAAUGAAAUGAGCUUUGGAAAAAUACUAGUAAUUACAUGAAUUGUUGCAAUAUAUUUGAGUGAAAAUAUUAUGUUAGUGUCUCUCCAUGUCACUAAUUCAAACCUGUGACUUUCCAUUGUAAGUGGUAGAAAUAUAUCUUUUAUUUUCUAGAAAACAUUACUCUAACUUGUGAAAAAGGUUCUUAUGCCUCCAUGUUAAAUGUUAUAUGAUGGAAAAAACCUGAAUCUCUCUGUUUCCUCAAUCUGGAUCAAGUUAGGAAUAUGCAUAACUAUCCUAGGCUUUUUCUAAAUUCUAUGCACAACAAAAAAUUAAUUUUUUUUUAUACUUUAUAAGGAUCUAGAAAGUGCUAACGAAAACUAUACCUCAAAUUCGAAUGUUCCCGAGUCUUUCGCCCGAUGACUCAAACCUUGAUCUUGGCACACUUCUAAUGGGGAGGAAAUAAGGGUGGAGGCUAUAGUUCUCUAUCUCUCUGGAUGGUGGAAGAUAAAAUCCAUGGAAACCCUAACCUCUAGGGGGUAUUUAUAGGGUUCCUAAGUUGGCUUAAGUGACUUGAGCCCAUACAGACUUAGGUCACUUAAUCUAACCAAAAAUGAGUUCUAAUUAAUUAAUUAACCCAAUAAGGCCUACUAAUUAAUCAAUUAGCCCAAUCAAGAGACCUUGUUCACUUACCCCUAUACAACCUUGCGUAAUUAUCAAAAUGCCCUUAUACACAAAAGUGAACUUAGAGUCAAUUCAACCCUCAUAACCCAUGCUAACAAGGUGUAUGAGUUCAAAGCGGGGACCAUUGGGACCCAUAGAAAUACUGACUCCCUCAAAAUCCAAUUCUAAAGUUGAUUCAAUAUCACACUACAGAGAAUCAACUAAACUUCAAUAUCCUAUGUAAAUAACAACGAGACACUAAGUGAUCGGGUCUAUGACUUGCUAUCCAUUGUGUUCAGUCUCCCCAUGAACUAAUGUCUGUCGUUUAAUAAGGUGAAAGCUAUUAGUCUUUCAAGACUACCUCUACCUCCUAUUUUGUGUUCAAUUGACAUAUCUUAGUUCUCAAAUUGCCUAUGUCAAGUUCCAUUUAAUGAACUACAUGACCAUAGUUUCCAUGAAUAUACCUCCUUAAGAUCACCCAAGGGGACACACUGUCUCAAUCCCAAGAGAUAUCAUAGUGCCUCUAUUGAAAAUACCUAUUACUACCAGCUUCUACCAAUAAUGAUCUAAUCCAUAUGGAAUAUAUGAUCAACUUCCGAUUUCACCCGUAGGUCAAAGUCAUUGCCAACUUUAGCACAAGCUCAAUAUUCUCUCAAGGUUGAGAGACAACACAAUGAAACAGCUUGGUGAGGUCAUGACUCAAUAAUAGCCUUAAGUCAUGACUCACCAUAGGUCUUGUCCAAUGUGUAACCAUACACACUAGUGCACUCACCAUAGGAAACCCAUCCCGAUAACCAAGACCAGUGAUCCCUCCAAUUAGGAGGUGGUGCACUACAACCUUUAAUGGGUUGCCUAGACCCAUGAACCAGUUGUGAACAAGUCAUCUAUUUGCAAAGAACCCAUGACUUAGAUCUCCUGUGCAACUCCUAAUGCACCUAAGUCACGUACAAUAGAAAAAAUGCAGACAAAAAGGCUCAUAAAGUAUAAUAUAUGGAAUAAGAAUAUAUAAAAGUGAAACUGGAACAUCAUUAAAUAAAUAAUGAAUUCUAAGUUUAUUACAUCAUGUCAUGCUUUUAAGGGCUUUAUCCUAACAUUAUGUAUUUGAGAUAAACAUGAUAUAAUGAGAUUUAUAUUUCUCUGUUAUAAUAUUUCAAUAAGUAAUUGUGUUUUAAUUUUAAUAAACUAUGCUUGCAUGAAACAAUUCAAGUAUCAUUGGCAUCAUUGUGAGACAAAAGUUUCUCUUAUUACAUAUUAAAGAGAUUUAAGUUAUCAAAAAGUGAAAACGGUUUUAUCUAGGCUAGUUUCAAGUUGACAACUUUUAAAUUGUUUAUCAUGUGAUAAAGAACUUUUCCCCACAAAUGAUACUUGAAUUGUCUAAUUAAACAGUGUAGGAAAACAUAAUAUCUAUGAAGUUAAUUGUUUGUUCUUAAUUCAAUUUUUAUAAAUUUUGGUAGUCUUUUCUCUUAUUCUCUGGGUGCAUAUUUGGAUAAAGUUGCAUAGUAUGUCUUGUCCAUUUUACAUACUUAGAGAACUAUAGGGAAAUUCUACUAAAAUUUCUUUAAAAUGAAAUUGACCACAUUGGUCAUUGACACAUAGAGAUUAUGUAUUUCUAUAUGGGAUAGGAACUACUACUGAAUUUAGGAUGUUGGAGAUGUUAGAAUGCAUAAAACAUGCAUCGAAAUUUGACAUACUCAAAUGAUUUUCUUGUGUUGCUUAAGGAGUUUAUUGAGAAAAUUGGUAUAGACAAUGUUUGAUGCAAAGGUCAUGGACAAACCCAAUAUAAUAAUAUUAAUAUGAACUAGUUUUAUUGAGGUUAUACAUCCCUUUUAAUGCAAGUAUUCAUGGUCAACAACAUUUAUAACUUAUUAGUCACUACUACAAAUAAGAUAUACCAUGACCUUGUUUUUUCCCUGGCACUUUUAAAAAUGUUAAUAAUUAGCGUGAUAUUUGAAAAGUGUAGAUCUAUCUUCAUAGAUCAAAAUGGUUAGAACAAUGCUUACUCUUUUUCUUUUAAAUUUGGCAUCUUAACAAAUGUUAAACUACAUUUUCUUGAUUAUUAUUUGAACAAAAAAAAAAAAAGAGGUUGUUAAACGAAUAGCAUAGAAAAUGUUGUUAUUUUCUUCAAUUUGAAGUUUGAUCACUAUUGAAAGUUUGUUCUUAAAAAAUGGAUCGUUUGUGGAUUUCAAAUGAUAGAGGAUUAAAGGAGUAUGAGGAUGGGGUAGAACAUUUUUAUCACAUUUGCAAUAUAAAAUUCUGCAUAUAAAAACUCCAUUAAGUGUCCAUGCUUGUAGAGUGGUAAUAUGAUAUUUCAUACUCCUCAAAGAUUUCCUCAAAAGAUUAGAGAGCAUAUGUUUUUCUAUAGAAUUAAUUAGAAUUACCAUAUAUGGUAUUGGCAUGGGGAAGCAACUCCAAGUGAACCGCCAACUAGAAGGGUAGAACAUUAUAAUAUGGUUCAAUUUAAUGAUGUAGAUAGUACAAUAGAAAUGGUUGAAGUUGUACAAGUUGAAUGUCAAAAUGACCUAAAAUUGCUUAAAAGAUUACUUCAAAUUGUUGAAAAACCUUUUUAUAUCAUAGUUGUAGAAAAUUCACACAAUUGUUUGCAUUGGUUAAAUUAUACAACUUGAAAACACACUAUGAGUAGUCUGCUAAAAGUUUUUCAGAGCUUUUAAAAAUGCGUAGAUAUAUGCUGCCUCUAAAUAAUGAGUUACCCUUAUCUAUGUAUGAGGCAAAAAUGGCAUUGAAUACAUUAGGAAUGGAAUAUGAAAAAAUACACACAUGCCCCAUGAUUGUAUACUUUAUAAGAAUAAGUUGAAAGAUGCAUUUCAUGUCCUAUCUAUGGAACUUCAAGGUGAAAGGUAGAUAAUAUAGGAACUAAAAAAAUGACGAGAGCUCCUGGGAAAGUAAUGUGGUAUUUUCUUCCAAUUCCAAGAUUUAUAAGAAGGUUUCAAUCAUCAAAAAUCGUAAAAGACCUCUUAUGGCAUACCUAAGGAAGAGAUUUAGAUGACAAAAUGUGUCAUCCGGCUGACUCUCUAUCAUGGCUAAUUGACCAUAAAUGGCCCAACUUUGUUUCAAAACCUAGAAACUUGAGACUUCCCAUUUUAGCAAAUGGUAUAAAUCCUCACAAUUCAUUGAUUAGCAAAUAUAGUUGUUUGUCCUAAAGAGCUUGAAGCAGUAACUAUGGACAAUGUUUUUUUUUUAUCAUAAAGAGCAAGUUAUGGGCUACACUAUGGCUGCAGAUAGAGGUAAAACCUUUAACUUGUUUUUAGUUUGAUUUUUGUUUUCUUUCAUAAUGGAAAUAGAAAAUCAUCUAAACGAAUAGGACCUUAAUAAUUUAUUUUUUAUUCUACAAUUUAUUUUUGAAUAAAAUAAUUUAAAAGAUUUCAUUCUUAUAUUUGUUAGACUUUUUUUUUAAUGAAGAAAAAAAUAGUCUCCCUUUUAGCAUAUAUAUUAUAUAUGAUUAACAAUGGGUAUAAUAAAAUUUAUUUAAUAAAUAAUUGAUGUGACAUUCUAAAUUGAAAGUCAUAAAUUAGCUCAUUUGUUUGAUGUUGUCCCUAAAACUACAAGACCUGAUUACAUACUUAGAUUUUGUUCUUGAAAUUUAAGAGAUAAUUGAUGUGACAUCUUGAAUUGAAAGUCAUAAAUUAGCUUAUUAGUUUGAUGUUGGCACUAAAACUACAAUUCCCAAUGACAUAAAUUUUGUUCUUGAGAAAUGUCAUUAUGGUUCAUAGUAAGGCUUAGUUUGGUGUGUCAGACCAUGCAUGCAUGAUAUCUUUUCACAUUCUCUUGCUUUUUGACAAACAUGCUACCAUACUCAAGGUGUUUGUCAAGGCUCAUCUUGGACUACUCAAAACUUUAGGGUCCUUUCUUUGAGUUCACAAGCUUCUUUCCCCUAGUGUUAACCCCAACUCCCAAAAUCCACUCCUUAUUAGUGCACUGACGAAAUCUACAAAUGCACCAUAAAGUGAGAAUGACAUCAUGAAAAUGUAUUAAUGCAUCUUAGAUAUGGGAACUUAAAAAAAAAAAAAAAAUCUAGAGUUUAGACUUGUUUCUGUUAAUUAGAAAUUACUAAGCAAUGAAUCUUGCUAGUGUGGAAAGCACCAAUAGAUUGACCAAGGAAGGUAUAUAUAAAAAAGAUUGACAUUGUCAAUUGGGAAAAUUCCUCUGCAAACGCCAAUCCUAUCUUUCUAACCAUCAUGGAUGUUGAGAAGUAGAUAUCGAUGACUAUGAUGAGGAUCACAAAGGAUUAUCAUACCAAGGAGUUAGACAUUUGUUGGGUUAUCAACAAUUUUAAUGAAGGUGGUAUUAACUAUUUGGUUGUUGAUAGUGUAUUGCGUAGUUCAACCAAGCCAAUCUGCUCCUACAUUGAGAUCAAUCUCGAUGAAAAGGUAGCAUAUAUUUUUCAUUUCCUAAUUAUAUCAACUGCUUCAUGGUGCCUUUGUCUGAUAAGCUUAACAGGUUCUUCUACAUUUCCACCCUCUAAUUCUCUAAAGUUCAUCAUGAUAGGGUUGAAAUUUCAUCAUCAAAUCAAAACACAUCCUCCUAUAAGAGGCCUUUGAAUUCUGAAAUAAUCAAUUCACUUGAUUCUCAUAUUGGCAAAGACAAGCUUACACUAUUGGAAAGACUACCCAUCACCUUUGCCUUCCCAAAUAGAAAAGAUGAGAGAUAACAUUUCACAAAAUCACAAGAAUUAUUCAAGUUUGGAAUUCAUAGGCAUUGUUAUUGAAUUUCAUUUGUAUAAAAUUGGUGUGUUGUGUUUAUUUUGUUGGUAUUAAAAUUGAAUUUUUUUAAUUGCAAAUUGAUGAUUUUUUUUUCUCACAUUUAUACCCAUUAGAGUUUCUUAUUAGGGUUUGUGUUUGAAAUUUGGAGAAAGUAUGGUGCAAUUGUUCACCAGUGUGGUGUACCAUUUUGUUUGUUGUAUCUGAUCUUUGGGUAUUUGAUUUAAUUUUAUUGUUGUUGAAAUUGAAAGUUGAAAUCCAAGUUAAAUGUUUAACUAGAUAUUUGUAGUUGACUUGUUUGCACCGAUCUUGAUUGCCCAUUUCAUGGGAAUAAUUCAUUCCAAUUUUCCUUCAUGAUUACUAAAAAUAUAUUGUAGGUGAAGGACUAUUAUGGAGUAUAUUUAAUUCACAAGAUUGAAUAUUGAACAAAGAUAUGCCUUAGGUCUAGCUUAUAUGGAAUAGCAUAUCUUACAUUUAGUUAAUUAAAUAUACUAUACAAAUUUUGGUUAUAUAUAAUAUCUAUGUUACAAAUUUGGAUAAUUCGAAGUCUAAGUGACUUCAUAUAAUUAUUGUUACAUCUUAAAAAUGAUUUCACAAAUUAGAAUUACAAUGACUCCUACAUAUCUUAGAUUCUAACUCAAAUUCUCACUUGAUUUUAUUUUAUUUUUAUUUUUUUGUUUUCAAUCAAUUAAUAAUAUGUUAUGGGCUAGUUUAGCUUAUAGUUGAGAUGAAUUUUAUCUAAGAGCACCUCAAUUUGAACCAAAUUGAAGAAAAAAAUGACUUAUUAUACCUUAUGAAAGAUAAUAUUAUUAAUUUCCAUGUUUUUUUUUCAAAUAACCUUUUCAUGACAUGAACUUAUAUGGAACAUUGUUGUAUUAAUUGAUUAGGAAAUCACUAAGCCUAAGAAAGUGAGAAAAUUUAAAAGGGAAGGAAUGUCACCAUUGCAUUUUAGCACAAAGGAAGAUGAUCUCUAGCUAUGACGAAAAUUCAAGAAAUGAACAAGUUCCAUUAAAGAUGAAGGCACAAUUGGGUGACAUUUAAAAAAAAUGUCAAAGGAAGUUAUUGUUUUAGCUACGGAUAUGUUCUUUUUUUUUUUUUUUUUUAGACUUCUUGUGUUACUCAUAUAUGUAAUAUGCAAUGUGAUUUCUCUUUUAUAUUAUAAAUUUAUUACUCUUAGCACUUCAUUUAUGGGAUAGAUGAAUAAUAAUUACUUUAAUUUUAUUUAAUUGUUGGAUAGUUGUUGGAUGGAUAAAUAAUUGUCAUUUCUUUAUAUUUGAGUUAUUUCAAUAUCAAAUGCCAAUUAAAAUAAAAGAGCAAUAGGUGAAGCUAAUUUUAGAUUGUCACAAUCCUUGGCACUUCCACUAAGUGUCAAGGUUUAGAGCAAUCAACAAUGGAAAAGGUGAACGAUGAUGCUUCCAAAAAGCGUCAAGGUUAUUUCAUCUUCAACAAUACCAGUUUUUGUAAGUGUCAUUAUUUACAAAAUCAACAAUAACAUUGGCAAAUUGGUACGCCUCAAUGCUUCUAAAAAACAUCAUUAUUUGUUCCAUAUUUACAAUGACGCUUUUAAAAGUGUCAACAUCGCUAAACACUCUUUACAAUGACACUCGAUUUCAUGGUGCUUUUAAGAAGUGUAAUUGUUUGUAAAAACUUAUUAUGACAAGCUAAGAGAUGACACUGCGGAGAAGUGUCAUUGUUUGUCUUUCUUGACAUUGUUUGUCUUUCUUAACAGGUAAAAAGUGUCAUUAUUGAUCGAUUUUUCUUAUAAUGAAUCCAAUUGGUUGUGAUUGAGUUAAUGAAAUGAUCACCAACUUUUUUGCAACCAUACAACACUACAUAACCUUAAUACCUAUUGUUCAUUAUGAUGUUGUAAGAACAUAUGCCUUUAUGUGACCUAUUAAAUAAACUGGUCUUAUCAACUGAAAAAUGUUCCUCUAGUUAGUAAAAACUUCAUUCAUGUGGUCAUUUAUUAGCAUCAUAAUAAUCCAUAUUACAAAUAUUUAAAAACAUUAAUGCACUAAAACAUUGAUUUCAUCAACAAAAAUACACUCAUUCUUUUAACUUAUAGCAUUCAAAGAUGUUUAAAAAUAUAUAUGUACAAUAAAACAUCAUCAAAUUUAUUAACAAUUAAACUUUUAACCCCAAAACAAUCCGUUACUUUAGUAGAUAAGACACUAUUUGGAAUAACAUUAUUUUUAGCUCAAGUUAGAAGUUAAAAUGAUAAGGUUAAAAGAACAAAACCAACAAAAAAAAAAGUUAUUUUUUGUCAAACUUGACACUAGUUCAAGUUAGAUAAUGUAGCUCAAUGCCCUAUUGAAUUGAGUCAUAUAACUAAACUCCCUAAUUAUUUAUUAUGAUACACACACAACCUUUGGUUUAGUAUACAUGAUUAAAUUAAAUGCCCAACCUAGUUUGCAAAGCUAAAUUGGAAUCCCAAAUCUAGUUCAUCAUAAAUACUCUUCAACUGACUUGCUAUGGCAUUCAAAUAAGACAAUGACAAUGAUAGAAAACCAAAAAAAAUACCUAAUAUAUAAUUGAAAACUCCUUCCUAAAGGAGGUAAAAAAAAAUCAUGAAGUAACUUUCUUCUAUUAAUAAAAAAUGGGAAUACAAUGAUCUAUAUAGUGUUUUAACUCGAAACUUAUGGUACUACAAAUAUUAAAGAAGAAAUUUAAAACACACACACACACAACAAGCAUGUUGUCAAGCUUAUAAAAGUUGGAGAAAUCUCUGCAUACAAGUGUUCAAAACAUGAUGGAGAGUAACCUUGAUAUUUAAGUCAACAAUAUACAAGGAAAGACAACCCAAAAAGGUACAACUUUGAGAACAAACUCUCCUUUUUGCUUUUUCACAUAACCCCUUCUUUUUUUCUUUUUGAAAACUUCUCUCAUUUCCUCUAAUUGUUACACUAUACAACAAUCCUAAAAAAAUAGAGUUUAAAGGUCUGUUUGAUAAUCGUUUUUAAAAAUAAUUCUGAAAAAUAGUUUUUGAAAAUUAUUCUCUAAUGUUUAAUUUGUAGAACAAAAGUUUGUUUGGAAACCUAAAAUAUUUUUAACAUGUUUUUAAUGUUGUUAAAUAUGUUUUAAAAAUAAUUUUAUGUCUAGUAUUUUAUUUUUAAUCAUUCUACAUGUUUAUAUAAUUAUUUUUUAAAACAACUCUAAAAAAAUAAGUGAAAAUAACAUAAAACAAUUAAAAGAUGUUAUCUGAAAACACCUUAUUUUAUUAUAACAAAAAAUAAAAAGCGGUUUUUGGUUGUCAAACAUGUUUUCUUAGUUUUUUAUUCUGAAGAAUAGAAAAUUGUUCUUGAAAAUAGUUGUAAAACAAGAAUCUUUUCAUAUUAGUCUAGGUAUCACAUUAGUUAUUGCCCAUUUUAUGAUUUUAAUUAUUGCUUAAAAACUAGUCUUUCAACUAAAAAAGAAGGUCCACUACUUAUGGGUCAAACCUUCAACUUUCAAACCCCAACACAAAGUUAUAGUCAAGACUAAUAUUCACAUAUUAGUAUUAAUAUAGUUCAUUAAAUAUGAAUUUCUAUAGAAGGCAAAAUCAAGUUUUUAGGGGAAGUAACAUUCACUUUCAUAUUAAGCACUUUUUAACUCAUAAGUUAGUACUUGUAACAAAAUUUCUUAAUAGAGACUUUAAUUGAGUUUUAAGAAAAAAAAAAUUGUUUGUAAAAAACCAAUUCAAACAAAAUCUAAAACUAAUAUUAUUAUCUAAAAGGCAUAAUGAACAAAAUAAACCAUAAACUAAAGUGGUAGUGACAACCAGUAUGUAGCGUCCAUGAAUAAUUGAAAAUAGCCUCAUUUUCUAAUGACCUCGGACCUAGAAGCUCUAAAAUCCUUGCCUAAUUCUUUGUGAUGACUUUAGUUUAACCUUAAUGGCGAGGGCAAAAUUCUAAAUAAUUUUUGUCACAACUCAUAAAUUUAGAAGAAAAAAAUGAGAAUAAAUGGAAUCCCAAACAAGAAAUUGUUAUUUUUCUCUUUUAUGACAAAAAUCUACUACUAUUAUUUAAUAACGUGGGAAUUGUUCUUUCAACUUUAAUACCAUGUAUGACAUAACUUUAACAACCUUAAUUUAUAAGAUUAUUGAAUUUAAAAGGAUAAAACAAUUACAUAUUCAUAAGAAUCACUUCUAUUUUUUAACAACAAUAAAUUUCAUUUUUUGGACAAAAAUACCCUCCAUUGUUUUUAUCAACAUUUCACAAUCGAACACUUAUUGGAAAAAAAAAAAGGUAUAAGGGUAGCUAUAUUAAAAUGAGGUUAUAAUUAUAAUACUCAAUAAGUGGAGAUUGUUUUUCCAAAUAUUGGGAUCAUCUUAUCCAUUUGACACAAAUAUUUCUAAUUUAUAUUAUAAUUACUCUUAUAGUAAGAGAAAAAGAGUAAUUUCACAUGAAAUGGACCCAUAAACAUAGAUUUAUUAUGAGGCAUGUUACUAUAAUAAUAAUAGGAAAUAAGACGAGACAUGUUACCAUAAUAAUAGAAAAUAAGAUAAGUAAUUCAAUACUUAAUAAAGGUCUAAAACAAUUAUGCUUCUCAUUAAAUGAUAUUAAUGAUGGAAAAAAACUAAGGGGUGGUUAAUAAAACUUAAUAUUUAUUACUUAAGGAUUUAAGUUGACUUUAAAUUAAAUUAUGCUUAAAUUGUUAAUUUAAAACUUAUUAAUUCUUAUUUUAAGUAUUAAGACUAUUUAAUAAAAUUAACUUGAAAUUUAUUAAGACUAUUUAAUAAAAUUAACUUAAAAUUUCUUUUAAAUUGUCAAAUCGAUAUAUUUAUUUUCUUAAAUUAUAAUUAAAGUAAAGGACAUCAAGUAACAAUGGAUGUCAUGGAAUAGUGAAAGAGAUCUUAGAGGUAACGAGACAAAUUAUGGUAAAAAAAUGUUAAAUAAAAAUAUGAACUUAAAAAUAAAUUAAUUAUUUAUAUUUAUUACUUAAAGUUGUUUUUUAUUUUAUAUUAUUAAAUUAUUAAAUUAUUUUACUAAAUGUGUUUAAUUUAUUUAAUGACUUACAUUAAAUUACUUUAGGCUAUUAAAUCGGUUUACAAAUAAUAUCGAGUAGGCCCACAGACUGGAGAAUAUUGCUAUCAUAUGUUUUAUCACUACUUUCAUGUAUUAAGGUGCCAAGAAUAAUUCACCACAAAAUAUAUGAUAAGUUGAUAGUAUAGGAUACAAUCUAAAAAAUGCACUUGAUUUCAUCAUCUAAAUAAAUGCUCUUGGCAAAAUGGAUCAUCCUAGCUGAAACCAGAGCACAAGCCGUCAUGGACAGGAGGCAACGGAGAAACCCUUCUGCUUCUUCUUCUGCCUUUUCAUCUCCAACUUCAUCCUCAUCGCGUUUCCGCUCAGAGAAAUUCUCCUCGAAUCCCCCAAAAACUAGUAACUCCCUGGAGGAUGCUCACCAAUUGAAAAGCAAAUGUGGGAAGCCACAAAGACCAGAGCAAGAGGAGGAAGGAGAGCAAGAUCCGAACAAUCUUCUCUCCUUAGUUGGAACUUGCCCAUUCAUGUGCCCUGGUAAAAAUGCGUGCUUAUUUUUCCAUUUUUUUUAAUUCUAUUUUCCUGUUAUUCUGUGUUUGGUUUCCGAGAAAUUGGAGGAAAACAGUAGAAAAGAGAAGUGAAUCUGGAAUUUCUGUGUCAUUUUUGUUGCUUUUACAUAAAUUUUACAAAUAAAAUUGAUAUUUCCCCCCUUUAUUAGAUACCAAUCUGAAGAAGACGUAGGAAUCCCAAAAAAAAAUUCGCUUUUGCCUUUACUUCCCCCAAAUCUUUCAUAAUGGAAAAUGGACUUACCACCUCUUUUAUCACUUUUCCUUUACCAUGUCAGGUUUACAUGUAAUCAAACACUGUAUUUGGAGUAGAGCAUUUAUUCUAAUGUCAAAUGGUGUUGAAAACUUGAAUUACUGGAUCUUAAGACUCCAGAAGAAAUUUGAUUGUUUAUGAUUAUUGCUCCAUGAGAAGGGAAAGGGAUUUCUUUUGUUUUUGCUCACAUACAUGGCCAAAUUGAUUUAUCUCCUUCUCAUACGAACAAAAUAAGGACAUUUCUUGUCUUGCUGCCUUUUAUGCCACCGGUUCCACAUGCUGAUGUGACAACCCUUGUGCUAUUCUGUACAAAUGGUAGGAAAAUUCUGGUAAGACUGGUGGCCAGCCUAUCAUGUUCAGAGAAUAAAUUCAUUGUAUAUCUGGAAUUCACUCUAUAUCAGCAUAGGGUGUUGAUAUUGAUUAUAAAUGACUAAAUUCAAUUUAUUAUCCUUACAUUAGGGAGUGCUAAAAGGAUGCAAAUUGUUCAUGUUAUACCCAAAGACAUACAAGUGAUGCUAGAGAUUUUCACAAUGUAGAUAAUCAUAGAGUAGAGAUGAACACUAUGGAGUCUUUUGGCAUGUGUUCAUUCCAUGUAUGGGAACAUGCAUUGGAAGAUUAUGUUUCCUCCUCCCUCCCCUCCCCUCCCCAAAGUAAGUACUAUGUUGUCAUGGCAAGAACUUUGGUGACAUGCUUCUGAGUGGAAUAGCCUCCUAGAAGUCCAUUUAUGUGGCAAUUGGCAAGUUCUUCCAGUCAAUGAGAACUUUGUGACUGUCUGAUUGUUGUACUAAUCAUCAUCAGAUUUUUUUUAAGUUCAAGUUGCAAAUAGCCUUUCACAGUUGAAGGUAGCAAUGAAGAGGCCUGUUGACAUAAUUAUUUCUUCUGCUUGAAUGGAUUAAAAUCAGAUACCACACCUUCAGCCUAGAAAACUAUGGACUUUCCUAUGUACCUGCAAUUGGCUGAAUACUGGUGUGACACUGACCAAAGGCUCUCUGAUGCUGUUAUUAAUUUCCCGAGCAAAUAAGAGAAAACAGAGAGGUCAUAAUGUGAAUCAGUUACCUCUUGAGUAGGGAUGAAGGCUUUUUAUACCUUUUUACUUUCUGGUUAGGCCUUGGAAGCACUUCUGUGAACCAUGAUUUUGUACUGUAAAAUUAGAUGGGAUGGAUAGGUCACCUUAACUCUACUUUUGGAAGUGAUUGGGGAGUGCAUGACCGUAUGAAUAUUGAUGUAUUCUCCCCAUACAGAGCCCAACUUCUUUUUGAACUAGGAAGCAUGAAGGGUGGGUGCAUGUGGGCUGAGGAAGGAAGAUUUGACUUGUGUGCUGCAGGCCUGCAGUACCAAUUUGUUCCAGAACUUGAUAAGGCCCAUAAACUGGUAGGCAAGUUUCAUUAUUUGGUCACCACUGAAUUUCGGCAGUAUGGCCACAAGGAAGGUAGGAAGGAGAGGGAGAAGAGAAAGCCCCAAUUGCCAAUUGCAAUCUUCCGGUUGGCACAGUGCUCAUUUGCUGACAUUUCCAUUUGAUUUUAACCUUGAAACAGAUACAGCUUAACGUGAUGGACCAGUUUUUCACAAUCUUGUGAUUCAUUACCCAACUUCUAGUAACAGUUUCUCAGCAGAUGACUCACCCAUGACAGGCUGAUGAUGUCUGCACACAACUUGAAAGGUAUUUAUGCCAAGGUGUGAAAGGUAAUAUUGUGACACCAUUUUUCCUAUUCCAGAAAAUGUACCAAAUGUAUGGCUGGUUCUUGACCAAAAAAUGCUGGCAUUGGUCACCAAGUGCUAGGGUGAUUCUUGACAAAAAAUGUCGUAUUGUUCAGAACAAUGAUUUACAACUUCAGAUUGGCCAUCCAGUUAAUGAUGAUAAGCACUUGUUUUACAAAGUUCAGUGUCAUAAAAGCAAAAUAAUUUUGUCAACAAAUAUGGGGAUAACUUUAUCAUAAUUACUACUUAUGGAAUUUAAGGAUAAGUUGGGUAAUGUGAGAAAGUUUUGGUCAGAGGAUAUGAGGAUAACUUUGUUGCAAUUGCUAAGCUACACGUCCUAGGACUACUAGGAGAAAAGUAUGAGCAACAGAAUGAAUUUACAGUCCAUCCCCACUAGCUGCAUGGAGAGGUUGGGCUUAUUGCUGCUAUGGUGGAGGUCACCUUCUUGUAGACUUUGAAAUGUGCAAAUGAAGAGGCAGAUUUCUUAGAAGAAUGGGUAGGAUUCAGCUUGUGGUAGAUAUUGAGCUUAUCGCCUCUAAUUUCAUGUCUUCUCAAUGUGGAUUUGAGGUUUAACGAGAUUUUUGGGAAAUCAUUAAGAUUAAAAGUAAUCGAAGACUUUCACAUUAAUGAGGUAAUGAAUAACCACUGAUACUUCUUCACCCCAAAGUUCCUUCACAAAAAUUUGGUGAGUGAAGAACUAUUACUGAGUUGUGAAGCACCAAUUCCAGCUUCAUUAUCUUGAUCUUCAGAAAGAGGGAUCCAACUUGAUUUGGGAUUUUAUACCUGUCAACCCAGUCACUGGUUUUUAGGAGAAUACUUCCAAUUUACCCUUGGGUUGCUUUAGAAAGUUUCUUAAUAGUGCCAUCUCUCUAGCUUAAGGGGCUUUUGUUAAUGGAAGGCAAAUUCUAGAUGUGGUUAUCAUUAGUAAUGAAAUCCUAGAUAAAAAAUUCUGUUCUAAGGACGAAGGGAUGGUUUUUAAAAUAGGUUUUGAGGAAGUUUAUGAUCACAUAGAUUGGGGUUUCAUGUAUGAUACAUACUUUGAAUAGGGAAGGCCCUUGAACCUGGAUGGCACAAAGGGACUGGAUAUUUUGAGGUUGUUUUUCAAACUGCAGACUCUUUAAUGGUUAUUGAAGCUGAGUGAUUAGCACUCGAGGAAGAUUCGGACAUGGUUGUUUGCCUGGAUGUAAUGAACCUCCAUAUUGAAGGGGAUUCCUUUGUUAUUGUCUUAGAACCUUCUUUGAAGGCAAAGGUCCUUAGUGGAUUGCUCAUCAGAUGGGGUGGCUUCAUAAUCAUGCUAGAGACAUUGCUUGUUCUUCUCUAUUGAGGCCCAGAUCAGCUAGCCAGGUGCAUGGCUAUAUUUUUCUUAUAGGGAUGCUAAUAUCUGAAAUUUUUUAUUGAGAACACUUACCGCUCUUUGAUUGGUUUGAGGCAUGGAGCGGCUUUUCUGUUCUCUUCUUGCCAUACAUGCAUAUCAUCCCUCUUUUUUUAUCUUGUUUAACUCAAUAAAUUCUCAUUUGUUAUAAGGAAAAAAAGAGAUAUUAUGUUACAUGAUGGAAGGACUUUAUUCUGUUAUGGAGUAUGCAAAACCUAGAUCUAUUAGCUAGAGCUAUACAGUAGGCUGUUGGGUUGUUCAGUAUUGUCUCUUUUUUGGAUAGGUUUGGCCAAUGCCCCUUGAUGUUACUUUUUGGUGAUGUAAUUUUCUUUGAUUUUUCUUGAAAAUUCCUCAUUUUUCAAGCUUGCUUGUAUAUCUUUUCUUCUUCCAUUAAUGAUUGUUUGAUUCCUUACUAAAAUAAAUAACAAAUUAUGAUGGAAAGGAUUAUGUUUAUGGAAAAUUUUGAGAUUUUCACCAGAUUAGAGUCUCCGAAGCUGGUAUUUGUCUUUACACAGAUAAUAGGAAUCAUUUUCCCCCCAAACUACAUAAGACAUGUCUGCUACUUGGUAAUGUUCCAUUGGCAGUUAUAAACUCUCCUGUCAAAUGUGAAUCUGUUGUAGCAUUCCGAAUGGUGUUGUGUCGUACAUAGAUUGGUAAUUGAGGACUUUAUUAUGGAUUUCGUCCUGUUUUGGUUGUGCCAACAAGUUCUAUCCUGUUCUUUGUCUUGCUGAUUUGCGUGGUUGUGCAUCAUGUUCCUACCAGCUGUAUAAUUAUGCUUCUGGAGCAUAGUUAUUCUGGUUUUACCAUCCAGAUGAUGGUACUAAAGUAUUUGUAUUCUAGAUUGCACAACUCCUUAUAUGGGAUAUUUUUGCAUCAAAUGCUUAGUGAUCAAGAGAACUCUCAUAUUAAACACAUUCAUCUUCUAUUAAACUAAAUUCCUUAAGUCUGCAGUCUCACAACUACAUCAUACCAUUCUUUUCCUUUUUUCUUCCUUUCUUGCUAUUACAGGUUGGUUGCCACUAAUAUAGUAGAAAGCAAAUUACACGACCCUGCUUCCAUAAGACCUUUCUUAUUCCAUAGGUUGAAAUAGAAAAAACACUCGAUGGGACUAAUGCUUCUCUUUGCAAGCAAGCAAAUUAAAAUGUUUUGAAACCCAUGCUGCCAUGAUCUAGCUAAUUUGCAUUUUAUAUGUCUACUCCUUUCUAUUUACUCAAAUUGUGUAUUUCUUUUGCUUGUAUUUAUUUCCUGAUGAGUUUAUUCUGAUUCUUUGAUCAGGAUUUCUGCAAUCACAUUGCUUGCUAUUGAAUUUUCAAGGGCUUAAUAUGAAUUAUUAAUAAAGAAGUUGUUUAAUUAUUUCAGCAGCUUAUACUUUGUAAUUUCUUUUAACAACUCUUAUCUCUGAUGUUCAUUUGUAAUAAAUAGCUGGAGAAAGGGCCCAACGUGAACGCCUUCGGGACUUAGCUGUGUUUGAGAGGUUACAUGGAAAUCCUGGGAAAACAUCUCCAAGCCUUGCUGUCAAAAAGGUAAACCCUACAUCUCAUGCCUCUAUACCGCAUCUUAGCUUCUCAUCUUGCAUCGGACAAUGAUACUCUUAUUGAAUCAUCUUUACCAUAUCAGCCAUCAACAUGUGCACUUAUUGAGCACUAAUUCAGGCACUGAUACUUGUGCUUUUGUUUUGUUUUAUCUUCUCUUGUCUUGUUUUGUUAUGGAUGUGAUUGUGUUGGAUGACCUGUAUCUGUGUUAGACACCAAAGCCUAUCUUAAUGGUACUGUAAAGUAAGACUAUGCUAAUAAGCUAUUGAUCUGUUACAGGGUUUAUGCCAAACUGAUUUUUUAGUUUCUCUAGUAGAAAACUUGUUUUUUCCCCUGUUAUAUCGGUGCUAUUGUUGGAUUUGUGUUUGUUGUUGAUCAAGCAUUUGCUGAAACUUUUUUUUUUUUUUUUUUUCCUUUGCUUCUUGAUGUGCAAAGCAUUAUUGUUUGAAUUUUAAUGAUCCCAUUUGAUUCACUAUUCAAUAUUUUUAUUUGAUAUUACAUCUAUCUCAUUUGUUUUCUUUUCUUAGUUUUUAUUUUUAUAUUUUAUAUUUUUAAUUUUUUUUUAAUUUUUUGAAUUAGUGACAUUUGAAUUUGAUGGAGCCACCAUUAAUUUAUUUUUCCUUAUUAUUGUGGGGUGUGCUUUAUUUUGUUCAAUUGUUGUUGCACUAUUAUUAUCAUGUAACUUUUUUUUUUCUUUUCUUUUUUUUUUGUUUAAUCUAUUGUUCCUAUGAGCAUUAAAUGCUCCUAAAAUGUAUGGAAUAGGCUAAACCUUUCUAUAGUUUUUUUAAAAAAACUCAUUUAUUAUCUAUUUUCUUGUGCUCAAAAAAUUAUAUUUUUUUAGUAAAAUUGAAAAUUUAGGGAGCGCUUAGGCCCCAGCGGCUCAACCCCUUGAGGGUUUAUGCCUAUUGUAGCAAGAUGUGGACCCCCUUGCCUCUUAUGCUUUUACCUUAUGAAACUAUACCAAGAAAAAAACGCCACAACUCCCUGCUGCCAUCAAAGGAUACUUCAAAUUUUGCUUGAUAUCAAUUUUAAGGCUAAUUAUCAUAGGCUUGUCAUCAUGUCACUAAAAUUGGUAUUGUAACCAAAGUCCUAUUGCGAAAUCUUCAAGUUGCAGCUCCUUUUUUUCUGUUGGCUCUUGUAUUGUUAGGUGGCCGCAACCUGUUGCUUUACUUAUGCUUUAUGAACUACUCCAGUUAAAAUAAUGCUUCGAGUAGAUGCUUUUUGGAUCUUGACUCUAGCAAGAGGCUUAUAUUGCAAAUUUUUUUUGUGGAGUCCUAGAUAGGUUAACUAGGAAGACAAUAGCUUGCUUAAAAGGAUUGCCACCUCUCCUGUUGGGUUUGUAAAAAUUUUGCUUCUCCCUUGACCUUGGGAGUCCUGUGGUUUCAAUUUUGGGUGUGCUCUAGGUUGUAGCCUGUGUUAUGCUUUCUAAAUGGUAAUCUUCUUGUUUUGGUUGGGAUGCUUUUGUUUAUUUUGCUUGUUUGCUUUCUUUGUUUCUUUAUAAUUGUGGCUAUAGGAUCACCAAUCAACUUUAUAUUUUUUGCAAAAACUGUUUAUGUUUCAUAACGAAAAAGGAAAAAACAAAGGCAAGUUAGCCUACAAUAGGUUCUAUCUUGUUUCUUCUUUUACCAUUAGUGUGGAUUCGAACUCAGGAAAAGGCCUUCAAGCAAGUGGCAUUUGUGUUUUUUAAACAUAUAUCUUUGUUCAAUCAUUGUUAAGUGUUUGUUGUCUUGUCUGUUCUUUUGGUUGUUUUUGUCUUUGUCAAAGUGUAUAACUGUAAUAUCCUACAUCGUAUAGAAGAAAAAGUUUCUAGUGCUAUAUAUGUAUGAAUUUCUUUUAAUCUUGUUGAUUCGUUUUUAAGCCGUGAGGGUCGCUUAGGCUCAAAACAAAUAAUAUCCACACAACUGGGAGCAGGUUGUUACAAAUGGUAUCAAAGUCAAUGCUCGACCUUGGUGGGAGAGUUUGUUUGGCCUGAAAUGGGUGUCCGUUUAUUUGACCCUACAAUCCUGUUGGACACAACAAGAACGUUGUGUCUGCAUGAGAGAGAGGGUGAUUGUAAUAUCUUACAUUAGAUAGGGGGAAAAGUUCCUAACGUUAUAUAUAUAUAUAUGUCUGUAUGUAUGUAUGUAUGUAUAUAGACUCCUUUUAACCUUGUAAACGUAUUUUAAAGUCAUGAAGGCCCCUUAAGUAUAAGGUGGAUAAUAUCUAUACGGUUGAGUGCAGGUUGUUAAAAUAAUUACUUUUAACUUUCCUUCCAUAUGUUUAAUUGCAUAACAUUAUUAUAGCAAAAUAUUAAUCUAUCAUAAUGCAACGUCUUGUAAAGCUUAUGUUAGGUGUCAUGAUUUUAUCUCUUGUCAUUUUUAUUAUUUUGAUUCAAUAUCAUCUUAGCUUAUAAUCAUUUAUACACUUGAUGCAUGAGAAAUGAAGAUGCUAUAAAUUGUAGGAUUCUUUUUCUCCAAUUUGUUCCUUGAUAUUUUAUAAUGCCAUGAAAUGUCUAUAUUUUGAUGCAGAAAGCCGUUCACCCUCCAUCUCUCUCACUAGUUUUGCAGAACCAUUGCCACUAAGCACAUGCAGGCGUCAGAUGUGCGGCCACUUCCAGUGUUGGAAGAGACUUUGAACUACCUAUUAAACCUGUUGGAUGCCACGGAACAUCCUUUUGAAGUGGUUCAUGAUUUCGUCUUUGAUAGGACAAGAUCAAUAAGACAAGAUCUUAGCAUGCAGAAUAUCGUUAAUGAUCAAACAAUUCAUAUGUAUGAAGAAAUGGUAUGAAUUUCUUGAAACAUAAUCUCAAUUACCUUUUUUUUCUGAGCAUUCAUCUCCUCAACAUACAAUAAGUUAGCCAACCCAUUGCUAAACACUCACCUAGUUGGAGAAAAUAAUCAAAGUAUACAAGAUAUAAAAUGUUGAAUAAUUGAGUCAUUAUCCUCUCCUUUUGCUUUAUUGAAUAAGAUAAUUUAUUCAGUGGAGUCCAAACGAGGUGAAACUGUGAUCACACUACUUGAAGCCUACUUUACAAUGGAUAAAUGAAUGGUCUGAUUCUAAAUCUUUCUUGGCACAUUAGUUAUUAUCCAAUCCGUUCUAAUUAAAUUAUCCACUAUUAAGUGUCUAUUUCCAGUCACCCUCCAAGUUAUGAAAGACCCAUAGAACCAAAGCAACUCACACCACAUGUGAUGGGAAUUGAUGCUCUCUUCCAUAAUGUCAAGUUUUCCAGUACACUUGCUGACUUUGUAGAAUAUGCCUACAAAAAGGGCUGCCACCUCCUAAUUCCCAAUCAUAGAAGUUUCUUAACCAUAUUUCAAAAGCUGUAUUUCCUGUUCCCCCUCUUAAAGUUUUUUAAACCUAUAUCUCUUUAUCCUAGUAAUUUGGAAAAAUGAGGAAAUUAUUUAACAAGAACUCCAUCAAUUUGUUCCUUAAAAUUUUCUAUAGUUUCUAUCUCUCUCACUUUUGAUUCAAAUUCUUGAAGCAAAGGAACAAAUUCAUGGCCAGUAACAAUUUUAGCCAAGCAAUAGAAUGCACAACAAACAUGCAUAUGAAUGACUUGUGUUUUUUUAUGAUAAUUGAUUAGAUAUUUUAAUCUCAUCCUAAAACCUUGGAGUUAGCUAAAAGCCGCAUCUUAUGUUCUGACUUGUGGUUUGUUUCAUAAUAUAGGUGAAAUUUCAUAUUAUAUCCCACCACAAGCUUCGCAGUUGUAGUAGCAAGCCAAAUUUUUCUUCAGUUCAUUACCUCAAUAUGGAGCAGCUGAAAAAGUGUCUGAUAUCUCUAUAUGCUCUAUACGAAGAAAAUCGAAAUUCAAAUUCUAUUUACAAGAAUGAACCUGAGUUUUGCUCAUUUCACGUUCUUCUUCAUCUUGGCUCUAACAACCAACCAUUGGUGGAUACUUGCUUCCAUUGUUUGUUUGAGUUCAUCUUUUUCAGUAUCUCUUGUAGCCUUGUACUGGUUUCUGAAUAUGUUACUAUUUCUGUUCUGAAGGGAGAGUCACUCUCUUUAUGGUUGGGUCGUGUACCUUCUCUCAUUUUGAAGUCAAAGGAAAUGUGUUUUGCCCGGAGACUUUUAAGGUGACCACAAAGCUAUUAUAGAUUCGAUUUUCAAUUGAUUUUUUUCUCUUCUUUUAGUACCCAAUGUUCAAAUUUUUGUUUUCAUGAACUGAAAGAUCUGUCUUUUCUUGUAACAGAUUAUUUCGGAUGGGCAAUUAUAAGCGUUUCCUUUGUACUACAGCAACUGAGGCAUCUUAUUUGCAGUACUACAUUAUUGAACCUUACAUCAAUGAGGUUGCUUAAAUAUGUUGAUUUUGCUAGAUUUUUCAGUUUGAAAAAUAUAUGCUUCUUUGUUCAUUUAUUGUUUUUCAGUUUCAUUUCUGAGAAUAUAUCUCAAAUCUAGACUCGAGUACUUGUGCUUUUGGGUUUUAUUUUUCUUUCAUUUUUGUUAGUAGUUGUACUUCAUUAUUCUUAAAUUUCUCACCAACUGUUUCUUUAUGUGGUUUAUUGCUCCUCACUUUCUUCAUUCAUCUGAAGUGUUCAAAUUCAAUUAGCUUGUUUCAUAAACUAGUUCUUAUUUAGAAGUUCUUCUCAACUGCCUUUUUUUAGUGCUUCUAAAAGACAUGCCUGAUUUAUAUACAUUUUUGUUGGUUUUCUUUUGACCGUAAAAGGUUCGAGCAUUGGCAUUGUCAUGUGUAAAUUAUUGUGGCUACAAACUUCAUCCAUAUCCAAUUGCACACUUGUCCAAACUCUUGAUGAUGAAGGUAUGAUUGCAUUUACUAGCAUUAAAUUGCUAAAAUUUGUCAUCCAAAGUUCCAAUUUCUUUUGAACCUUGAAGACUUCAUUUGCAUUCUUGUAGGAAUUAGAUGUGGAAUCAUUUUGCAAUGCUUGUGGUCUUGAGACCAGCACUGGUGAGCGGGGAAAUAAGUUCUUAUCAACCAAGCAAACAAACUUCCAUUAUCCCAAGGAAGUCUUUCCAAGCUACUGCCUUCUGAGUUUGGAACACUUUUAGAGGUAACAAUCAAUUGGAACUAGUUACUCUUUCAAACUUCUUAUUGUACAAAUAUAACCUGCAUGUGCAACCAUUUCUGAUCCCAUAAUUUCAAGAAUUUAUGACACCUUCUAGUGGUUAGUUUUUCUGGGAAUAGAGUAAAGCAAUCUAUUCACUCCCAGAAACUAUCGUCAGAGGAACAGUAGAUAACCCCGCAAGACCAAAUUUAUGUAUGUUGCAUGGAGAUGCAUGUUUUCUGCAUCCCAAUCAUGCAGUGUUGUGUCAAAUGGAAUAAUAGCAGGUGAUGAUAAGUGGUAUUUCUAAAAUCUUCUAAGAGUAUUCCAUCUAUUGUAAUAUUGUUUUACUUAAAAUUGUCUUUUUGAGUCUUAUGUGUAAAUAUUCGAGUUGACCUCUUGUAAGCUAUCAAUUGAUGUUGUAACUUAACUUGAAAGGGAAAUUCUAUAAAUUUAGCCUUGGUUUGGCUCUUGGAAAGCAAAGAAAAAUUAGGUUAGUGAGUUGAUUUCUUCCCUUCCCAUGGAUGUAAGCACAUUCUUGAAUCACGUUAAUUAUUUUUUGGUUUAUUUUGUUGUUUUGUUGUUUAUUGUUCAAUUGUCUCCGCAUAACAAGUGGUAUCAGAGUUGUUUCCGACACACUAGAUGAUUCUUGUGCUAACACAAUGUUUGAGGCUAAAUAUAAGAUAGUAAAAGUUUCUAAAAUAUUUCCCUAUGACAGCUGCCAAUAAAGAAUGUACUUAACAGGAAGUUUGUAAGGUGUUACAUGGCAUGUUGAACAAAAUAUCUGAAAUAUUUGGGGCCACCGAUCCAACAAUAGCAGAUUAUAACACAAGAAGAGACCCUCUAAUCACCAUUUUUGCUUUUGAUUCUUCUUUACAAAGCAUCAUCUACUUUAUACAAAAAGACAACCCAUGGCUGAGCCCACAUUAUUCUCUACAUAUCCCAAAAAAGCCUUACAAAUUUUAGGGCAUGACGCUCUUUUUGGGGGUAUUUUUGGUACUAAAUUUGUGGUAGUCUCUCCAAUACCUAAACUAACCUCCAGAUUUUAAGGCAUGGCCCACUCUUUAAGGUGGUGUUUUGGGUACUAAUUUUUGUUAGGAGAGGUUUUAGUGUGGAAACUGGAGGGCUUUAGACAUGUCGCAUGUAUUUUCUUUUGCAUGCAUUACACAUAGAUCGGAGUUUUUGCAGUUACUCACACUUUUUGUGCGUCCAACAACACUAUAGUGCCACGUCACCAUAUGAUGGGCUCUUUAGUCUUUUCAAACCCAAAAAAACACCAAAAAAAAAAAAAAAACGAAUACUAAAAGGAGUGCUAACUAGCUAUGUGAAGGUGAACUUUUAUAGCUAGCUUCUUAGAGGGACCAUGAUCGCUUAGGCCAAGGAAGUUUGAGGUGAUAAUAGGUCUGUGAUGCCAUUAGAUGUUUUAAGCACAUGUGCGUUACACUAAUGUAUUCAACGAGUCUAUAACCUUGACCGACAGGUCUGGGUAAUCUUUGAAAUUUCAUUGUGAUGGGAAGGUUCCAUGCGAACAACACUUGCACAUGGGUUAGUCAAUCUUAAGAGACGGGGGAAGCCCGUCUAACAACGCACAAUGUGCGAGCUUUGAAAGGCAAUCGGGUUAACAUUUCUGAAUUGGGACAUGACAAUGACAACAACAUUAGGUAGUCUAGAGAUGUUGUCAUAUUAAUUGUUAUCAAUAUUUUUAUUUAUUCAAUAGAAAUUGAGGAUUAAAAAAUACCACAAAAAUUAGAAAAAACAAAAUUAAUUACAUGGCUUACAUUUCAGAUAUUUAAUAAAAUAUUGUAUGAAAGUUGAAUAUCAUACACUAUUAAAUGGUUGGAUUCUCCUCUUUAUUUUUUUUAAUUGUCUCAUCCUAUUAAAUUACUCAUCUAAUAUUAAUUUAUUUUAAAGGUAAAAUUAAUUAUAUUGUAAAAACCUUUUAAUUUACUAGAGUUUGUGCACAACAUCUAAUAUAUACUUAAAUACUUUUCCAUGCUAUAAUCCUCCAACUAAGAAAUGAAAUCAAAACUUAAAAAUCAUUUAUAUAUAUAGAUAUAUGUGAGUAAGGGAGGAGAUCCAACGGAUCUGUGCGCGAGCGAUGGUGAGAAAGAUUUCGUUGGCCUGGAAGCUCGUACCAGCCGGUGGAAGAGAAGCUUCGAGGUGGAGUCGAAGACUUUUGAGAUCGAGGUUGAGAGACAAAAAGGCAAAACGCAAGUCUUCAUUGAGGAAAGGAAAAGAGGGGUUUCCUCGUGGAUUAAGAUGGGGCCGGAGAGCCUAGGGUUUGUUGUGGAAGGGUUGGCUUUGUGUAUUAAGGAUACACGAACAGGCAGAUGGGUCAGAAAUUGGAGGGAGAGAGGGAGGAUCUUUUCAUUGCUGUGGGAUGAGAAUAAGGGAGGAAGCUUUAUCCGUCUGGGUGUAGAGGAUCUGGAGAAGAAGAGGUUUAAUAUUUUUAUCCCCAAAGGAAAUGGAGGGAAAGGGGGAUGGAUUGCGAUGUUGGAAACACUUAAGGCGCUGGUCGUUACUACGGAGAGGAAGAAAUGUCAGAAGGAGGAGAAGAUGCCGGUGGCGCCAUGUUUGGGGAGUAGCUACGCGGAAGUGGUGAAGGGACAGAAAUGUAAUGGCCGGUCAGUGGCUAGGGUAGAAGUAAGCCACAAGGACCUAUGCCAAAACCUAAAAAGGCUGGAUCAGUGCAUUGUUGGAUUGUGGGAUCCGAAGUUAGUCAAGGGGGAGGAUUUGAGGAGUUGGGGGAACCAAUUGGCUCGAUUGUGGGGGUUGAGGGGUAAUUUAGGUUUGGCUAAGUUGGGAAGGGGUAAGGUGUUGUUAGAGUUUGAGAGGAGUGUUGAAGCCGAAAAAGCCUUAAAUAUGGGAGGGCUUUUGGUAGGGAAGACACUGCUGCGACUGGAGAAGUGGAACCCUAGGACGGGGUGUCUGUUAGAAGGAGAGGAGAAGAGUGAGGCCUGGGUGAGAAUUGUGGGGCUUCCCAUCUCGUUGUGGGAUCGGGACAUCUUUAGAAAGGUUGGGGAGAAAUGCGGGGGUUCUUAGUGAUUGAUUCUCAGACGGAGAGGCUGGAAGAGUUGCAGUGGGCAAGAAUCCUGGUGAGACUAUCCGGCGAGGAGCCCCCUAGCAUGCUAGAAAUUGGGGUCGAGGGGGUGUGUUACUCGCUUGUCCUAUGGUGGGAGGUAAGGCCGGUAAUGAGAGUGCUGCCGGCAGAAAGGAGGGGAAAGAACAACGGUGAUGCUGUAGGAGGGGUUGAGGGUGAUGUCGCUACACGUGCAGGUAAGCGCGUGGUGGAAGUGGUGGAAGGUGUGAGGUCGAGACCCACAUGCAGUCUGCUGAUGGGACGAGGGAGCAGACAGGUGGGCCGGGGUCCCUUUGGGCUCGGUCCCGAGGCCCAAAAGGGCCGGGUCUGGGGGACCAAGUAGGCUUGCUUGGGAUGCUUGGCCCUACUGGGCCUCCUCGAGGCCUUGACUUGGGUGUUAGGCCCGAUGGGCUCGAUUCGCCUAAGGUCGGGCCGUUUUUCAGUGGGUCUUCGUCAUCUGAAGGGCCUUCGUCCUUAGAGGGCCUUAGGCCAAUGGAGUCCAUUAAGUUGGGUAGGCUAUCUGGGAAGGAAGAUUGUCAUGAUCCAUCUGGAGUGGCUCUGCCUCUGGUGUGGGCUGGCCCAAGUCAACUGAAGGAGUCAGAUGCUGAAGGCUUCCCUUCCUGGGUUUAUGAUGGCAGGCGGAGGCAAGCUGAAAUGGAGCCCUGUCUCGUAGAGAAGUCAAGGACCAACUGCGCCCUAAUUGAAGAAGCAACGAGGUAUGGGUGUGUUCCUAUCCCUUGUGGCUUAAUGGCAUCUGGACUCUCUCCUUCUCCUCUCUUCUUUUUUGGUCGGACCCCGUUGGGGGAUUUUUGCGACAUUUCUAGGGAUGAUAGGGUAACCUGUUUGAGAGAAACUCCCUUACAUAUGCUUCUCCCCUUGGGACCCCCAGAAGAGGAAAAUGCUUGCCGCUGGGAUUUGAGGGAGGGCCCAAGCGCCUGCAAGGAGAGCAGUGGUAAGGAGCUGAGGCUAGCCCAUUCGAUGCCACGUGAUGGAAAUGGAUGGGAGGAGGAAAGUUGGGAGGAAAGUGAGUUGGCCAAAUUUAGUAAGUUCUUGGGAUUUUCUACAGAAGGUCUGGAGAAAGAAAUUUUGGAGUUUCUGAUUAAAAUCCAAAAGAGAAGGGAAAAGGUCCACAGCAAAAACCUUCUAGAAAAAUCCAAGUUUGAAAGGGAAUUGAAAAGGCUGGAAUGCUCUAUUAACUACGAGGGGGGGAAGACGCAGAAGAGUGGAAUGAUAGUAGGAGGGUGUCAGAUUAUGGUGGUCAAAUGAAGCUGAGAAUCUUGAGCUGGAAUGUUCGGGGAGCUAACGACAACUCGAAAAGAAAGGUGAUUAAGGCCAUGAUCAGGAGUCAAAGAGUGGAUCUGUUCUGUUUCUAGGAGACCAAGAUUCAGGCAAUGACAAAGGGGCUGGUGAGAAGCUUAGGCAUUGGCAGGUUUCUUAAUUGGGGUACUCUGGAUGCCCAGGGGUCCCGCGGGAGGGAUUCUGAUCUGCUGGGAUAAGAGGACCUUGGAAAUAAUGGAAAUGGAGGUGGGGAGAUUCUCAAUUUCAUGUAGGAUGAGGAAUGUGGAAGACGGACUAGUCUGGAUGUUUACUGGGGUUUAUGGGCCAUUUUCUAAAGAGGACAGGGAGUGGAUGUGGAAGGAAAUAGGAGCAAUCCGAGGCAUUUGGGAGGAUCCAUGGUGUAUAGGGGGUGACUUCAAUGUCACCCUGUCACUGAGGGAAAGAAGUAAUCAGGGAAGACUAACGAGUGCAAUGAGAAGGUUUGCUCAAGUUGUUGAUGAGCUAGAACUCAUUGAUCUUCCAUUACAAGGAGGGAUGCUUACUUGGAGUGGGGGGAGGAAUAAUCAGGCAUGGGCCAGAUUGGAUAGGUUCCUGGUGACCCAGAGUUGGCUUGACCACUUCAGUGAGGUUGUGCAAUGUAGGCUGCCCAGACCGACCUCAGAUCAUUUUCCUAUUGUGCUGAUGGGGGGAGGGUUAAGGAGAGGUCCGUCCCCGUUUAGGUUUGAAAAUAUGUGGCUUAAAGCUGACGGGUUCACGGAUCUUCUUAGGGGCUGGUGGCAGGGAGUUGAGGUUAGAGGGAGGGCCAGUGUCAGACUAGCCACUAAAAUGAAGGUGCUGAAGCAUAAGAUUAAAGUGUGGAACAGAGAGGUGUUUGGUAGGCUGGAAGCUAACAAGAACUCAGCCCUGCAACAAGUGGAGUUUUGGGAUGGGGUGGAAAGGGAAAUGAGCUUGUCUGAAGGUGAAACUGAACUGAAAAAAGAAGCCAAGGAUUCCUUUAAAAUAUGGGUCUUAUUGGAGGAGACCCACUGGAGACAAUUGUCAAGGGAAUUGUGGCUUAAGGAGGGAGAUAGAAACACUGGAUUCUUCCAUAGAAUGGUUAAUGCUCACCGAAGGAAUAACUCUCUGGAUAGAAUAAAAAUUAAUGGAGUUUGGAUGACUGAGGAGUAGGAGAUGAGGGAGGGAAUAGUGAGUGCUUUUCAGCAGGUGCUUUCUGAGGAACCAGGCUGGAGGGCGGAUAUUGAGGGGCUGCACCUUAAUUGUCUAAGUUCCAGUGAAGCUAAAACUUUGGAGGUGCAAUUUACUGAAGAGGAAAUUUACGCAACCUUAAUGGGUAUGAAUAGGGAUAAAGCUCCGGGCCCGGAUGGGUUCACAAUUGCUUUUUGGCAAUCAAGCUGGGAGCUAGUGAAGGAGGAGAUUAUGGAAUUGUUUAGAGAAUUCUAUGACCAGUGUUCUUUUACCAACAGUCUUAACUCCACCUUUAUAGUCCUCAUUCCGAAGAAAGGAGGGGCUGAAGAUUUGGGUGAUUUCCGGCCAAUCAGCUUGUUAGGGGGUUUGUACAAGCUUUUGGCUAAGGUGUUGGCGAAUAGGCUAAAGAAGGUGUUAGAUAAGGUGGUGUCCGGGGACCAAAACGCCUUUGUGAGGGGUAAACAGAUCUUGGAUGCGUCUCUUAUUGCCAAUGAGGUGAUCGACUUCUGGCACAAGAGAAACGAGAAAUGGCUGAUCUGUAAAUUGGACAUUGAGAAAGCCUAUGACAGUAUUAAUUGGAACUUUCUCAUGAAAGUUCUGGUCAAAAUGGGUGUUGGGUCGCGGUGGUUGGAGUGGAUUUGGUGGUGCAUCUCUACCGCCAAAUUUUCAAUCAUGAUCAAUGGGGUCCCGACUGGUUUCUUCUCGAAUUCUAAGGGGCUAAGACAAGGUGAUCCCCUCUCCCCGUAUCUUUUUGUGUUGGGGAUGGAAGUUCUUAGUAAUCUAAUUAGAAGGGCGGUUGAUGGGGGUGUCUUAUCAGGCUGCGGAAUUCGGGGGAGAGGGGAAGAGGAGAUGAUAGUUUCCCACCUGCUCUUUGCUGAUGACACGAUCAUCUUUUGUGAAGCUAGCAAAGAGCAAGUGUCCGCUCUAAGCUGGAUUUUGGCUUGGUUUAAGGCGGCCUCCGGUCUUAGAAUUAAUCUUGAUAAAAGUGUCCUUAUUCCAGUUGGUGAGGUGGAAGAUAUUGAGGAGCUGGUUGUGGAACUUGGUUGUAAAGUGGGAGUACUGCCCACUAUUUACUUAGGGCUGCCCCUUGGAGCUCACCACAAAGCUGUCUCCAUUUGGGAUGGGGUGGAAGAGAGAAUGAGAAAGAGAUUAGCCCAGUGGAAAAGACAUUAUAUUUCAAAGGGAGGGCGUAUCACCUUAAUCAAGUGUACUAUGGCCAGCCUUCCUAUUUACAAUAUGUCCCUUUUUCGAAUGCCGAAGAGUGUUGUAAAGAGACUCAAAAAAUUACAAAGAGACUUUCUUUGGGGAGGGGGCAGCUUGGAGAGGAAGGUCCAUUUAAUUAAUUGGGAGGUGGUGUGCACUCGAAGGGAGAAGGGUGGCCUUGGCAUUCGGAAGAUUGACUCCUUGAAUAAAGCUUUGUUGGGUAAAUGGGUUUGGAGAUUUGCCGUGGAAAAGGAUAAUCUCUGGAGGUUAAUGAUUGGGGUGAAAUAUGGUCAGGAAGAGUUUGGGUGGAGAACUAAAGAAGCCCGUGGUACUUAUGGAGUGGGGGUUUGGAAGGAGAUUAUGAAGGAAGCUAAGUGGUGUUGGGAGAAUAGAAAAUUUAAGGUAGGGAAAGGGACUAGAGUAAAAUUCUGGUUUGACUAGUGGUGUGGGAAUGAGAGGCUGUCCCAUUCUUUUCCCCAACUUUAUGAGAUGGCGGUCAACAGGAAUGCAACGGUUAAUGAGAUGUGGGAUCAUAGCAGUGGUCCAGGAGAUUGGAAUCUUAGAUUUCAUAGAGGCUUUAAUGAUUGGGGGAGCUGGAUUUGAUUAGAGGACUGCUUAUUGUGCUUAGGGACUUCAAGCUAUCUUCAGAGGAGGAUGUGGUGCUUUGGAAAAGGGGGGGCCAUGGGAAGUAUGGGGUGAAGGAUGCCUACAAUGGGCUGGUUGUUAUCAAUGCUUGCGACUUUCCGUAUAGAGGCGUUUAGGUGGACAAGGUCCCAACCAAAGCGGCUUUUUUUGCUUGGGAAGCUGUGUGGGGGAAGAUUCUCACCUUGGAUAGGCUUCAAAAAAGGGCUGGCAGUUUCCUAACCGGUGUUUUUUGUGUGGUUGUGAAGAGGAGAGUGUAAAUCACAUUCUUUUACAUUGUAUAGUGGUAAGGGCCUUAUGGGAAAUCGUUUUUGCCCUUGUGGGGGUUCAGUGGGUGUUCCCAGAGUUUGUGAAGGAGGCGCUAUUCAGUUGGAGGGGCCCAUUUGUGGGGAAAAAGAGGAAAAAAAUUUGGAAUUCUAUCCCAUUGUGUAUUUUUUGGACGGUAUGGAAGGAAAGGAAUAGGUUAGCUUUCAAGGGAGGGGUGUUAAAUAUUCAGAAACUCAAGAAUUCUUUUGUUUGUACCUUGUGGAGUUGGGCUAGGGUGUAUAUUGGAGAGGAGUCCUCUUCUCUCUUAGGUUUUUUGGAGUGGCUAGCGGCCACUUAAGGGAGGGUAAGGUGCUUGUUUUUUUGUGCUCUCGUUUUGAGGCAGAUUUGUAUACGUCCUGUAUGCUUGGUGGCCUUUGCCCUUUAAUAUAUUUGUGAUAUUUAUAAAAAAAAAUAUAGAUAUAUGUUAUUAAGUUUAGGUAGUGAAACAAUUAAUGUGGAUAUAAAAUUAAUGCCAAAACUUUUGAUUGAUCCUUCACAUUCUCCACAACCAAACAAAGGAUAUAAGAAAAAUAAAGAAAGAAAUUUAGGGUAGCUUGAUUUUUUGUUCUCAUCUUGUUGUGAAGUUAAUAGAGGAAUGCUUAGGUUGGUGCUCAAUAGUUAAGUGACACCAGGGUAUAAUGAUUCUUCCAAUUGUGUAAACAUUAUCCGCUUUAAUUUCAAUGGAUCAUCAUCACUUUAAAUUGCAUCCACAUGGUUAAGAGCAACUCAUAUGUAUAUAAUAUCAUGAAUUUCUUCUUAUUCGAUAUGGAAUAUCAAAUUAGGUAUUGUAUAAGCGUUUCAACUCAAAUGACUUGGCUUAAUGUAUACUCAAAGCCAUGACAAAGGAACGUACAUGUAAUAAAGUGAAAAUUAAACCUUGUCGCCCUUCUAUCUCUAGUAUGAAACACAACUCCAUUAGCCCUUAAACAUCUGCAAAAAAAGAUAUACACAUCUGUUACAUUAAUUAAAAUAAAUGAUGCAAAAAGAGACUCUACAUGUCCAUGUACAUAAUUUGAUUAGAUUUGUUAUAUAUAUAGACAGAGAGAAAAAAAAACUGCUUAGAUUAAGGAUCUCAUUAAUUAAUACCUAGAAAAUAUAAAAUAAUAAGAAAAGAUUAGAAGGUGUGAAUCAUAAGAUAAAACUACAUUUUUGAAUUAGAUUCAUCGAAAGAUGGCAUAUUGUAUGAACAUUUGUACUCUAUAUAUAAAAAUUCAUAUUAUGGUUGAGAUGUAUUAAUUUGUCAUAUUUUUGGAAAAUUAAAGUAAUGAGUAAUUACACUAAAUUAAAUUAUUGACCUUAUUAAUCAAUACCUCAAGAGUAUAAAAUAGUAAGAAAUGAUUAAUACAAACUUCAUUGAAAUAUUUUUAUACACAUUGUGUAAAUAUUCUUAUUUAAUAAAAGUUUAUAUGUCAUUAAAUAAAUAGAGAAUUUUAACAUUAAUUGCAAUGCUAAGUAGAGGAGAUCCCAUAUUUAAGUUGUUGAUUAAGGCUUAUUUGAUAAAACUUAAUAUAUAUUACUUAAUAACUUAAGUUGACUUUAAGUUAGAUAAUAUUUAAGUUAUUUCCUUAAAAUUUAUUAUUUAAUAUUUACUUUCAGUGUUAAAGUUAUUUGAUAAAGCUAAUUUAAAAAUCAUUUUAAAUUUUCAAAUUGUCAUAUUUACCUUCAUUAAUUUGAUAACUAGAUGCAGAUAAAUGAAAAAAAGAAAUGAGAUUAAGAAUAAGUUAAUUAUUUUGAUUUAACACUUAAAAUUAAAAGUAACUUUAAAAUAUAAUAUUAAGUUAUUUUAUCAAAUAUAUUUAAUAAUUAAAUUAAGUUAUUAAGUCAAUGACUGAUUACCAAACACCCUAUAAGACCUAGAAAAUCGAAUGAGUUUUAAUAGUAUUCAGGAUGGGUAUGACUAGGUGGUGGUUCAAUGUUGAUUAAUCAUAAUUCAAUCAAGGCAAAAUAUGUAACAAAUACAUGUCAAACUGCACCAUCCAAAUGGGCGCCAAGAAUGUUACAUUUGACAAAUGACAAAUGCCAUUAAACCUUUACAGCUAGCAAUUAGAAGAUCACUCUCUUCUUGUAUCUCUCUUUUUCUCCAAACUCCAGGAGGAAAAACUCGAACUCCAUUAUUUUGAUCACAGAAAACAUGGCAAAAAAGUGUGUUGUACUUCAUCUUGAAGCUCAUUAACUUCAUCUUAAUUUGAUCCAAAUUGCAGAAACAUUCGAAACUCCAUGAAUCUAUGGUGCCUUGGUGGCCUACAUUCAUAUAACUGGGGACACUUUGGUUUGCACUACAAUGACCCCCAAACAUGGUUUGUAGAGACUUUAUCAAAAUCACUAGCUUCAAAAGACUAAGGAAAGAAAAAUGUUCUCAAUGAAAACUUGGAGUCGAAUUGCAGAUAAAGACCUAAAACUCCCACUCAAUGUGUUUUAGGAAUUGUUCUUUCAUGGGGAUAAGCUGUUUGGUUUGUACAUGUCUCCUUGGUGAUACUUAGAGAUUGGUGAAGUAUACGUUUCCUUUGUGAUCUGGUUUGUAUCUGGGCAGAUGAAUGUUCAUGCCAGGUUCAUAUAUGUUUAUGAUAUAUGUCACCCUGGAAGGAUCUAGAUCAAGGGGAUGAGUUUGAAAAGCUUGAGUAGGUUUAAAAUGUUCCGAGAAUUGGUGAGCAUGAUAUAUAUCAACAUAUUGCAGAAGACAACAGAGCUUCUGAAAUAUGUCAGAUUCAAUAGUAGGACAUCUUAUCAGCUGUCACUUACUGUAAUUCUAUGCUCUCAAUAUUCAUUUGUUGAAGAAGAAAAAAAAAUUGCUUUAACACUAUUCAAUUACAGGAGAAUGUUCAAUUAUAGAAGAAAAUAAUAUUCGCUAGUCUCUUUCAACUGAAUCAACAUGCAGAGAAAGCAGUCAGGUGACCAGUUAUUCACAUAAUAACUUACAUACAUUGUCUCUCUACCUCUACUUGUUACUCAUCAGCCAAGCUUACAGUAAUAUAAGCUUGGGUUCAUCUCUCUAUGCCACUGAUGAAAACUCCACAUGGGCUUUGCCUUUCUGGUGAUUUUGCAUUUGGAUUCCAACCCUCUCCAAGUGAAGUGGACUUAUUCCUUCUUGCUAUCUGGACUGCAAAUGGAAGUUAACCGGUGCCAAGAGGAUCAAAAGUUGGGCUUACCACCAAUAGACGGCUUGUUCUCUAGAGGCUAAGAUAUGUGGAAGACAGACUGGUAAUGUGAGCAGCGAACCAGUGCAUGGUGCCAUGCUUGGAGAUGGAAAUUGCAUACCAGUGUAUGGGAGAGCUUCAAGCACCCGACUAAUACCAUAUUGCCAACCCAGGGAUUGGUGUUGGAGCCUACUGUGCAGUUGCUAUUUAUGAGGACCUGAGGUUUCCAAAUGGAACUGGAAGCUGUUGGAGGAAAAGACUUACCUCUUUCAAAUGGGAGGUUGGAUCAAACUGCUGUUUCCAGAAGUGCUCUAAUCAAGAUAUUGAAGUCCAGUGAACUAACUUCAGGCAGAGGCAACCAAAAUAAAGCAAUUCUAAUACUCUCAGUCCUCUUAGGCCCCUCUGUGUUCUUCUUCUUCAUUUCUCUGGCUGCAAUUUCUCUAGUUUUCUACUGCUUGAACCUCAAAAAUCUGCAGCUUUAUCACAGAAUCCUGAGUACAAGCGAUGGUAGAAGCCUUUGGCACUGUCUAUAAAGGGAUAUUACCAUCAGGUUCUGGAAAUUCUGUUGCUGAAAGAAGUUGGAGAAGGUGGUGGGAGAAGAUGAGAAAGAAUUCAAAGCAGAAGUGAAUGUGAUAGGCCAACUCACCAUAAGAAUCAAGGACACUAGCUGCGUUACUGUUGUGAGGGUGAACACUGAAUACUGGUGUUUUUUUUUUAUGCACAAUGGCUCUUUAUCAAGGUUCCUUUCUGGAGGCGCCCAAGGACUUGUGUACCUACAUGAAGAAUGCAGUAAACAGAUCAUCCAUUGUGACAUAAAGCCCUCAGAACAUAACUCUUGGAUGAUUCUUCUACAGCCAAAGUUGCAAACUUGGACUGGGAAAGCUUCUGAUAAGCAACCAGACUAGAACACUCACAGGCAUCAGAGGGACUAUGGGGUAUAUUCAGACAACUCGGGCAGCCUAUGUCUCUUAUAAUAACACAUUGUGAAGCAUCAGCUCAAUGCCGGGGUUCAAUCUGCAAAGCAAGGGAUUCAUCAAUGUUUCCUUCAAACUAAAUGAUAAGGAACAGAAAUGGAUCAUUCUGCAUUUUCAGUGGUGUUUGUUAUAGCAUUUAUACAAGAACUCUAGGGGUUUCUAUGUAUAACUUCAUUCCCAUUUUGUAUAAUCCAAAUCUCUUCAAUCGAUUAAAUGUAUAAAUGAAUCCUAUUCAUUGUUUGGAGUAACAACAAAAUUCUGGAAGACUGGGAAAGUUUCAACACUGGAGAGAAGACAAAAUGACAAGACCAUAAAUUCUGGAAGAGGGCUUUGCUUUCUAACCAUUACCAUAAUUUUUGAGCUCAACCCGGAUGAGUAAAUUAUAUUUCAGAAUGUUCAGGAGAUAAUUCUAAAGUGAUGAACCUUCUACUCACAGUUUCUUGUUCUUCUUGAACAGAGCAAUGAACAUCAAUAGUUCAGCACCCAGGAAUCUCCCCUUCCUCCAAUUCCCCCACUGGGAAAAGUCACCUUUCCAGUUAAGAAAAUCAUCAGGAUUAAUUUGAGCAAAACAUCAGAGUAUACAUCAAGAAAGCCUUGAUCAAAAUCAAAAUACAUCAAGAGCUGCCAUUUUCUUCUAUUUCCUCUUCCCUGAAUGGAAUGUCUUUUGGACUGAGGUGAUCAAUGGUAACAGUCUAACAUACUCCUUAAGCUCCGAUUGAGGUCAACGGGGAUUGGCACAUUUCAUGAUUGGCAAACAUGAAUCUCAGGAUAAUCAACAAGUCAACAACUAUCAAUCAGUAAGGAAAAGGAAAUACCUUUGGAUAUUUACAAAUAAAAAAUUUGAGAGAGUCCAGCUGCUCUGUACAGAAAGGCUUGAGCUUAUUCCAUGGCCAGGCUUUAGAUGGUUCUGAAUUAAGGAUGAGAGGGUUGAGUUUUCUUUCAUUCUGCAAUAAGAUUAAAAACAUCAAUGAAACGCUAAAAGUUUAUAUAUAGAAGCCCUUCUAAAGAUAAGAAUUGGUAAGAGAGCCCACCCAUGGUCUAGUAAAGCAACAUCUGUUAGAUAAGUAACCACCAUUCUAUUGUCCAACUAAUGCAUUUAGAUCUAAGAUAAGAUAUGGAAAAAUAGUCGAAAAUAGUUAAAGACAGUCCAAAAACUCAUUUGACUAAUAAUUUUCUAAAAACAGUAACAUAAAACCAGGAUGAAGAAUCCACCCCUCUACCUGACACCACUUCAAUACCAAAUAAAAUGUUAUGAUGACCAUUUAUGGUCUUAAGAGACAGUGGAUGUUGUUUGGGCUCAAGACCUAAGACAAGCCAAAAAUCAAGAAGAAAACAACAUCAAAAUUGGCACAGAAACAAGUACAUCAACUAUCUAAUAAAGAGAUUUAUGCAUGUAACAAAUGCAAAUGAAAUAUGAUCCAAGAUUUUCAUGGAUUAAACAAAAAUUAUUUGAAAUAUGAUCCAAGAUGGCAAAAUAGAAGGAUAAGGUCACAGACAGGACAAUAUUAAAAGAAAUUAUUAUUUUUCUGACCUGAAAAUCGAGGCAUUCAGAACAGUACAAGUUUGUAAGUAGUCCAUGGAAACCAGGGAACAUAUGCAGACGUUGUAUUCUAUUGCAUAAGGCAAACACUCAAUACUUACAAGCAUAAUCAUGCCCAGAAAGCCAUGAAUCCCUUUCUGUUUUGCUUUUUUACCUAUUCUCAUCUCUUAUGGCCAGAAGUGCCCAGGAUGAUACAACCUCACCAAAUAAGUUAGAAACCAGCCCAUUCAGCAGGUUGAGUAGCCAGCUUGCCCUCAAUCUUCUUUGAGUCAACAAACAGCUGGGCAUUAUUGCCUCCAAUGGAGGGUCUGGAAAUAUUAGAGCCGGCAGCAGGGGUGGCUGUAAAACUCUCUGUUCCAAAACCCCAAGUUUCAGGGCCAGAAGUUCCUUCUGUGGCUGGUUUGUUGUGAUGGCCAUUUCGGGUCCUAACAGACUUGCUAUUGUUGUCUGGGCACCUGCCUCAGAGAAAGCCUGCCAAAGAUUAGAGUCUGGGCCAGGGGAAACGGAUUUUCUUUGCUGGAGUUCCCAGUCUGUUGCUUCAAUCUUUUCUCUGUGCUGUUACGAGAAGAAAACCUAUCAGACACAUGAAUGGGUACAAAGAGGUAAACUUCAGGUUUUGGUUGUAUUGAAAAGCACAGGAAACUUCACAAGAGGCAAAUUAUACCCCAGGCUUAUUGAAGAAAAAUAAAGUACAAUUGACUUACCCAAAUGUCUACUUUCUCAUUUAUAGGUUUCCUCCUAAACAAAUCCCCACAUCUAGGACAGGAAAAGGAAGAAACUGGGAGUCGACAUUUUUUCAACCAAAAGCACUAACUUAUCAAAAAACAUAGUUUUCCAUUCAACCUCGGGAGCUGUACUUUCUGAUAUUGUCUUCUUCAAUGCCCAUUUCUUCAGGCUUCUUAAAGUGCUUAUGAUUGGUGGAGGUGCUUCCAAAAUCACACAACUUCCAUAAUCCAUUAGGGCCCAAUGGAAGAUUCUCAGCAUUUAUAUAAGAACUUCAGGGUUUAUACAUAUGAUCAUGUUACAGUAUAAAUCAUAGUGAACUGG